ACAGUUCCACUUAAAUGUUAGUCUGCUCUGAAUUAAUGGUGACUUGAUAGUGGCAGCAGUGAGGCUACUAAUGUGAACAGCAGCACCAACAGUAGUAGUAGUAGUAGUAGCAGCAGCAGCAAUGGUGUGGUAGUGGAAGUAGUAGUGCUACUACUAAUCACCACCACCACCACUACCACUACUACUACUACUACAACAAGCGGUAUUAGUAGUGGUAGGUAAUGAAAUUACCUGCUGAAGUAAUAAUAUUGGUGUACAAAGACACCCAACACACUAGUGGUUUACAGUGUAUCGUCACUUAGCAGUGUUAAUGUCAAACCAUCAAUGUCAACCAUCAGUUCACAUGUUUAAAACGGAGGAACGAUGGACUGUGGGGGUAAGAAGCUUUGGACUUUUCUAUAUUUUCUCUUUCUUUUGUUUUUUUUUUUGUUUUGUUUUAGUUUCAAUUGAUACCAUCUGUUUGAAAGAGAGAUCAUUCUCCACCACUAUCAUCUUCCUCCUCCUCUCUUUAUUUUCUUUCUGUAUGUGAUACAUAAGCCAUCUUCCACAUGUGUGUGCGUUUUAUGUAGGUUGUUAGCAUUGCCAUUGAUGAAACAGUCAAAUAUGAUGAUAGUGAUGUUAAUAAUAAUAAUAAUAGUAAUAAUAAUAAUAAUAAUAAUAAUAAUUAUAAUAAUAAUCUUCUGUCAUAAAGUGACAUAAUGGAUGGUUACAAAAGGAGUGGUGAUUCUAGUGGAGUUUACUUGUAAAUAAUCAAAAUAGCUAUGAUUUCUAGCACAGGUGCAAGGCCACACAUUUUGUUGGGGUGUGGAAGUUUACUCAAUUAGAUUGACCUCUGACCUAGUAUGUCCACUCAGAAUGAGGAAAUGUAAACCAACCAUGGUAGACUUCGAUCUUAAAAUGUAAAAGGUGGUGUGGAACUAAAUAUCACCAGAUAUUUUAUAACGAUUUCUGUUUUUUUUUUUUGUUUUCUUAAUUAAAAUGAUUUCUGCGGCACAAUUGUCAUUAUGUGCAAUACCCUGCCACAUCUUCAGUCACUGUUCUUCUGUUAUACUAGUAGUGGAAGUGGUGGCCUUGGAGUAAAGGGGUAUGGUGUGUAGUACCCCGCGUCUUUCUCAGAAAGAGAGAAUUGAUCCCCGAGUACUCAACAGGUUCCGACCCAAAAUUACUAGUUAUAAUUUGCCCCUAAAAGCAAUAAACUCCUCUACAUGUGUGUGUUUCUACUGUAAUCUUAUGUUAUGCUUCUCUUCAUUUCAAAAGUGAAUUUUGUUGUUUAAAUCUCAUGCCACCCGUUACUGAACAGAUCUGUUGUAUAGCUAGAAUUACGUUUCCUCUAUUAGACUUUAGGGUGUGAUCUGAGGGAGAUUUAUCUGUAGUUUCUUGCACAUUACAUGAUCACUGAGAGAGUCUCUAUUGUUGACAUGAUUGAGCUUUGUUUUGUUUAGGUCUGAUAGCCAUGGUCUUCUUUAGUGUUAUUGCACUGCUGUGGCGAGGGUGGUAGUCAUGUGGUGGUGGUGGUAGUAGUAGUAGUAGUAAAACCAACUGACUACAGAAAACAGGUUCACAUUAUUUUGUUUCCUUUCUAUUUUCACUAUUUUAUAUCUAGAAUACGGUUUAUUUUGUGAUCAAUAUUAAACACUUAGAAAGAUAUAAUAAUAAUAAUAAUAAUAAUGAUUUCAUUUAUUUGCCACAAGGGGGAAGGAUGAGUGGGACUAAACAGAAGCAGACAUAAAGUGUGGGGGUUUACAUAUAAUAAUAAAAUGAUAAAAAAAAAGUAAACAGUAUACACUGGAAAAGAAGGGACAUAUGCAUAGCAUACAAAGGUAAAAAAAAAAUCUAAAAAAAAGGUGGCCCUUUUCAUACAGGCAUGCCUCUAUGGAUAAUCAAGGAACCCCACUGUCUGAGAUUUCCCUGAAACCCUAGGAGCAAGUGUCCUCUCCAAUUCCUUCUCUCCAACUCAUAGGUCUACACUUAGAGAGGUACCAUCCACUAUAUUAUAUCAAUAUUUGUCUUAACUGACUAUUGAAAAUUUCAUGCCUGACUUUUCACAAAAAGAAAGAAAAUAGGAAAAAAGUCACCCCUCUUACCACUAUCUUACAUAUUUUAUUCUAAUUUAAGUUCUUUUCCAUUUGAAAUGUAUAAUAGUUUGGUAAUUGUUCAGAUUAUGUAUAUGAAAUCAUAAACGUAAGAUUUUCAAUUUGGUUUGAUAUAAAAGCUUAGUUUUUGUGAAAAUGGUCAUUUUGUAUGUGAGGCUACUCUAUGUAUUAUAUCAUUCUGUAUGUAAGGCUUACCUGUGACAUUAUAAUCAAAGUGAAAAUUGCAAUCAUAUACAUAAUGUCAUUCUUCUACAUCCAUUUUCCAUUCUGGCAUACGAUGGACAGUUUGCCAAGAUCCAGUGGGUCAGAUGACUAUAUUGCGCUCUAAUGUCUCAGUUUUGGUAUUGCUUCUAUGGCUCCGUGCUCUUCCUAGCAUUAGCAUUUUUUCCAUGGGACCAGGAUUAUAGAGGUUACCUUGUUAUUGGCAAAACUUUAGAGCCCUCUGAAGGUCUGUAUUGUUGCUACUUGGUUUGAUUUACCAUCCAUUUACAGUGCAUCAACAUUAGUGGGAUUACUUUGCUACUUGCAAAGCAAAAGAGAAGCUUCUAUAAUGGUUGAAGACUGGAACAGAUUAAAUACUGUGUGUGGAUGGUGAUGGAAAGAAUAAUAGCAGAAAUAUUGUUUGGCUGGGAAUAAUGGAGAUGGGACAGGAAGAUUAAUGUUAAAGUUUAGUCUAAGAGAUUUAGGGAGGAGGUGGGUUAAGUAAUGAUGAUGGUAGUAUGCAGGGUGGGGUCCAAGGCUAUCCUACACUGUAAGGUUGAGUAUGAGUGAAGAGUGGAAGGGAUAUGAAAGAGAGCAAAUAGAUAAAGAUGAUGUGAAUCGAAAGCAUCACUGAAAGAAAGAAAGGUGUUGGAUGGUGAAGGUAACCCAGAGCUGGUGUUGAGGUGGUGAGGACAAUGAGAGAAAAGAAGGCAGAGAAGAGUGAUAGAUGGCAGUGAAUGAGCAAAAAUCUCAGGGAUAUGAAUGAUAGAGUGAUGGUUGAAGUAAGUAAGGAGAUUGAUGGAGGAAGAGGGAAUGUGGGUACAGGUAGAAUGAUGAUGACUGGUGCUCACUGGCGCCUUUCUCUUUAACUGCUGGUUGACUCUUGUUUUGAGACUUAAUUUUGGUAGAUGGAAACUAUAAGAAGCCCAUUGUGUAGUGUGUUAUUUUGCCUUGGCAUGUGUUCACUAAAUUUAAAGGGAUGUCAACUAUUUUACAAAUGGUGUUAUUUGUUUACAGCCCUCUGUAAAAGCAUAUGCAACCAUUGAACUGUUUGUUAUUGGAGAGACAAGGGGAAAUAUUAACCUGAUUUGGAACAUGUGAGUGUUGGUGACAAGAAAUGUAUUUAACCAUUGAAGUAACUUCUGAUUCAUGCAAAAGUGAAUGUUAAACUGAUGUUAAUAUUUGACUGUCUGUCUAAGGUAGGCGCAAUUGUGGCUGUUUGCUUCUCAGCUGGUUUUAGGUUCAGUUCCACUACAUGGUGUCUUGAACAAGUGUCUUCCACUAUAGCCCUAGGCCAACCAAAGCCUUGUGAGUGCAUUUGAUAGAUGUGACUUCUGUUCCCACCUCUUCAUUACUCAUCUUCUUAGUCAUUACAUUGUUGCAUGUGUUAUGACACAGACAUUGGUUUUCUUUAUAUUUAAUCACUAUAUCAUCCUAUCUUUCUUCUACAUGAAGUCUGUGUGACAAAGGGUGGCAUCAAAUUUGUCCAUACUCAAUAAUAAUAAUAAUAAUAAUGAUCCUUUCUUCUAAAGGCACAAAGCCUGAAAUGUUGGGUGAGGGAACUAGUCGAUUACAUCAACCCUAGUAUUCCACUGGUACUUAUUUUAUCAACCCCAAAAGGAUGAAAAGCGAAGUUGACUAUGGCGGAAUUUGAACUCAAAACAUAAGGACAAAUGAAAUACUUCAAAACAUUUUCCCGGUGUGCUAAUAAUUCUGCCAGCACGCUGCCUUGGACCAGGUAUUGAAUACCAACUCAGUGAAAAAGAAUAUAUACCACACAAGUGCAACAGACAUCUGCAAAAUGUGUGGGAAGAGUUCAAAAGCGUGACUAACAUUGUUAGUGAUUGUAAAAGUCUUGUGAAGAAAGAGUAUAAGUGUAGACAAGAUGAGGUUAUGGGUACUUGGUACCAACAUUCACCAGAAAAGGUAAUGGAUGAAAAGGGGAAGGCAAAAAUCCUCUGAGAUUUUGACUUCCAGAUAGACAAGGUGUUAGAGCACCGAAGGCUGGAUAUAAUAAGCUUUAGGAGAGACAAACAAGUGCUUAAUUAUUGAUGUGGCAGUGCCAGGAGAUCAAGAUCUCAUCAUGAAAGAAAGAGAAAAGGUUGAUAAAUAUGGUGACCUGAGAAUUGAGAUUGCUAAGAUUUGGCAGCUCUGAGAGUCAAACAUAAAAGUUAUCCCUAUUGUCAUCAGAGCACUGGGUUCAAUACCACCCAAUCUAAAGACCUUAGAAAUACCCUGUGAUCUAGAUGUAUUGCAAAAGUCAGCAUUACUUGGAACUGCAUGCAUAUUGCUUAAAGUAGUGUCUGUCUGAAGUCCUUGUGACUUGACAAACAGUACAAACCCCUGGAAGACAGUAUCUUCAAUCAACAACCUCACAAUAUUGUAUAUUUCGGAUAAAGUACCAUUUCUCAACUGGUACUUAUUUCAUCAACUCUGAAAGGAUGAAAGGCAAAAUUGACCUUGUUGUUUGGCCCUAAGUCAAUUCUGAAUUAUAAGACCUAUGAUGGAAAGUAUUCAAACAGUAACCUGUGAAUCUCUUGUUUUUUCAUGUAAAGACCUGGUCCCUUUGUAUGGUCUCUGUAUGUGCAACCUAGGGCAUGUGUUUUUGAGGAAGACUUGCAGUUACCCAAACAUGUGAGCCUAUUCUCUUUAUGUUACCAUGGGCUAAUACAACCUAACAUAUCAUUGCAGGGAUUGUUGUGUGAAUGCAAAGGGUUUAAACAGACACCACAAGGUAGAUUGCCCAACCCACUAACACUUCCAUCAACCUAUCAUCUUGGAUUAGUAUGUUUUUUUUUAAAAGAUUCUCCUUCUCCCAAAGGAUGAAAAGCAAAGUUGACUUUGAUGGAAUUUGAACUUUGAGUUUAGAGAAUCAGAAUAAAUACUGAGAUAUUUUUCCAAUGCUCUACCAACUCUGUCAGUUCACUGUCCUUGUGUGUCUCAUGCUGCAAUAUCCUACCUCUUUUCUGUUUUAGAAUCAUCAGCUGUGCUUUUAGGGAGACUUGGUUGCUACUUCUAUCAGACUGAGCAACUGUAUAGGUACUCCUUGUGAUUUCUAACAUUUUGGAUUUAAGGUUGUAUUAACUCCAGUACUUGCACCUUUCUUUUGUCAUAGCCAGAAGAAUGAAAACCAAAAAUGAGCUCAGGACAUAAAGGGAUAAUAAGGAUGUUGCAACUGAUUCAGGCACAAGGCCAACAAUUUGAAGGGAGUGGGGUUACACCACCCACUCACACUAUGUAACUAGUAUUUGAACUCAUAAACAAAAGAGUUAAUACUGCAAAACUUCUUUUUCCAGUAGUCUUCAAUAAUAAUAAUCAUAAUCAAUAAUAGCCCUCAGAAGGAUGAAAAGCAAAGCUGACCUAGGCACUGGGGUGGCUGUGUGGUAAGUAGCUUGCUUACCAACCACAUGGUUCUAGGUUCAUUCCCACUGUGUGGCACCUCGGGGCAAGUGUCUCCUAUAGCCUUGGGCUGACCAAAGCCUUGUGAGUGGAUUUGGUGUAAUUUGAAUUCAGAAUGUAGCAAUGGGCAAAAUACCGCUAAGGAUUUCAUCCGUCGCACUAACGAUUCUGCCAGCUUAACACCUUCAAUAAUAUUAACAAUAAUUUGUAGAAAGAGUCACUGUGAGACCUUUGACAACAGGUUGCUGUCUGCUCUCACAGAAUUAACCAGAGCAAGUUAGAUCAAAAGCACUGAGAAGUAAAAUAUAAUAACUAGCAGGACCUGUGAAAAUUCUACAGUGUAAGUCAGCAUAUUUAAAAACAUUGUUAUAUUAAACACAAGCAAGGAAUUUCUAAAAUGUUUUUGAAAUACUGCCAUUUAAGCAAACUACUUUUAAAUAUAAUCAAAAUGAAUUUUAGAAGGUAUUGCUUAUUUCUUUCUUUUAAUAUAUUUGGCAGAUGUGAUGUACUUUAUGAUUUAAGAAAGUAAAAGAUAAACUAAAAUAAAACCUAUUCAUACAUACAGGGGUUGGACAAAAUAAUGGAAGCACCUAGCAUCAUGGCAUCAUAAGUUUGAAAUAUCUAUAAAACCGUUGAAAGCUUGUUUAUUUUUAUGUUUUUUGAUUUAUUAUUAGUAUUGCUUAAUAAGUUUUGCUAAAAUUGUUGUUUCUUUUCAGAUAUCAUUAGAAAAAGGUAAUUAAAAUUCAUUAAAAUGACAAAUCUAUCGGACUUUCAAAGAGGUCAAAUUGUUGGUGCUCGUAUGGCAGGCGCUAGUGUAACGAAACAGCUGAGAUGUUUUGGUGUAUCAAGAAGUACUGUCUCAAAAGUAAUGACAGUCUUUGAGAAGGAUGGAAAAAUCUCCUCAUCAAAACAAAACUCCGGAAGAAAACCAAAACUUUCAGAUAGGGACCGUUGGACUCUUACAUGAAUUGUUAGAAAGGAUCACAAAAUACAGCUCCCAAAAUUCCUACAGAGCUUAAUGAUUACCUCAAGAACUCAGUUUCCACAAAAACUGUUCAUUGGGAGCUGCACAAAGCCAGAUUUCACAGGAGGGCUACAAUCAGAAAACCAAUACUUUCAAAAACAAGCGUUGCAAAGCAUUUAGAGUGGAGUAAAAGUCAACAGAAUUGGUCCCUAGAGCUGUGGAAGAAUGUUAUUUUCUUGGAUGAGUCAUCCUUUACCUUAUUUUCAACCACCAGCCAAGUAUACGUGUGGAGACAGCCAAAAGAAGCAUUUGAUCCAGACUGCCUUCUUCCAACUGUUAAACAUGGAGGAGGAUGUGGGAUGAUCUGGGGAGCUAUAUCUUGGAAAUCUGCCAGCCCAAUGGUUCCCCUUCAUGGCAGAAUUAAUAGUCAAGACUAUUAAGCAUUUCAUCUUAUCAAACUCAUCCUAUGGUUGCAGAACUGUUUCUGGAGGAAAACACAAUCUUUCAGGAUGAUAAUGCACCAAUUCACACAGCUAAGGUUGUUACUGAAUGGCACAAGGAACAUCUUAUCUAGCCACCAGAGUCCCCAGAUCUCAGUGUUAUUGAACAUUUAUGGUGCAAUUUAGAAAACAAGUAAGGAGUCGAUAUCCUCCACCAUCAUCACUACAAGAACUGGAGACUGGACAAAAAUUCCUUUGGAAACAAUUCAAACCUUGUAUGAGUCCAUACCUCAUAGAAUUCAAGCUGUAAUUACUGCCUAAGGUGGUCCUGCCCCAUAUUAAAGUAAAUUUGUUUGAAAUUUUAAAGUGUUUCCAUUAUUUUGUCCAACCCCUGUAUGUAUGUAUGUAUGUAUAUAUAAUAUAUAUAUAUAUAUAUAUAUAUAUAUAUACACACACACACACUCAUAUAACUUUAUAUAUAUAUAUAUACACACACACAUACACACACUCAUAUAACUUUACACACACACACACACACAUGUGUGUGUGUGUAUAAAAUUACAUUUUUCACUGUCCAACCACUACCAAGGCUUAAUUGAGUUAUUUACCAAUUGAAAUUAUUUCAAUUUCCUUUCAUUUCAGUUCAUUUCAGCUACAUAUCUACUUGUAUAUCUAUUAAUAUAUCUCUCUAUCUGCAUAUCUGCUGAUAUGUUUGUAGAUCCACCUGUCUACCUAUCUAUCUAGUCCUUUAUAUUGACUCCAGCACUCAACUAGUACUUAUUUUAUCAACCCUGAAAGGAUGAAAGGCAAAGUUGAUCUUAGUGGAAUUGGAAUUGAAAAUGUAAUUAUGGACAAAUUGUCACUAAGAAUUUUGUUCAGCAUGCUAAUGAUUCUGCCAGUUUGCUGUCCUAAUAGUAGUAAUAAUAGUGGUUUCAAAUUUUGGUAUGGGGCCAGUAGUUUUUGAUGGAGGAGUAAGUGGAUUGCAUCAACUCUCUAUGCCUGACUGGUACUUAUUUUAUCAAUUCCAGAAGGUUGAAAGGCAAAGUUGACCUCAGCAGAAUAUGAACUCAGGACAUAAAGAUUGUGAAAUACUGUUAAACAUUUUGUCCAGUAUGUUAACUAUUUUGCCAGUUGACUGUCCUUGUAUAAUAAUAAUGAUGUUGGACCCUGCUGUCGAAGAUGAUGUAUGAGUGUUCAGCUUUUGCCAAACGACCUGCACAAAUGAUUUGUUUAUAAUCAUAAAAUGUUCAAGUCACACACUAGCUCAAUCUCUCCAUCAAAUCGACAUUGUCUGAAUAGGUGCGCAGUGUAACAUGCAUUGGGUGUUGAAGUGAUUGCAGAGCAAUGUGAGAUUAAGUGUUUUUAAUAAUAAUAAUAAUAAUAAUAAUAAUAAUCCUUUCUACUAUAGGUACAAGGCCUGAAAUUUUUUAGAGAAAGGGGGCUAGUCAAUUACAUUGACCCAGUCCUUAACUGGUACUUAUUUCAUUGACCCCGAAAGGAUGGCAGGCAAAGUUGACCUCAGUGAAAUUUGAGCUCUGAACAUAAAGAUGGAUGCUAUGCUUGUGACCAUUUGUUUUGUGUGCUAAUGAUUCUCAUUGUCCUCAAAUAAUAACACUGAUAAUAAAAGAUUUUUGCAAUUGAAAAAAGUAUGUAUUGAUGGGAACUAAAUCAGUUUGCAUAUGAAAAUGAUUUGCAGGAUUUGAGUGAAUGAAAGGAUAUAGAGACACUUUUGAAUGUCUAGAACUGUUGCUGCUGAAGGAAGUAGAGAAAAGAUAAAACAUUGAAAAAAGUUAAUUAGGACAUAACAAUAUCAGUUUAUUUAUAUCUUUUAUUAAGCAUGAUACUUUGAGUUUCAUGUGAAGAAGAAAUGGCAAAUUAUAAUGUUCGUGCUUUUCUUCUGGUUAAUAAGGAAGGCAAUGAAUUCAGUAAUUCCAACUUCCAGAUUUCAAGCAAACAAUUAAAAUAAUUUCUUAAACACAGUGUCUCACCUUUUGUGGGAAGUGUAUAAGCUGUUUACUGGUAUAUAGUAAUGUGUCAGUAUAACAUUGGUAUAUUAUUAUAUUUGAUAGAGUGAAUGUGCAAGUUGAUUCUGGAUUGAGUUUGAAUUCCUGAAAGAAGACAUCUCAUUUGCCUCCAUGCUUCCACUGAUUCUGUGACAUUUCACACUUUAAGUAAUCUUUCUAGCUGAAAUGUAAAGGGAUGUGGGUGUGAUGAUUGAUUUGAUCUUUUAUCAUGUUUUAUUAACCCUUUUGAUAACCAACCCACCUGAGAUGUCCUUAGUUCUAAGAUUAAAACUUCCUGUUUCAAAGUGAUCUAAGUUAAAAACCCCUUCCUUCAAAAUUUCAUGUUAUGCUCUAAAUACCAGCUUAAUCACGAUGUAAUUUUUUUUGAUUCUUCAAUAUAAAAAAAAUGAAUUCAAUCAUAAGCUGUGUAUUUCAACAGAAUAGGGUAGUAAAAGCAUUUAAGCCUAGACUAUUUGUAUUUUUUCUCCCCUCUGAAACAGAAGAGAUGGAAUGGAGAUUUCAUGUUUUUUAACUUCUAAAUAGGAUUCAUAUUUUAUUAACUCGAGCGUAUUAGUUUCUUCUGAGUACACCACACUUCAUAAUAAUAAUAUUUCUGUGAACUAAACAAAUGCCAGUCAUGUCACAGAGUAGACCUCAUUGAUACACACAAGUUUGGCAGAUCACCAAUUCUUAUUUUCUUAACAAUGAAUUGAUAACACAACUUAAACAUAUGAACAUAGUGGUAAAAAUAGCAGUGAUUUAUCUUGACAAGGCCAAAUUCUACCUGUUCAAGCUACAAGUUCAUUGAAUCAAUUACAAUAUUUGUUUUAUCAGGUAGCAUGAAAAUCUAGUUGGUUAAAAUGGGAUUCCAAUCAAAGUAAGUAGAAUAAAGCAUCUCAGCCAUGUGUCUGUAUCAGAGAUUAUUUCUUGCAUAAACAUAACAAUUGAAUGAAAAGUGGGAAGUUUUGGUAAUGAUGCAUUCUUCAGAAGGUAAUAUCAGAAAUUUUAGCAAAACCAAACUGUUCAUUGAUAAGGUUUAAAAAAACCAAUCAUUUGCAAGAAAAUAAAACAAAAUCUCUGUCUCUGUCUGUCUGUCUCCCUCUCUCUCUCUCUCUCAUGCGCACACACACGCAUGCGCGUGCGCGCGCGCGCACACACACACAAAAGAUGCUGGCAUGGCUGUUUUGCAACCAAGUGGUUUCAGAUCUGGACCUAUUGUGUGACAUCAUAGGCAAGUGUCUUGGGGUGACCUCUUCGGUUUGAGACACAUUAGAUAAAUAGAUUCUGUAUGGAAGUCCUUUGUGUGUGUCUGUGUAAAAGUAUCGAUGAAGGUCUUAUGUACUGUUUCCUGCCUCUGUAUAUGUUUAUUACAACAUGUCUUGAUAUUGACACAGUUUCAGUAGCAAUGAUGUUUUGAUACAUGUAGGAAGAGGUAAUAGAAACAAAAGACCUACUGAAGUAGUAUGAUGGAAGAAGAAUUAGUGAAAUGAGGGAGGCAGUGAUGGAAGAGGGAGUACUGAAAGUGAAGAAAGAUGAGAGAGAUUGAUGGGUAGAAAUUAGGAUGAGUGAUUGUGUGUAUUUAUGUAUAUGGUGGAUAUCCCUAAAUGAUAAUGAGUAAAUGGGGAGAGAAGAGAAAGAAAGUGAGUGGUGUCUAUCAAUAAAGGUGUUAGUAGGGGCAGAUUUGAUAUUUGUCUCUCAUGAUACAUGUGGUAUGAUGGUGUCACAGAGGUGAUGAUAAAAAGGUCAAUAUCCAAAUGCCAAUAUCCAUCACCACCACUUUUUAGCAGCAGAUUCACUAUAUUUGAAUAGGUAUGUGGGUCUUGUCCAGCAAAAUAUCAUGCAUUGCAGUCCAUUGUCAUGCUCAUUAGUAUUACAUGCCCACUGCAGCAUACUUCAAUUCUUUCCUUGCCUUUGCAAAUCUUUUACAUUCAACCUCUAUAUCUUCCCACCAUGUAACAUCACAUUAUAGGCUCAUGCUGUCUCCUCAGAGACGGAAAUCCUUUACAACAAGCAGAAAUCAUUCUCCUCUUACCCUGUUCAUAUUCUAGCUGUUAUGUUUUCAGAACACUCACCUCCAUUGUUAAAUACGUUCCCCAGGGAAUCUUCUGGGUAUUUAAAGGAAUUUAUUGACUGCCCUUGUGUAUCUGCCACAUAUAAACUUCACCUUAUCUAUCUGUCUGAGAUUCUGCCACAUGUUUUGUGUGUUCAUAGUUUACAUGAGCUACUCUGUAUUUCUACCUGUAUUUUUUCUGCGCAUAUUAAACAUGGUCACUUCCCUCUCUUUUCUUGUUUGUAAAACUUUCUUGAUUUUGUUUCCAUGUCUGGAAUUUACUCUUCAAAUCUUCUCUAGAUUCAGCUGUAAGAACUCAACCAUUAUCAUACAAGAGUUUCCAUCAAUAGCUGGUCUUAAACUCUUUUGUUGCGGCUCAGGAGGGACCUCUACCAGCAUGCCAUGUUAAAUUUGUCACAGAUUGCAUUGCUGACCAUUCUCUACAUGACUUAUAUGACUCACAAACCAUCCAUCCAUCUAACCCUAGUUUUCGUAGCAAUCACUGAACUGCACAAUGUAAAAUCUUAUCUUGUCCAGGUUAACAAUUGCUAAGUACUUCCCCUGUAAUAGUCUCACAAGAAAGAAGACAUUUGUAGUGCCUCCUAGUGAUAUAAAUCUUAAUUACAUUUCAUGUGUCACAAUUCUGCCAAAGUUGAACUAAAAACCAGUUAUGUACUGAGAUCUAUUUAAUCAGCUACAUUGCCCCCUUAAAUUUCUGUCACUUGCAGUUAUUUUUGAUUUCUUCCCAAACAAAGGGAUUCCUUAUUUUGUUUUAUUUUUGUCAAAUAAGGCUGGGGUGUUUGAAAAGUCAGUUUCCACUGACAAUUUCCUGUCAGUGGUUCACGAUGCAAGUCAUCAUCAUCUUUAAGGGUGAUGACAGAGAUGAUAUUAAUAUUGGCAAUACACCUUGGUUCUCAAUAAAAGAAAUUCAUUAAUAUAAUCCACAGAGGAGUGGUUGUGUGGUAAGUAGCUUGCUUACCAACCACAUAGUUCCGGGUUCAGUCCCACUGCGUGGAAAUUUGGGUAAGUGUCUUCUACUAUAGCCUCGGGCUGACCAAAGCCUUGUGAGUGAAUUUGGUAGAUGGAAACUGAAAGAAGUCCAUCAUAUAUAUAUAUGUAUAUAUAUGUGUGUGUGUGUGUUCGUACCCCAACAUCGCUUGACAACCGAUGCUGGUGUGUUUACGCUCCCGUAACUUAGCAGUUCGGCAAAAGAGACCGACAGAAUAAGUACUAGGUUUACAAACAUUAAGUCCUGGGGUCGAUUUGCUCGACUAAAGGCAGUGCUCCAGCAUGGCCACAGUCAAAUGACUGAAACAACUAAAAGAGUAAAAUAUUGAUGAUAAAAUUUGUUUCUUUUUAUACACAUGCAAGUGUGCGUGAAUGCCUAUUAUAUAGCUACAAGAGUAUCUAUUGAACUCACACAUCUCAACAAGACAAGGUAGAAUAAAUUGCAUAUAGAAUUGUUUUGAUAUUUUUCAAUAUUUUUCAUGACAACCCACCCACACAAAGUGCAAUAAGACAGUUGUUGCUGCUGUGUGGGCAGCAACAGCAACAACAGCAGCAGCUGUAUGUUUCCCAAGUAGAUAUAAGUGGAAGGAUAUGGACUGGUUGGUGAUAUUGAGUGAGGUGGAGGAAUGGAAAGCCUGAGAGAGGGAGUGAGUAAGAAAGUGUGUGUCAGGAAGAGGUUAGUGUGAGUUACGGUAGAAGAGAAGAGUGAGAGGGAAAAUGAGAGGUUUUGAGAGAUUGUGUGUAGCGAGGAAGGAGGGUAGAUCAAGAAACUGGUCAAGAGUGAAAGUGAGAGAGAAGGCUAAGAGUUAGAGAGGUGUGUGUGAUAGAGUGAGAGAUGAUAGGUUGGAAAGGGACAAUAGGUGGGAGUGCUGUAAAACAGGAGAGGAGAAUGGAGUGAUGGAAGUAGAAACUGAAAGAAGAAUAGAAACUGAAGUGGCGGAGGAAGGGGAGAGACUAGAAAGAGAGGGGAGGAGGGAGGAAAUCAUGAAAAUAAAAUGGUCACAACAAGAUGGUUAGUUUUUGGAGGAUUUUACUUUUAUUUUAUAUUUUGAGGAGGCGAAUAAUUAGUUAAGAAAUAUCUUCAUCUAUUUUACUUUCAAAAAUUUUUUUUUUGCCGAUAAUUUAUUGAAUUCUAAAUUUUAUAACAAAACAUAUGCUGAGAGUUGGUUGUGAAAUAUCUUUGAAUAUUUGAGAGAGUUAUUUCUCCUUGGUCUACCUGUGUGUGUGUGUGUGUUUGGAAAAAGAGUGCCACCAGCCAUGACCUUUGCAAGGUCAUUGGAACUGAAGAGGAACAAGGGGAGCUAGACUAGGUGUGGCAGUAGGAAGCAGCACAUCAAAAUACUAACACCUGGUCUAAAUGUUUUGAGUGGACGCUCUUCCAGAAAGACAAAGGACCAGGUAGCUGUGUGAAACUGGGUGAUAGAUUAGGUCUUACCACCCAAAAAGAAUAACAGCCUCCCUGCCAACUCCAAACAGCGACAUAUCUCUUCAAUAAUAAUAAUGGUUUCUUAUUAUUUUCUUAGAAAUUUUUAUUCUUAAUUAUAAGAAUUAAAUUCUAGUUGCGGCUGAGAAUAUACUGUUGUAGUUUCUACAUUCUAAUUACAAAGAAUGAGAAUGUAUGGUAGGAAUUGAACUUAUCUUGGACUUGUUAGCUGUAUACUCCAAUACUAUGGGGAUACAAUAGUUUAGUUUUGUUGAAAUUGCUCCAUUUCUGGAGUGAUGUUAUCACUGAGGAUCUGUUCUGGUGAAAACAUUACCUUCACAUAUCUACUAUUGAACCUCAGUGAGUGACCCUUCUCUUCUGGAGCAGAGCAUACUUUGACCCCAAUAGUUAUUGAUGUACACACUUACAAACAAAAUUUUUUGAUAUACAAUGAUUUUAUGCCUGCUUUCCAUACUGGAUGGAAGCACUCCGUCAGUUACGACGACAAGGGUUCCGGUUGAUCCGAAUCAACGGAACAGCCUGCUCGUGAAAUUAACGUGUAAGUGACUGAGCACUCCACAGACACGUGUACCCUUAACGUAGUUCUCGGGGAUAUUCAGCGUGACACAGAGAGUGACAAGGCCGGCCCUUUGAAAUACAGGUACAACAGAAACAGGAAGUAAGAGUGAGAGAAAGUUGUGGUGAAAGAGUACAGCAGGGAUCACCACCAUCCCCUGCCGGAGCCUCGUGGAUCUUUAGGUGUUUUCGCUCAAUAAACACUCACAACGCCUGGUCUGAGAAUCGAAACCGCGAUCCUAUGACCGCGAGUCCGCUGCCCUGACCACUGGGCCAUUGCGCUCCACUUUCCAUACUAGUGUGGUUUGGAAGAGUCAUCACACAUCUGAUUAGUUCUUAUUUGGAACUACUUCCCUUCUGGACAGACAAGUACUCCACAUCUUGCACAUAUGUUCCAUUUUUGGUGUGUGUUGUAUAGCUGGAUGCCCUUUCUAACACCAACCAUUGUAUAGAGUGUACUGGGUGUAUUGUAUCAUGGUACCACCACUAGAAAAGUUGUCAUGUCUUCAAGAGGAUAAGUCUAAAGAAUACUUUGCACCCUAUUUUGACUCUGCUAAUUUACCAAUCACGUUACAAUGUAUAGUGAGUGCAGUUUAUAGUGGAACCAGUUUUAGUGAGGAUAUCUUGUACCUCAAAGAGAAAAGGUCCAUGUUGCCUCCAUCCAUUCAGUAUAGCAUAACCAAUAGUGAGUGUAGAGAAGGAGAAACUUGGGUAAUAGGGAAAUAGAAGUGUGAGUAUGAUAAAGUGGGGGGUGAAAGAAAUAGAAUGGCUGGAAAAUGAGUUUAGAGAUAGCAAGAAGAAUGGGAAAGAGAUAUUAAUAGAGAGGGCUACUAAUGGUUGCUAGAUGUUUGUUGCUAAAACAGCAAGAGUGGGAAACAAUGAGGGGUAAAUUAAAACAAAGCACCACCGUCUUCAAAUGGUGUCAUGUAAGGGCAUGGAAAGAAAACUUUCAUGCACACAUGCACACAUUAUGGCAGGUUUCCAUACAGCUUCCAUCUGCCAGUUUCAUCCAUUCUGCCUGCCUGUUCAUUUUUGUUUAUAACCUAUAAAGGGUGUCAAGCGACACCAUUGCACAACUCUAGUAAACAGACAUGGCUGGGUGAAAUGUGCAUUUGUGACCAUGUUGAUCUCCAUGUAGUUUUGGUAUGCAUAUAUAUGCAUACCAUAUAGACUGCAUGUUCUCCCCUUCACACAUGCUUACUACAUCAACAUUUAAAUGUCUUUCUAUGUGAAUAAUUGUGUGUGCAUGUGUGAGUAUGUCUUUAUAUAUCUAUAGGUAUGUGUGUGUAUGUGUGUGUGUGUGUAUAUAUAUGUAUAUAUGUAUAUAUAUAUAUAUAUAUAGGUGUGUGUGUGUAUGUGUCUAUAUAUGUGUAUGUAUAUGUAUAUAUAGUGUGUGAAUGUAUAUGUAUAUAUAGGGGGAGAGUUCAUGAAAAAACCAAAGAGAGAAACAAGAAGAGAAGAAAAAAUGUGUGUAGUGGCUACCGAUCUAUCGUGUGUGUGUGUGCGUAUGUAUGUAUAUACACUCACACACACACACACAAAUAAAUAUAUGUAUGUAUGUAUGUAUGUAUGUAUGUAUGUGUAAAUUCACUCUAGUUUGUGAAUAUGUUGUUCUGUGGAGAAGCACUUUCACAUAUGGAACAAUGUAUAAGGUUCACAUUUAACAGCUAUUUUGAUGCAUACUUACAACCUUUCAUAGAUAAAUAUACAUUUCUACAUUCACUGCAAACACUGCACACCUCCAAACAGAUGUGUGCACUCUGCUAAACUGUAUCACCACCUUUCAAUGUUGCAGGUUUGUUGAUUUGGCAUAUUUCAGCAGUUUGUGGAAACUGUUCGAGCUUACACUUCUACAAGUGUAACAAGGUUUUCUUGUCUUUUAAUUAUUACAAGCUCAAAGUAUUGCUCACCUGAUUUUAUUUUUUAUUUUUCCUGUUUUAUAUUUCAGGUUUCAUUUCUCAGUUUCUUCCUGACCUUUUGUUUCAGUAAACAGAGUUAGGAGUUAGUAUUUUCUCAUUUUGACUUUAUUUAGCGCAAAUGUCCCCCCCCUCUCUCUCUCACCACACACACACACACCAAAGUUAGUUGUAAAUGAAUAUUGUUUAUAGGAGAAUCGGUUAAACUAUUGCCUGAAAUUUCAAAGGAUCUCAUGUUUCCUGGUUUUUAAAGGUUUUUGUGCUUUACAACUGUUAUGCGUCUAGCAAUGUCAUUAACUGUUUUUUUUUUACUGAAGUUCAAUAUGUGUGUAGGCACAGGUAUGGCUGUGUGGUUAAGAAGCUCACUUCCCAACUCAAUAGUUUCAGGUUUAAUCCCACUAAACAGUAACUUGGGCAAAUAUCAUCUGUAGAUCUGAGCUAAUGAAAGCCUUGUGAGGGUAUUUGGUAGACAGAAUUUGAAAGAAGUUUCUCUCUCUCUCUCCCUCUCUCUAUUUGUAGUUUUCUGUUAAAAAUGUAUCUAGCCAUGGGGUAAUAUUACCUUGGUUAGAAAUAGAUGAGGGUUGGUGACCAGAAGGGCAUCCAACUGUAGAAAAUCUGUUUCAACAAAUUUGGUUUGGCCCAUGCAAGCAUGGAAAAGUGGAUGUGAAAAUGAUAAUGAUGUGUGCAUGUGAAAAUGAUGAUGAUGUGUGCAUGUGUAUUAUUUUUUUUUUUUUUAAUGUGAAGUUAUAAAAACAAUUUAGCAUUAAACUGAGAGAUUAAUCAAAUACUUUUUAGCAGAGUACAUAUUCAUUAAUUUUUCUAAGGUAAAGGUUUGAUGAUUGCUGUAUGAUAAUUAAAUCUUUAUAAGCCUAUCACUGCAUCUGUUCCCUGUUAGCUAUUACAGUUAUUUGGCAGUGGCCCUCAUUAAUUUUCUGGACAAAGGGCCUCUCGCUCAGAGUAAAAGGUAAACCGUAUGAUGCAUGUGUACGAACAGCCAUGCUACAUGGCAGUGAAACAUGGGCUGUGACUGCUGAGGACAUGCGUAAGCUCGCAAGGAAUGAAGCCAGUAUGAUCCGAUGGAUGUGUAAUGUCAGUGUGCAUACUCGACAGAGUGUAAGUACCUUGAGAGAAAUGUUGGACCUAAGAAGCGUCAGAUGUGGUGUGCAAGAGAGACAACUGUGCUGGUAUGGUCAUGUGGAGAGAAUGAAUGAGGAUAGCUGUGUGAAAAAGUGCCACACCCUAUUAAGGGAACUUGUGAUAGAGGUAGACCAAGGAAGACCUGUGAUGAAGUGGUGAAGCAUGACCUUCGAACUUUAGGCCUUACCAAGGAAAUGACUAGUGACCAAGACUUUUGGAAAUAUGCUGUGCUUGAGAAGAUCCGGCAGGCCAAAUGAGACCAUAACCUCGUGGCCUAUGCCAGGGGCGUAACCAGCCCACUUAUGCGUACCUUUUCCUUCUUUGGACACUAAAACUCUGCUUGUAUAGACCUGUUGAGGCAAGUGAAAUCAAAAGCAAAUUUGAUGACUGACAUCUGUGCUAGCGGGUUGCAAAGAGCACCAUACGAGUGUGAUCGUUGACAGAGCGGCUAACCGGCUUCCGUGCCAGUGGCACAUAAACGGCACCAUUCAAGUGUGAUCAUUACCAGUGUCGCCUUACUGGUACUCGAGCCGCAUGCUAGUAGGGUGUUAAGAGCACCAUCGGAGCAUGAUCGUUGCCAGAGUGGCUAUCUGGCCUCCAUGCCGGUGGCACAUAAAAGGCACCAUUCGAGUGUAAUCAUUACCAGCAUCGCCUAACUGGCACCUGUGCCGGUGGCAUGUGUAAAAGAUUUGAGUGAGGUCAUUGCCAGUACUGCCUGACUGGCCUCAUGCCGGUGGCACGUAAAAAGCACCCACUACACUCUUGGAGUGGUUGGUGUUAGGAAGGGUAUCCAGCUGUAGAAACUCUGCCAGAUCAAGAUUGAAGCCUGGUGCAGCCAUCUGGUUCGCCAGCCCUCAGUCAAAUCAUCCAACCCAUGCUAGCAUGGAAAGCGGACGUUAAACGAUGAUGAUGAUCAUCAUCAUCAUCAAUAACGUUUUUGAGCUUAUUGGAUGAAUUCUGGUGUCCUUAAUGUUCAAAUAUUUAGAAUAUUUUUUUCUCUUUGUUACAGCUGAAACACUCCUGUCAGAGUCUUUCAAUUCCAUCUGAAUUUCGUGUACAAAAGGAUUUGCAAUGUUUAAAAAGUUGGCAAUUUCUGAAUGACUGUGUUCCACAUACUUGGGUACAAUGGCUGCAUGUCUUUUUAUUUCUUGUGUUAACAUGUUAUCUAUCAUGGGGGAUAUGAAAAAAAUGAAAACCUUUUAAUUUGUUUGAAGAAUGUAAUAUACUGAUAAUUAAGUGUCCUCAAAUGCCCCUCAUUUCCUGUAUGUCUUGCAAACUCUCUCACCUACCUAAGUGCUGCCAAGCUCUUCUGGAUCUCUACUAAUAUUGCAGAAUCUUCUUCCUCUGCCAUUCCUCAAGAAAGAUGAGUUCUCUUAGUACUUCUGCUGCAAAUAAAUUCAGUAGAUUUGCUCUUUGUUUUAUUUUUAUCUCUACACUCCUCACACACAACACAACUUCUUUAAAUUCUGUCAAUCUCUCUCAUGCAACAAGACCUUACUUUAACCUUCACCUGUCCUACCACCAUGUACAAACUCUCCUUCAACUUUGUCUGAACUUGAUACUGACCACUCCAUUGCAUUCAAACAAUGCUAUCUUUAACCACAACCCUCCUCCCACUUGCUCUCAUUCAGUCAUGCAUGCAUUUUCUUUCUUAACACACACACGCGCACAAUCUCUCUUUCACUCUUACCCCAUGAUACAUGUUUUAUCUCUUUUUCUCAAGCAUACAUCCACUCAUGAACUCACAGUCCCAUGACUUGAAUUGUGAAAGAAAAGAAAAGGAUCCUGAUAGUAUUCUGAUUCCAUAUCUAAUGAUUUUAUCAAAUAUAAUCCAAGAUUUCAGAACAGUAUAAAUAGAACCAAUGUGUGUGGUUGUGGUACCUUAACUAAAUGUUUAACAAGUUGGGUUUAUGUGUAUGAAGGAAUAGAGAAGGCAAGAAUACAUGUUAGGACAAGUGUUGUUAUGGCUGAGACCAUUUCUUAAAUAAAUAAAGAUGAUGAAAUAAUAGCACACAGUAAUAUGUGCACCUUAUGUGUACCAUUGUUGUGCAGUAUAUGUUGCAAGAGAGAAGGCAGAAACUCUCUGACAAUCGAUUAGUUCCACUGCAAAACAAACAGACAAUUUCAUUUCAGUACCCCCACCCUUGUCUCUUGUAUAGCUUCAGCAUUUGGUUGACAUUAAAACAUUCUUUUAGAAACUGAUUUUACUCAAGAUUCUAAACCUGAUUGCAGCCUACUGCUCCCCAAGUGAUGUAUGUUGUGUGUUAAUCUAAAAAAGUGGAAGGGUCAGAGCUCAUAGCACUUCUAAACCAUUCCCGGAAGAGGUGGUGGUGGUGGUGGUGGUGGUGGUGGAUCAGUAUAAUCAUUAUCAAUGUUCUUGGAAUUCAUAAAUGAUCGAUGAAGUUAGUGUAUAACCCCAGGUCAGCCUUAAUUGACCAUCUUGUCUUUUUCUUAUGUUCAAGGAAUAGUUGCAUUGUUGUUUUAAGCUGAUAGGAUAUAGUUUGAGGGAGAAUUGGCUGCUGGUUUCAGAACCUAUAUUAAUUUAAUUAUCUCCUGUAUGUGUGUGUGUAUGUGUUUUAUAGAAUGAUUUAUUUCUUGACAAUACAACUCCUUUAAAAAUGCAUUUGUAAACAAUUAUGUGCCAUGACAAACAAUGACCUUACUGUCCAACUUGAUAUAGUAACUGAAAAUUAUUAUUUGUCACAAAACAGAGAGGCUCUUGAUGCUACUUAGUAUUUAUGACAAUAAUGAUGGAUCAUCACCAAUUUCUUUAAAAUGUUUCUGGAUUUACUCCUUUGCCAACUACCAUAUCUUUUGGCAUAUAAGUCAACAUAAUAUAUAGUGUAAACAUUCAAACAUCAUCAUCAUCUUUACAAAUCCUGCUGCAUUUCGCAUGGAAUUCUUGGUCCUCCACAGUUGUCUUGGUGUAUAAGUCAAUCUACCCUUUUUUGUUGUAAAUGUUCGUCUGAAAAAUUCAACUUAUGUACUGGAAAACACAGUAAAGCAUGCUAUUGUGCCAUGGUGGCAUUCUCACAUGCAUUCCUCUGUGUCCCUUAUUGUAAACUUGCUUUGUCUGUCACAUAUUGUUCCUUUUUCUAUUUACUUAUCCUUAUUGACUUGAUUCUACUUCUCAUGUUCUAAACUAUGCAGUGGUACUACAGUAACUUUCUUCAUCUCUGUUACUCUGUACUCCUCCUCUUACAUUUCCUCCUCUUACUUCCUCUUCUUUAAUUUCCAUUCAGUUUCCUUUCUUACCAUUCAGUUCAUUUCUUCAUAGCCUUCUCUUUCAUGUCACUGCCUCCUCCAUCUCAGCCCUUUCUUUAUGUCUCUUCUCUCUUUUUCAUUGUCCUUGUCUUCUCAUCUCUCUCUCAGCUUCUAGAUGCACAAAACAUGAUUUAUUUAACUUCAGAGAAAUGUCUCAUUCUUCUGUUAGUCAUUAGGAUUGUUUUACUGUCAGCCUAUAUAAAAAAAAAACAGAAAGGUUUUUCCUGUUGGAAUGAUCACUAACAUUCACUGCAACAUUGGUUAAAGGCAUGUGGAAGAGGAGGACAGUAUUGGUAAUGGUGUUGAUUGAUAUUAGAAGGAAUGUCUGUAGAAUAUGAAAUGGGAAAUGAAUGGAUCACAAACUAAUUAAGUAUUCAGCUUAGCACUUGAUAGGAUUUCAUUUCUUUUCUUGAUGUGGACAGUUAACUAAAGGAAAAAGAAAAAAAAUAUUGUUACAGGGGAUGGUCAAACUUGUAAAUUAGAUACUUACUUGAUUGUUGUUGUUUCUAUCUUAACUAUCAGACAAGAAUUUAGCCUAAAAAUGCCUGAAGCCAUAGCAACAGUCAGCUGCUUGCUACAUUUAUCUCAUUUUCUUGUAUUUUAGAUUGAGAAAAUAUUUCACGGGAGUCUGCUUUAAUCUUUCUUUUUUUUUUCUUUAGUAAUAGAAUCAGUGAUAAUGGGCUAAGAAGAUCCCACUGUAAUGAUAUUUGUUAUUUGGCAAAUUCUUACACUCUUGUCUUCACUUUCAACAGAAUUAGUCUUUAUUAAUAUACAGAUUAGCUGUCAUUCUUAAUUGAUAUAUCCAAUAUCUUAAACAUUAUCACUAACAUAUAUUAUUCACAGAUUAAAAUUUUCUUUUUUUUUCUACAUUUAUAAUACUUUGGCCAAAAAUAAUGCUGAUUUUCAGUAAAUAUGAAAAGUGUGUCCGUGUCCGUCCAGCUGUCUCCAAGAAACUUGCUGUGAAAUAGGUGAUCUGUUACCAAUAGUAGACUAGAAAUUGAGUCAUCUGUAUUAUUGAGUCUUAACUAUUCUUAGGGAACUCUUUGUAGCUUUUCUGUCUUCAUUUAGAUUUGGUAUAUAUUUCAGGAAUUUUAAUUUCAUUUCCACUUGGGGCUUGGUGGACCUGUCUUCAAACUGGUAGCUCAAGUAGAAAGGUGCAGCCUUAUUGUCAAAAUGUGUUAGGUAGCUAUUACCUAAAUAACAUAUUUGCCUACAUAUUACAUACAAUACACAAGCUCUACCUACCCUUUUAAUUCACUGUUACUGAAGGCAAUAGAUCUCAAAGAUACUUUUUGCUUCUCUGUAACUUGGCAAUUAUCCAACAGUAAAAAAUUUCUCCCCUCCCCAUUCCAAUAAUGACAGUACUAAGCUUUCUUGUGAUAUUCAUAAAAUUAGCAAUCCCUUCAUUACAGUGUUACAAAAAAAACACAUCCUCACACCUUCUUACAUCAGGUUUUGAAUUCUGUUAUCAAUAAUUGAUUCUAUAGAUAUUGGAUUGGUAAGGUAGUUUUUGGUUUAAGCACUUAAUCUAAGGAAUUCCAAGUAAAACAGUUUACCUUUAACUAAAUUGAACAUUGAAUAUGGCUGAAAAUGAAUGUAAAUAUACUAAUGUAAUUUAGACUUUUACUACUACUACUACUACUACUACUACUACUACUACUACUACUACUACUACUACUGCCACCACCACCACUGCCACCACCACCACCACCCACAUUAAUAUCCUGCAUCAAGUAGCAUUGUCUUUAAUAAUCACCAAUCAUAAUUGUCAUCAUCCUCAUCAUCAGCUGCAACAGCAACAUCAGUGGUGGUUCAAUAUGAACAUACUAAUGGUAUUUCUAUUCAACAUGACUGGUGCAAUUUGAUUAAGUGUAAAAACAUAGUUGGAUGAUGUAACAAGUAAUUAACAUUGAGAUAUCUUCCUCAAUACCAGCUUCUCAGACUACAAACUACUUUGUUACAAAAAAAUUACAGGAAAAAUGACAGAAAAUUGUGAGAGUUCAGUGUUUAUAAUUAAGACUGGCAUUUAACUACUGACUGUAGUAAUUUUUACUUAAUCUCAGCCACAGCCUUAAAGCCCCAUUUCAUUGAAAAUAUAGAAUUAAAAAUAGUCUUUUUAAACAUAAUACCAUCUUUAAAAAUAUUAAUGCCAUGGGGCUUCAUGGAACCAUGUGUGAAAAAAGGUGCAUUUAAUUCAAGUACGAAUGGCUUGAUUUAAUCUAAAAUUAAAAUCUUUAUAUUUAAUCAUAGAAAAUAUCAAUUAUUUUUGAGGGGGUGUCUUAUUUAUUUAUUUAUUUAUUUAUUUAUUCAUUUAGUUGCUUUUGAAAAAUGUUUUAAGUUCAUUGAAAUAGUCUCCUUAGGUAACAAUAACAUAUUGUUCAGUUUGCUUGCGGUUGUUUAUUCUUGCUGUAGACUGUUAUAGGUAUAAACUAAUUAAAGGAAAUUUGUUCAAAUAUUAGCUCAACCAAAUAUGUGACUUGGUAGAAGUCAAGGCACAGGUUUUCCUUCUUUGUUUUGCUGCUGGUGCUUGUGGUUCAAGACAGUUCUAUUCACACCAACAGGUUUUAGUUCUUAUUUAUAAAUUUAAUGGUUUUUAAAAUUUAUUUGUUAGUCUUAGAAUAUAGAGCUGAGCAAUGGUUUUUACCUCAAUGAACUCAUAAGAAUUCUUUCCAAUUAAAUAGAAUCUUGGACAUUGUUAAAUGUAGUUGGUGUUUAGUUUAAAAUUGUUAUUAAUUAAUGUUUAUUUGAAAGCUGUCAGCAAGCAAGCAGUUAUAUUUCAAGAGGGGAAUGCCUUUGUACAGUAUGGUGUACUUUAAAAGAGUGGAGUAACAUAGAGUAUGUUUAGAUGGCAAAUUGUCUUUUGUUGGUGAGAUGUAACACAAUUUGACAUUGCCCAAGAAGUUACAGAUCUGGCAAUGGCAAAUGAUAGGCUGUUGGAUAUUUGCAUAUCAGACAUAAACCGUUCCUAGAAUGAAUAGUGUGUGUGUGUGAUCUGAACAUACUACACCAGGAAAAAUCCACCCAACAUUGCCUAUGUCUUACAGUGUGGACUGAUUUUAUUAUAGUGCCACAUCAACACUAGGGGUUGCAUGAAACAAGAUUUAGGUGACCCCUGCUAAUAUCUAAUCUGUCAGGUCUUUAUCACAUUUGUUCACCUCUCUCUCUCUCUCUCUCAGUAUUACAACUUACUACAUCUCUAUGUAUUUAAUCAUCAGAUUACAAAUUGACAAUUUCACAGCAAAUUGUAAUUCUGAUCUUUCUUGUCUUCCAUACAUGCGCGUGUAUUACUCUACUUUCAGUAUUGAGUUCUUGUUAUUGCUUGUUGAUGGGUCUUUUAAUAUAAUAAAUUUGUUUCAUAUAUUAUAUCUACUGUUUCUGUUAUUUUAUAUAUUAUAUAUGUAGUGUUUCUGCCUUGAGGCUACAUUCCCUGGCAGGCAUCACCUCCUCACUCCUUCACAAAACCUCAACCUGAAAGGAUGCAAUUAACAGAAGUUAAAGAAUGAAAGUCAACAUUGAAUCUUCUGAAUCUUAAACACUUUGUGUGUGUGUGUGUGUGUGUGUGUGUACACGCGCACAUGCUAAUCUUAGAUCUUAGUUUACGACAUCUGAGGCAAUGUUUUGUUGCUUUAAAAUGUGUUAAAAGAUUUAUGGCAAAUGAAAAAGAAAAAUGGUUGUUUGUAUAUUGUGUGCAUGUGUUUAUGUGCAUCUUUAUACUAUUUGUGAGAUUAACCAAGUAAAAGUUCUAGUGGAAUAUUCAUUAAAAGACAAUUAUAAAAAUCUGUCCAGGUUUAGUACUGUUGAUAUAAAGAGGGAAAUUGGUGUAUUUUGUUGGCAAUGCUCAAGUCAUUUAUUUAUACAGAAGGCCAAAAGGUUGUUUCUUAAAACCAUUGUAGAUUAUUUGGAAGUAGAAAUACCACUGAUAUAUGAGAUUUUAGAGUAGACAUCAAAUAGACAAGAUGAAACUAGUUACCUAAAUAUUGUGUGUAGGGGUGGGUGCUCUAGUGGCACAUAAUAUAUCACAGUUUUUAGAUAGAAACUUAUUAAAUAUGUUUCAAUAAAUGAAUUUACAUUUAUAGUGUUUGGUUGACACUUUAGGGCAAUGUGACAUUUAACCUUAUCACACCAUUUACAGAAAAGGGUCCACAAAAAUAUAUUCACAUUACUUUCAAUAUGACGUAUAGAAUUACUUAAUUCUGUGUAUAGAGAUCCAGUGGGGUUUCUAUAAAGGUAGUUGUUUUCUAAACCUUAUAGAUUUAUCUGUUUUGUGCUCAAAUAUAGGGUAAAAAAAGAAAAAGAAAACUUCUACCUGUGUGUCCAUAUAUAUAUAUAUAUAUAUAUAUAUAUAUAUAUAUAUACACAAAAUGGGACAAGAACGCAAAACAUCCAGACAGUUAGGUGAUACAAGAAAGGGAUAACAAAACAUCCAGAUAGACAAUAGAAAGAAAACAACGACGGGUCAUUCAGAGUUCUCUUUCCUCAGUCGAGUUCCAGAUUAUCUUUGCAAUUUCAGCUUGUUAUACUUGAGAUUGCUCCAAUCUGGCCAGCCCCCAAAAAAACUAAGCUAAGAACAUUAGAUUCCUUGGAAGAAAGCAGCAAAGGUAUAUGAAAACAAGGACGGGAAAAAACAGAGAAUGCACAUGCACAAGCGUGCGUGCGCGCACACACACACACACACACACACACACACUCUCUCUCUCUCUCUCUCUCUCUCUCUCUCUCUCUCUCUCUCUCUCUCUCUUUAUGGUUUUUACAUGUGAAAAUGUUAAAGUGCUUAUUUAUUAUGCACCUGAGGUGUGUAGAGUUGGGUGUAUAUGUAUUAAUAUUGAAUAAGUGUACCACUAAAUCUAUACCCUUAUUUCACACCUAGGUCUUCAUGAAAUAUUUUUUUGUUUAUUGUUUUCCUUGAUUUGAAGUUGAUGGAUGGAAGUAGUUGAUAUCAUUGAUGGGAUGUCACUAUAUGACUAUUGGUGUUUGACUAUCAUUAGUGUCUUAAGUUCUUGUUGGCAGAUGUCUAUCACCUAAGUAGUCUGUUGUGGUAGUUUAAACCUCAGGUUAAACCUAAUUAAGCAGAACAAAUCUAUGGGGAAAGGCAUUCUUGCUAUGACUCAGUUGCCUUUUUUAGUGCUAUGAUAUGUUUUAUCUUUUCCUAAGAUGGGUGUUAUUGUGAUUUGAGGGAGAUUUGAUUGCUUUUUCCAGCAGGUUGAUCAACUAUGUAGAAAUUCUCACAAUGACUCAGUAGUUAAGGGAAGGCUUAGAUGCCAUUGAUCAGGUCAUGGUAGUAAUAGUUGUUGUUAUUGUAGUAGCUGCAGCCCUAGAUCAGCUGUGAGAGGACAGAUCUUUCAGCUCUGACCGAUCUCAUUUUUCUUGCAGACAUAUUGUGUCUAGAUUCACUCUAUCCAAGGUGGCAUUUUUUUUUUUACCUUUUUAAAAGAUUGUGUGGUAUAAUUAGAAGGAAUAUUUAGCUGUGUUUUCUUGUGAUUAUUUAAAGCACCCACUCACUCUUAUGUUAGCUAGUUGCAGACCUCAUCUAUGUGCAGUUUCUUCUACUUACCAGUAAUUUAAACAACUUAAUUAUUCACAGCUUGAAUUUUUACCUGACUGCUUCACUUUAACUUAAUCUUUACUCAGUUUCACCUUAUAUCAUUACAGAUGUGUCAGGAGUAGCUGGAUUGUAUUUCCUCAUCUUUUAUAUAUGCUGAUUCUUUCUCCUUUUCUUAGCAUCCCACCUCUUCAAAUUUUACCAAUUUUUUCAGUUACUUCUCACUUAUAUAGUUUUUACUCUCAACUAAUGUUUACUUCUUCAAAAAUUUUAUUACAUAUUUUAUUUUUGAAUAAAAAUUUCAGUCAUUCAAUAAUUUUUUUCCAGUAAUUUAUGUCUUAUUUCUGUAGACAUUUUCUCCUCUCAUGAUUUUAGUAGAGAGAAUAUAUGCGCGUGCACACACACAAAUUUAAUUUAUUCUCUUUCUUUUACCCUCUCACACAUAUAUCCAAUACAUGCAUGAAAUUGUAAUUAAAUAUAAAUUUAAAAAACUGAUUGAUUUCUUCAAGCAUUAUAACAAAUGUGUUAAACAAGAACUUGUAUUGUGAUUGCCCUAUGAGAGGUUAUUAUUAUUGUUGUUGUUGUUGUUGAAAAGCAGUGAACUGGCAGAAUCGUUUGCACGCUGUGCAAAAUGCUUAGUGACAUUUCAUCCGUCUUUAUGUUCUGAGUCCAAAUUUCACUAUGGUCGACUUUGCCUUUUAGCCUUUCAGGUCCAAUAAAAUAUGCAGAAGUUGAUCACUGGAGUUGAUGUAAUUAACUUGCCUCUUUUCUGAAAUUGCUGGCCUUGUGUCAAAAUUUGAAGACAUUAUUAUUAUUGUUGAUGAUGUGUGGGAGACAAUAACAGAGGAGAGGUACUAAUUGCAUGUAUUUGAAAGUAAUGUGAAUAUAUUUUUGUGGACCCUUUUCUGUAAAUGGUGUGAUAAGGUUAAAUGUCACAUUGCCCUAAAGUGUCAACCAAACAAUUUUGUUUCAAUUAACAAUUUGUUUACAUCUUGAUGUUACUUUGAAACUUUUAUUUCUGUAUUAAUAUGGAAAUUUAUUCUAGAAAUACCUGGAUAUUUGCUGGUCAUUUGUACUAUGAUGUCCUCACUUAAAAGUGAAUGUUAUUUGGUAUAAGAAUAAUUUUAGUGUUGUAAUUAGCUGAUUGAAAAGAAUGAAUAAUAAAAUUGAGGUAAAAGUGAAAAUAGUCAAUUUGUUAUUCAUUUAUAGUUUGUGUGUGUGAAGCGAUCACAAUUUGUCUGGUGGUAGGAUGGGUGAGUGUGUACAUAUAUAUCUCUGUAUGCCUAAAUGGGUAUUUCUGGGUGUAGUCACAGCUUUUCUGUAUAUAUGCAUGCAUUCAUGAGUGUGUGUGUGUGUAUGUAUGUAUAUAUAUAUAUAUAUCUUUAUAUAUAUAUAAAACUGAGAAUGUGUGUCUCUCUGUCUGUUUCCUUAAAACUUGAGAACUACACAACCAAUUUCAUUCAAAUUUUACACAUGCCUUACUUAGGGUCCGGGGAGUGUCAUCGGCAAAAAAUUUUAAAACUUUUUGCAUAGGGCGAGCCCACAGCAAUCUUCUCCACUACGAUUCCCUAAAACUUGAGAACUACACAACCAAUUCCAUUCAAAUUUUACACAUGUCUUACUUAGGGUCCAUGUAGUUUCAUGGGCAAAAAAAAUGUUCACCUUCUUGCCUAGAAAACCCAUAGAAUAUCAUAUCUUCUCCACUAUUUCAGUGUUACGUGUUCAAAGUGAAACAAAAACAUUUCUCUAUUUUAUGUCAGAUACUUUCACUUUAACAAUAAAAAAUAAUAAUAACAAUUGAAUUAUAUGUAGUAAGUAAUAAUUAAAAUCAAACUAAAGUAACAUAACAAAAGUAAAAAUAGCAAUUGGUAUAAAAUUGCAUCAAUGAUUUGAACUUGAAUAAGUGGUUUCACAUGAAUGGGAAUAAAUUAAAAAUAAAAUUAGCGUGCAGAAAUGGAAUAGUCCAGAUGGAUAAUAAAAAAUUAAAUUAAAGAAAAGACUAUUGUCUAUAAAGUAUACAAUGUAGAGAAAAAAGAAGAUUUUAACACAUGGAGGAAAGCACCUUCGAAAAGUCUCUUGGUGCGACUAUGAAAGGUAUCUAAUCAGAGGCGGUAAAUUCGCCACUAUAGAAGGCAAGGUUCGAGUCAACGGAGCGUGCAAGGGAGUACUCGACUCGAACUUGCAAAGUGGAAAUAUUUAAUUUUUACCUUUAUAUCUGGGACGUAGGAUGUCCUGGAAAAAAAUUUUUAAAUGCCCCCCCCCCCCCCACCUCCCGAAGUAGAGGUAGGCUGGAUUGUAGCCAAAGAGGGAGGACAAGAUACAAUUGAUUGGAAUUACAAGAGACGGGCUAACAAUUCCAGUCUGUUAUAUAUUUUGAGUAUUGUUAUCACUAGCGAUAUCAAGCUAUAACUUUGUAUUUUGUAUUUUAUGUGUAGAUGUAUAUAUAUAGAUGUACAUGUGAUAUGUACACAUAUAUCCACAUAUAUACAUGCACUAGCACUAUGACCCGGCAACGACUGGUCUAUAAUGCUAGUAUAUAUAUAUAUAUAUAUAUAUAUAUAUAUAUAUAUGUGUGUGUGUGGAGGCGCAAUGGCCCAGUGGUUAGGGCAGCGGACUUGCGGUCAUAGGAUCACGGUUUCGAUUCCUAGACUAGGCAUUGUGAGUGUUUAUUGAGCGAAAACACCUAAAACUUUACGAGGCUCCAGCAGGGGUGGUGGCAAUCCCUGCUGUACUCUUUCGCCGCAAUUUUCUCUCACUCUUUCUUCUGUUGGCCUGCUCGCUUAGCCACCGGGGUGGCGUCAUUUAAAGGCUAAAGCAAUGCGAAACGCAUUGUGACCAGCGAUGUGUAGCAACAUCUGAUAGCCUGGUCGGUCACGGUGAUAUAUAUAUAUAUAUAUAUAUAUAUAUAUAUAUAUAUAUGCCUGUAGUUAGAUAUACAGGCUAUAAAUGUAUCUGUCUUACAUGUGCCAUUAUAAAGUAAAUAUGGCUAAAUAUUCUUAAUAGCAAUUCUUACAUCUUUUCAAUUGAUCUCUAUUUAUUACUGAUAUUUAUUGUGAAUGUUCAGAAACCAUAGUUCAAAUGGUAACCAACAUUUUAGGAAGGUUUCAUUGCUCUAAAAAAGUAGCUAUCAUCUGCAAAUAUAAAAUGGGCCAUUAGGUCAUCUGUCUGGAACUAAUAAAAGCAGAUGUUAAAAAUUCUUGAAUUGGAAAACUGAUAACAUGUCUGCUUCGUUCCAUAAUUGAAUGAAAUAUAAUUUUAGAAAGUAACAUUCCUUGUUAAAGUUCUAAUGUAGUCUUGUUAGUUUUCUGUUUGGUGGCCUACCCUCUUGAAAUUGAAAAUCUUUUCUAUAACUUGAAGAUUUAGAAUUCUUGUUGUCGUUACUAUUAUUGUUAUUAGGGUGGUGGAAUGAUCACAGUAUAUCUCCAGAGGUCUUUGUCUCUUGUCAUUGCUUCUAUGCAGCCCAUCGUUUGAAGGUUGUGCUUCACCACCUCAUCCCAUGUCUUCCUGGGUCUCCCUCUUCCACAGGUUCCUUCCAGUCUUAGUGAGUGACACUUCUUCACACAGCUCGCUUCAUCCAUACACAGUACGUGACCAUAACAGCGCAGUCGUCUCUCUUGCACACCACAUCUGAUGCUUCUUAUAUCCAACAUUUCCCUCAGGGUGCUUACACUGUUGUGUGUGCACACUGAUAUUACACAUCCAGCAGAUCAUACUAGCUUCAUUUCUUUCAAGUCUACAUAUAUCCCCAACACUCAUGGCCCAUGUUUCACUGCCAUGUAGCAUAACAAUAUGAACACACCUAUCAUACAGUCUAGCUUUCACUCUGAGUGAAAGACCCUUUGUCACCAGUAGAGGUAGGAGCUUUCUGAACUUUGCCCAUGCUAUUCUUAUGCUAAUUAAUUACUCCAGUGAUCUUUCUUGUCAGUAUACUUUUUCAGGAUGAUAUUUUUCUACAAAUUCAGAAAAAUACUGCCACUUUGCCAACACUGCCAUUAUGUCACUCAUAGAGAUACCCUUCUCCACUACCCUGUCCUCCUUCAGAAACCAGUCUCUUCAACUGAAUCUAAAUGUUGCUCCUGAAGUUGCAGGAGUUCAUCUGUUGUCACCUCCUCUGAGUAUUCCUUCAUGAGAUCAUUAGUGACCCCAUCAUCAGCCUCAAGGCCCAUGGACUUGCUAUGGACAGGUGUCUCAGAAUCAAACCCCUUCAAGUAUCUUUUGGAUAUGCAGCCAGGCCACAAUUUCCUCAAUGCAGAAUUCAGCAUUCUCCUUCUUAUACCCUGCCAGGCCAUAUCAAUGAUUUUCAGGCAGUUAACAAUGUUGUAGUGCUCCUUCCAAAACUCACAAAUGGUUAGAUUUGUAUUUUUGGUAACUUCAAAGCACCAACAAAACAGGUGUUUGGUGCACAAUUUCUUAAAAUUUGAAAUCACCUGUUGGUCCAUGGGCUGCAUGAUAGGGGUGGCAUUGCAUGAAAGAUAUAGGAACUUUUAUGAAUUUAAAUUCAUCCAGGAUAUCAUCUUUGAAGUUAGGAGGGUGAGCAGGAGCAUUAUCGAGGAUGAGGAUGGCCUUGAGAGGAAGAUCGUUCUCCAGAAAGUACUUUUUCACUGCUACAAUGAGGUAGUGAAAGUGCUACAUGAGAUUGACCCGCUCGGUGAAGAAUUGCCUGGUGACCCAGGCUUUAAUGUUUGCCCUCAACAUGACCUGCAGCUUCUCCAUUAGGAUUUUGUGCAACUUGAAUGCUUGUGGGUUUUGGGAAUGGUAAACAAAGAAUGGCUUAAUUUUCAAGUGUGAAGUUGUUUUAUUUAAUUUUCCAAAAUGAGGUUUAACUUUGGUUGAGCCAUAUUCUCUUGGAAUUGGUCAUUCUGCCAGACUUACUGUCUGUAACUGUUAGAUAAUGUUCUAUUAGUAUGUGAUGGAACAUUAUUAUGUUGGAUCUGUUACAUCAUCACAUUCUAAACUAUUCCAAUUGUAAUUUUGUUCUCCAGAAUGUCUUCAAUAUUUUCACUGACCAUUAAGAUUUGUUUUCUUUAAUUAUAAAUGUCAACUUUGGUUCUGAUGACCUCAAAACAAAUCGACUCAUUAUGUUCUUUGUAAACCAUUUCCUUUCCUGCCAAUGAUUCUAAAUAUCAUCAUCAUCAUCAUCAUUUAAUGUCUGCCUUCCGUGCUGGGAUGGGUGGGACUGCUGGCAAUCAAUGUUAGAUUACAAGCAAAGUACUAUAAAUAAAAAUAACAAUUUGAAAAUAUGCAGCAUAAAUGUCAUUUUCAAGUUCUAAAGUGAAUUUUCUCAAAGACAAUGACCAGUUCUUUGGUCUUGGAUUCCUCAACUCCGGUUUGCAGAAUCAAAGUCCAACAUUUAUUUUCAAGUAUAAUGAUUUCAAUAAUUUUUUUUAAGAGUUUACUUAAAAAGUGGAUAUGUAUAAUAAGUAUUUGGUUUGGUCCCCACUUUCUUUUGUAUAACAAGUAUUUGAUUUGUACCACCUUCACUUUGCAUUGUCCUCCCUCCUUCAUUCUUCAUUCUGUAGUCAUGGUGUUGGACAAGUUUAAAAAGUUAGAAACAUCUGAAUGCUAUUAACACUUAAGCAUUCAGGUUAGUCUGUCAAAUGUAAUGCAUAUCUAUUCACAUUGUUUUGAAUUAAUCCUGCGUUAUUUUGUAACUUUGAGAUUUCAAUGAUGAGACUGCUUAUUCUAGAAUGAUAUUGUAGAGCAGGUAUGAGAGGUCAGAGCUGACUGGUUUGAACAUAAAACAGGUAGAAUAUUUGGGCCUGAUAUUGCCAGUUUAAAUGCUAGUGGGUUAAACUUUUAUCAAAUACUCUAAAGAUUUAUGAUUUUCAUCAGUAUUAAAGCAGAUUAGUUUUGCUGAUCAUGUAAUUGGUGAAUGCCUAUAAUGAAUCAAAUCAAUAAUAAGGUUUUAAUUAUUAUUUAAACCUGGACAUAGCGUAGUGUAGUUAGAAUUUUCUUUUUUAUGUUUUUAAAAAAAAAACGAAAUGAAUUUGUUUCCUUUGUACUUGUAUUCAUUUGAAAAAGCACAUUAAUUUCAGUCCUAAUCUAAUAAUCUAUAUUCUGGCUUUAACAUAACUUCUACCUGUAUUUUGCAGGUUCACAUUAGGUUUUCUGUUUUCAAAUCUUCCUUACCUACCAUGCUGUUUUCUCUCAUAAAUUAUGUCUUGUCUGUGAUUAUUGAUAAUGGGACUUAAAAACUGAGCUAAUAGCAUUGACUUGAGAAUCAACUAGGAAUAUUUAUUCAAUUUUAUCAAAUUUAUUUUAAUUUUUACCCCCCUCUCACUCCUUCCUAUUAAAAUAGGAGAAUAAUUUUGAAUUUAUUUAAAUCUAUUAUAAAUAUUUAUCAGUUGGCAUAAUGGUUCAAAGGUAGCUUUCAGUUUAUUCUAAUAAACUGCAUUCUACUUCAGUUUUUCAUUAAAGCUGUGACUAAUGUCUGUUUUUGAAAUCACCAGUGUCUUUUAAGAAUGAGAGAGAGAAAUAUGGUUGAUAAAUUUCAAUUUACAUUUUAAUGGUUGACUUUAUUGACCUGAUUUGAUUUGAUUUGAGUUUAGAAAUGACAUGCACCACACCAGAACUCUCUCUCUCUCUCCUCUCCUCUCUCUCUCUUUCCCUCUCUCUCAGCAGAUUUAAGACAAAGAACUGGAUAGAUCUGACAUAGGGUAUAAAACAGAGUUAAAGAUGCAUGCAUUAGGAACAUGUUCUACUAGUGUUAGGAUGUAAAACUCUCCCAGCAUAGUGAUGAUUGAUUACUGAAAAUUAAUUUUAUAACAUUGAUGUGAUAGGAUUCCAUGAAGACAUGGAAUGAAGUAGUGAGGACCAGUCUCAAGACAUUGGGCCACACAGAGGAGAUGAUAAUAAACUGAGAUGUCUGGUGAUAUGUGGUUCUUGACAAGACCUGCCCACCUCAGCAAAACUGAGUCCCUGGCGUACUGUGUGUCCCACCCACAUGCAGCAUUAAGUUUUCAACACCCUGCCCCAAUGAAUCAAACUACAUCUCCUCUUCCUCACAUUUCCUCUUUUUUAUGCAGUGUGCUUAUCUCUCCUUCCCCACUCUUGCAGCUCAAUCCAGUCCUCCCUACCUUGCUCAUUGUAUCAUUGCUAUUCUGUUGUCCUCCCUCCCCCCAUAUACUUUAUAUAACCUCUCAUCACCUGGCACAAAGCCACUUCCUCUGAUAUUCCUUCCUCCAAGGAUCUUCAUCUUGCAAGUUACUUGGUGACCACACCUGUGUGGUUGGCAUUAGGAAGAGCAUCCAGCUGUAAAAACCAUGCCAAACAGGCAGUGGAACUUGGUGCAAUCCUCUGUCUUGCCAGCUUCUAUCAAACUGUUCAACCCAAGCCAGCUUGGAAGAUGAACAUUAAAUGAUGAUGAUGAUAAAUAUACUGUUGUCAUCUUGGUUCUGCCUUAUGUCAGAGGUGAAAUCUUUAAAAGAUUUAUCAAAACAGUUUCAAGUGCUGCUUACAUGAAUCUCUGAGACUUGACUUUCUAUUUAAAACCAUUUUGAUGUGAAGGGGUCAGGGUGGGGAACCCUCAGAAACAACUUCAAUUACUGAUAAUUUUCUCUAAUUAAAAUGAUAUUUCAGAAAGUGAUUUUGUAUUUGUUUUAAAUGUAGUUGUUGAUAGGCAAUGAAUCUAAUCUAUCAAUAUAUCUAAUUAAUAGACUAUACAGUUUUAUUGAUCUCUUUACAUUGGAAAUGACUAUCAUCAAUGAAUGAUCAAUAUUUAAAAAAAAAAAUGUUAUUUUGAAAAUGUUUUGUGUUUGUAUUUUGUUUUAGAUUUUGUUAGGAAAUGUCUUCCAAAUCCUUAAUAUUUAUAACAGAAUGGUAAGUAAUAUCAUAGAAGUAUAGGAGUGGGGAGGAUUGUAAAACUGAUGGCAAUUUAAAAUUUUAUUGCAAAUACAUGGACACAGUUAUUUUAUUACAUACAUAAACAUGUAGUCAUUUAGUUUAUUAGAGAUAUACACACAUUUUCAUUUAUGCUUUUACACCCAUACAUGCAUGAAUGUGCACGCACACACAAAUAAUCAUUUUCUUACCCAAACACAUACAGUCAUUUGAAGCUGCUUGUUCACUUUACUGUUACUCUGAGUUUCUUGUAAACAUUUAUAUUGAAGUAAUGCUACUUCUUGAAUGAGUGCCAAGUGAAAAAUGCGUGAUCAACCUCCUCUCUCUCACUCUCACUCUCACACACACACACACACACACAUACACACACACACACACGUUUAAUAUCUGAUAGUAUUUUCACAAUGCUAUAUUAUACUGAGAUGCACAUACUUCAGAGUUUGAAAAUACAUUUAUCAAAUUCACAGAAUAAGUUUGUGUGCCACUGUAAACUUUAUUGAAAUUUACUUAAACCUUGUUGCCAACACUAACCCCCAUCUCAGACUUUAGUUGUUUCCUCUAUGAAAAUUCUCUGCAAAAUGUUCUACACACCUUUGGGGUGUUUUUAUUUUUUAGUUACAUCCAUGGACCCAUAUUUUGAUCAAAUUCAGUUUUAAAUCAUUUGUUUAUUUAAAACUCAAUAUUGUUUUGCAAACAAAAAUUUAUGAAGUACUGAAAUUACUAAUGAAGAAUUUAUUUAAAAAUGUUGUUGAUACCCUUACUUUUAGUUUAACCCUUUAGCAUUUAAACAGAUCAUACUCAGUUAAAAUAUUAUACCAGUUUUAAGGUAAAACUGACCAGAUCAAGUCUCUCACACCUACACUGCAAUGUCAUUCUAAAAACAGGUAGUCGCACCACUGAAAUCUCAAGGAAACACAAUAAUACAUGAUUAAUUCAACACUACGAAUUUUUGAAAAUAUUUAAAUCUAACUUCUACUGUACUUUUUCUUGGAGAGCUUUAAAAAAAAAUUAUAUCUCAUUAGUGAAAUUUGGAUGAAUAUUUUAGGAAAUAUAACAAUUUGAAUGGUUAGUGAAAUGGUUGAAAUUUUGGCCUAAUUUAUGUAAAUCUGAAUAUAAAGGGGUUAAGACCAUGAUGGUGGCUUGUUUAUGACAGGGAAAACUUCCUCACAACUUUAGUAAAGUAGAAUACAUUUUGAGUGCAAAACAUUCCAUUUGUUUGCCAAAAGAAUUUGACCAAUGUAGGAAAUUGUUACUUCAAAAAAAAUUAGAUGAAUUUUUAAACAGCCAUAAAAUUGGGAUAAAAUUAUUAUUUGUGUGUGUGUGUGUGUGUGUGUGUGUGUUGUGUUGUGUUGCGUUGUUGCAGUAUUUUGUGUUAGUCUAAAGAAAUAAACACAAACACUUUAUGGUGAUAUGUAAUUGUCAGGUGAGAAUGCAUCUAUUAAUCUAUAGCAGAAAUUGUUUCGGUUCACAUCACUAAGCAUGAACAUUUUUGAAAGUAGAUAAUUAUCAGAAAGUCUAUUGGGUGAUAAGAGAAGGGCAGAAUUAUCCAUUUGGGUGGUAUCAUAUUUCCUCAAUGUACUCAAAUUAUAUAAGUUGAUGAUACCUUAGUGUGUUUAUUUCCUUGAAUUAUAUUUGAGAUAAUACCAUAAAAUACAGAAAUUAGUUUUUAGGUUGGAGAGAGAAAAGAAGGUCAUUUGUUCCUUAUUUGAAUCAUAUUAAUAUCAUGUUUUUGGAUGUUUCCGUAUUAUCAUUACUCAAUUGGUGAAUUUAGUAAAUAGCUAAUUAGAACCAAUUUAAAAUUAAUUCUCAGCAAGAAUGAGGUUCUUCUGUGAUAAAAUCUUGGUAAACAUUUCUUUACUAUGGUUAUGAACUCUAGCAAUAUUAGUCAAUGAUUUUUAGGGCUUCUUUCCUGUGAGUCAGCUAUACUUAAUAAUCAGCAAUUAUUUGAUCAGAACUGUUGGCUAAUUUUAAGACAUACAGAGAUGCCUUAAAAAUCUUAUCAUAAAGAUGUUUGCAGUUGUAGGUUCAAAUGACAAUUAGAUGAUCUCUUAAUGGACUUGGAUUGGAAUUGAAUGAGAGAGAGAAAGCCUUUACCUAGAGUUAUGACUUGAUGAAGUGAAAAACAUUUAAUUUGUUAGAAAAUGUAUAUGGUGAUCACAAUGAUGUGUUUGUAUGUAUUUAACAUACAUUACCUUUGUAUAUAUUUAACAUAUAUUACUUUUGUGGUGACUGCUGUGGAGUUCAAUGAAAAGUUCUUGAUCCAGUUUUAACAUGACUGAGACAAGGUAUCACUAUGAAUUUUGGAAAAUAUUUAAAUCUAACUUCUACUGUACUUUUUCUUGGAGAGCAUAAAAAAAAAAACUUUGAUACCUGAUUUGUGAAUUUUGAAUGAAUAUUUUAGGAAAUAUGACAAUUUGAAUGGUUAGUGAAAUGGUUGAAAUUUUGCCUAAUUUAUGUAAGCUAUAUUUGUGAUGUCAUAUCUUUGAAACUGAGGGGUAUAAUCAACUUCAAAUUAUACAAAUUAUUGGUGACCAUAGUAUAGUAGUCGUUUAAUUUUUUUCAGGUUCUUGGAAAGAAAACAUUUUUUCUGGCAACAUUUUAAAUAUUUAUGUAAAGCCUUUUUUGUUACAUAUAACAAAUGGUUGAUUUUUGCAGUGUUUUCAGACAAGCUAAAUUCAAAAUUACAAACCACAGGAACUUGAGUUUUGGCACAUUUGUAGCAGGUAUAGAGAUAAAUAAAUCAGGAGAUAUUGGGAUUUGACAGCAUUUACAUAAAGUAAAAAAAUGUGUUUUUUCAUGUUCAAACUGUGCUUGUCUCUAUUGUACAGAACUCUAUAGUGAUACCUACUGAGGCAAUCAGAGUUGUUAACCUCAUUGGGCUUACAACUAAUGAGUGUCUUGUUACAAGGAAAUAUACUUUCAAUAUAUCUAAUAUCAACAAACAUUGUAAUGCAUUUAAAAUAUUUCUAAUAUGAAAUCACAUCCUCAGCUGGAGUGAUAGGGAAUCAGAAUGAUGAAGUGGCCACUUUAUUCUUAGGUAGUCACUGACAUUAGAGGUGUCUCUCUAUGGAUCUGGCCUUCAUCUGCAGUUUAGAGUUUAGCUUAUUUUUUGGACAUGAAGUUCAGAUGUGAACUAAUAUUUGAUAUUAGAUCUAUAUUUCAUUUAAUUAGAAGACUUCAUACACAUUGGCAAGGUACUUUGAUGUUGUAGAUCCCCAGAUAGUGAAAGCACAUUUCAUGAGAAAUGAAGGCUCUAAACUGCAGAAGAGACCUGGACUCUCUAAGGUACAUAUUCAAACUCAGUGGAUCAGGAUUGACAUUCAGUCAUUUAGACACAUAUUAUCUGAUACCAACAAGGGCAUUUCUUACUCCUCCAGCUUUCUCUUCACACAUUCUAAACAUGUUUAGUCAUUUCUGAUUAUGUAAAUGUUAAAUUCUUUUCAAAGACAUCCACCUUCUGUUAGUAAUAUUGUUUACAUUAUUGGUAUAAAUUAAAACCUCUACUUGAAUGCUGCUGCUGAUGAUGUGUGUUAUCUGUUAAUAUAUAGACCAUAUUAAAUACAUGUUGAUAUAACAGAAACUAAAUAAGAAAUUUUUUAUUAUGUGUUGAUCAAUGAGAUAACAUUAUUGAGGCUGACAUCAAAUGCAGUGUAAUGAAAACCAUCAAUACUAAAAUGGGUUCUAUAGUUGUAUCUAAUUUCCCCCCUUCUUUUCUUGUGUUUAUUUGCUGAGAGAACUUUUCAUGAACUUUUCAGUGCAGAGUUUACUUUUUCAAUUUAUUUUAUUGUGUGUGUGUGUGUGUGUGCGUGCGUGUGCGUGUGUGUGCGCGUGCGUGCAUGUUUUAGAUUACAUUUAAAAAUAAGCAAACCUGAAAUUCUUUUUAUUUGGCUUGAUAUAGUUGUAGUAUCACACUACUCUUUCUACAUCUGGGUGGGUGUUGGAUGUUUAUUUGAUAUUAUAGACGUCAUCCAUGGCCUUUCACACAGGUGAUGAAAGUAGUAUGUGCACUCUGUUCUGGUGAGUUUAGGGUGGCUCGCCUGUAGAUGUGUAGAUGCAGAAAUGUUAGGGCCUUCUGAAGGUUGUUAGGAGGGUUCUGUACUGCAAUCUUCUUACCUUUGAUACCUGAGUUUUUUUUACUGCUGACCAUCUCUUGUAACCAGUCCUGAAAUUAAUACAGACUUCCAGUUGAUGUAGGGCUACACCAGUGAAGUCUUUAAACCACUUCUGAUAUAAUCCUAGGUACAUGUGUCCCUGUGAGAGAGCUCCAGAGACAGGCUGGUAUGUGGGACUACACUAUCCAGAUCAUGUGUUCAGUGCAAUGGAGUGGACUUUUUAAAGUCCUUACUUUAAUUAGGUAUCAUUAUGAAUUUUUGAAAAUAUUUAAAUCUAAUUUCUACUGUACUUUUUCUUGGAGAGCAUUCAAAAUGAAACAUUUUGAUACCUCAUUUGUGAAUUUUGGAUGAAUAUUUUAGGAAAUAUGACAAUUUGAAUAGUCAGUGAAUUGGUCAAAAUCUUGCCUAAUUGGCCUAAAAUUAGCCAUAUUUGUGAUGUCAUAUCUUUGAAACUGAGGUGAUGAUCAUCUUCAAAUUACACAAGUUAAUAGUAUCCAUGGGAUAGCAGUUGCCUUCUUUUUUCAGGUUCUUGAAAAUGAAACAUUUUUUUUUUUGGUAAUUUUUAAAUAUUUAUGUAAAACCUAUUUUGUUGCAUGUAGCAGUCAAUUCUGCAGUGUUUUCAGAGCUAGCGAAAUCCAAAAGCUCAAGCCAAAGGGACUUCAGUUUUGAUACAAUUGUAGUAGGUAUAGAAUGAAAUAAAUCCUGAGAUUUUGGGGCAUGAUACCAUUUCAAUAAAAUUUUAACAGACUGUUACAAAAUGGCUAUAAAUGGCAGAUUUUUGGAUCAGGACGUCAAUAUAAGUUGGAUUUUCUCUGUCUUGGUGAGGAUUUUUCUCUUCCUUGUUUUUUUUCCUCAUGGCCUUGGAAAUGAUGGAGGAAAGCUUUUUAUGAAACUUGUUGAGAAAUAAAAGUUGAAAAUUGUACUUUGUUACAUCAAUUUCCAAACUUUUAAAGUUCUAUUCAUGUUCUGACAUCUUUCCCCCUCUGCUGAUAUUCCCUACCUGUUCUAUUUGAUACCUCUGUCCCUAUACUCAAAGUGAUUUGAGUUUACCUCUAAAGCCUGUUAUGUUUAGCUUUGUACUAAGGGUAGUAAAGUUAAAGUUUUAUCAAAGUCGAUGAAAGUCCUCUGGAUAUAACCCCUCCCCCACUACUUCAGUUACCCUAGGUCAGCAAGGUUUACAUAAUUGUUUUCUUUCAUUUUUAAACCUGUUUGGAACUUUUUGAAAUUAGAAGAAAAUUAAUAGAAAUUGUUACAGCUCUAAACUGGUUCCACCACUUCUUGAAUGAGGGUGGGGGAGGAUAGAAGACAACUUGUGACUGGUUGGUGAAUGGAAAAGAUUUGUUGGGUAAUGGCAUAAGAUUAAUUGAUUAAAUAUUGAGACAUACCUCCCCCCCCACACACAGUGUUAAAAAAUAAUUUGAUUUUACUCUUUUCAAAUAAAAGACAAAUUAUUUGGACAACUGAAAAUGAAUUGUGUUUCCAUCACUGGAUUUUAUGUUGUAAUAUAGCAAUAAAUUUACUUUCACCAUUUUCCAAUAGAUUAACAUCAUCAAUCCUUUUGUUACCAUAUUUCUGUUGAAAUACACUGCCUUUGUUUCAAUUAAUUUUGGAAAUAAUGAACUUAGGAAAAUUACUCUCAUUAUUAAGUUGGUGUUUAGAAACAAAUUAACAUAAAAUCUUGAGAAAUUUGAAUUAAGAUCACUUUAAAAGCAGGCAGUUUGUAUUGUAGCAACUAGGGUGUUCUCGGGUAGGUUGGUAUCAGAAGGGGUUAAUGUUAAAGACAAGAGGCUGGACACACAGGCACACAUUUAAUGAAUAAUGAUUCAUUUAGAGCUUUGUUUGAAUUAUAUUUAUUCACUGAAAGUAUUCUCUUCUCUCAUUGCUUCAAGUUAAGUGUGAAUGUAUGUGAUCACUUUAACCUCUUUAUUAUGACGUUUCUGUUGAAAUGCAAUGCUUUUGUUUCAAUUAAUUUGGAAAAUAAUGAAGGAUUUAUCAAAAUAACUGUCACGGCUAAGCUUUUCGAUUGGAAGAUAAAUUAACAUGUAAUUUUGAUAGGUUUUAACUUAGGUCACUAUUUGGGAAUGGCAUGAAUAUAACUUUAUAAUGAAUUGUCUACCUCUCCUGUAUUAUAAACUGUGGUAGUCAUUGAGUGCAGUCAGUGUGUCUUUUCACCAAAGAGUGCUUUACAACCACCUCCUUUACAUUCUUGGUAUGUUUUGAAGGAGAGAGAGAACAACUAAUUAAACACAAACUACUUUUGUGCAGUGCUCUAUUAACAAUGUUUUCUCAUCCUGUCCCACCUAGUAUGUGUCCUCAUUUUACAUAUUUGCAUGGAUUGCUGCUUCCUAUGUUAAAAAACAGUCAAAAAUACAGAAUGGAAUUAUAUUGAACCUUUGUGUAUCAUCAUCAUUAUUUAGCAUCCACUUUCCAUGCUGGCAUGAGUUGGACUUUUUUUUUUCACUGGUAAUAUGACGGUUAACUUGUAUUUUAAUUCCAUCAAAGACUUUUUGGGAAAAUGUCUAAAAUAUGGUACUGUUGUUCAGGUUUUAAAUGUUACAUUUCUCAGAAAGAUCACAGCUCCUCUGAACUCCCAAUACCUCCAUAGCAUCUCAUUGACAUUUGCUAUCCCCCUUGUAAAUUCCCUAUGUCCUGAGGGGGUAGGGGUGCUACUGUCCAGUUUCCCACACAUCAUCUUUUGUGUAUAAAAAAACAAACAAAAAACCCCUUGUUUAACAAAUAUCAUUUGAACAUUUUUUUUUUUCAUUUGAUAUGUUGUUUGCUUUUAGGCCUUAAAUGUUGGUAGUGUAAUAUUAGAUGGCUCAAGUUUUUCUAUGAUAUUUCAUUGUUAACUCCACUACUACUGCCACUAUCUCAGUAACAUUAUUCUUGGUGCAAUUAACUGACCUCAGUAUUUGUAUCCCACUCUCACUGUGCAAUGUUAUGUUAUCUUUCUUUGUCACUUUUUCUCAAUUCAUCACAUUCUACCCUUCUCUAUCUUUUCACCCGUCACAAUCUUUUACUCUCUCUACUAAUCUUAAUGAUAUAAUUCUACAUUCAUUCACGAUUUUGUUGUCAUGUGAUCACUGUCUCCUCAUCUUUGACUAUAAUCAUUAAAAAUAUAUAUAUAUUUUAAUUCUCCGCCCUUACAGUGUUAUUGAUAAAACAGACUGUGCUGUUAAACAUUACUUCAACAUUUGGUGAUGUUUGGAUCCGAUGUCUUUGUUUUUGUUACUUAACAUUUUAUUUGCAUAAACUCAGUCAUAACUUGCACUUUGACUUUAGCUUACCUAAUUUCUCUGAUCAUGUCAUCAUAUUUACUCUUUGUCUCUCUCUAACUACAAUAGCAACAAUCUUGGUGCAAUUAAUUGCUUUUGAAGUUGUUAGUGGAGAGGAUUCUACAUGAUGCAGUAUUGAUAAAGUCUAUAUGUUUUAUUUAAUUUCACUAAAUCAACCAAUCUUACUUUAGAGAGACUUAUAGCUAAAUUACAGCUAAAUUGUUUCCUCCUUCCCUCUCUACCUCCAUAACUAAUUUAUUGGGAAACUACUUGUUUACUCAGACUGUGGCAGAAUUGGUUGAACCUACAGUUUCUGAGUUCAAACUGCAUUAGAGAUGACUUUAGGUUUUACCCUCUUGAAAUUAAUAAAAUAAAUGCAAAUAAGAUACGGGGGGGGGGGGGGAUUCAAAACCAAGCUAAAUAUAUGUCUCUGAUUUGUUUUAUUUGUUUUUUAGAUUCAUUUUCUUUUUCUCUAGAUACUUUGCUUAGUAUCUUACUAUAACGGGUGUUAUAUCCAUCUGUCCACUCUUCACGGUAAAACGGUUGGACCAGUGGUCAUGAUGCAUUUGGGAUUAUGAUGGAGGUAAUCAGGAAGGUUUUUAGUGAAAAAAAAAAAAGAAUGAAAAAGUAUGAUUAUUUAGUGUAUAUUGAGUUUUGUAUUAAUUAAUCACUUUUGAUUUUUUUUGUUAAAAUUCCGGUGUUGAGGAUUAACUCUGGAUCCCACCCCCACUCAUGUAUAGUUUGUGAAUUUAAAGGGUUUAGAUUUGCAACACUAUCCCCUUAUUUCCCAUCGUAGAUGGGCAGAUUUGCUAUCUUACUAUACUGGGCAUUAUGUCUGUCUGUCUUCCCUCUUCACGGCCAGACAGCUGGACCAUUGGUUACAAUAUUUUUCGGAAUUACAAAGACAGUCGCCAGGAAGGUUUUUAGCUUUAAAAAAAUCAGGAAGUAUGAUUGUUUUGUGGAUAUCAAUUGAUAAGUCACCUUCACAUUUUUAUUAAAAAUUCACCAACCACAAGUAACUCUGGAUUUUCAUUGUAUAGUUCAUGGCACCAUCGUAGAUACAAAGGAAGUAGCAAGGACGGUUAAUAGUGAAAAUAAAAUGGAAAAAGUGUGUGUCAGUAUAUAGUGUGUGUGAUUAUUUAGUGGUUUUUGAAGUGUGUCAGUCUCGAGCAGGAUUCAAAACGGCUAAUUGAAGUGGCUGUUGUUUACAUCUCAGUUUUGUCAAUCAAAAUAACCCAUGGUGCCAGAACAUCCAGACAUUAUUCGUAUAGAACAAUGAGAAGUAAGUCUUAGUUUGAUUUUUUGCAACCCUAAAGAUUCCAUUCGUGUAUUCACAGCAAACAAGGCACAGGGCCAGACUUUAGAUCAUGUAGGUAUAUUUUUAUCCACUCCAAUAUUUACACACAAUCAGUUGCACAUCACUAUGAGUAGAGCAACAGACUCCAGUAAUUUAAAAAUUAAGUGUCGACCAAACAGAAAAUAUCAUCCACAAAGAAGUUUUGUAAUCAUUUUGAUAUUAUUGAAAGGAAUGUGUUUCAUAAUUUAAAUAAGGAAAUUUGUAUAAGAGUGUAAAAUAGUGUAAACAACUAUCUAAAUAACAUUUUUUUCUUAAUACUUUUAUGUAGUGGUCAAAAGAAGCUCUGGCUUUCAUUAGGAGUGAUUCACGUAACCAUUCAUGAUACAGAGGCUGGGAGCCUAUUUCAGUUCAGGAGUGAAUUGUCAUCACAUAUCACUUAGUCACAAACACAUGUCAUAUAGCUGCAAUAGAAUGCUGUAUCACCAACAACAAUGUGAUUUCUCUAAGACAUCACCCAGUAAUCUAUCAAGUUUAUUGACACAUUUCUCAAUACAUACUGCCUUUAUGACUUCCCUCCCUCAUUUUAUGCCUCCAUCGUAGAUGGGUAAACUUGCUAGAUACUAGGGGUGGAGCUUCAAAACCAAGAAAAUAAAGGUUUCAGAUUUGUUUUGUUUGUUUUUGGUGAUUUAAAAUCAUUUUCUUUUUCUUUAGAUAUUUUGUUUAGUAUACUGGUAGCUUCUAAUGCCAGUUUCCAGCACCAACUGUUGUAAUAUUCUAUAUCUGGCCAUAUCUCUGUAAACAUUAUCAUCAUCAUCAUUAUUAUUUAAUGUUCAUGCUCCAUACUGGCUGUGCCCAGAUGCUUUAACAUUCUCCAUGAACACACCUCUACAAACCAUUUUUCUCAUCAGUCAGAACAUCUGACCUAUGCAAUUAAUGUGUCUUAUAGAAGAGACUCACCUCACAACAUUAUUAUCAUCAGUGAAAACAGUUUCAUCUUAGACCAGAAAUGGUGUUGUGAUCUCUGUAAUCCCCACAAUGUUAUCAGUGUCAUUAAAGAAUGCUAAAGACCGAUUUUCUAAUGAUUCUGACUAUUUCUGUAGUAACAACACUAGAUCAUCAUCAUCAUCACUCACUAUCAUCAUUGUUUAACAUCUGUAUUCCAUGCUGGCAUGGGUUGGACAGAUUGACUGGGGACUGGCAAGCCACGAGGCUGUACCAGGCUCCAAUCUGAUCUGGCAAUGCUUCUACAGCUGGAUGCCCUUCCUAAUGCCAGCCACUCCGAGAGUGUAGUGGAUGCUUUUUAUGUGCCACCGGCACGGAAGCCAGUCAGGCAGCACUGGCAUCAGCCACAUUCGGCUGGUGCCUUUUAGUGCUACUGGCACAGGUUGCCAGUCAGGUGGCACUGGCAACGACCCAUACGUAAAUGGUGCUUAUUGCGUGCCACCAGCACAGCGACCAGUCAGGUGGUACUUUUAUAAGUGAUUAAUGCAAUACAAAAAAGAAAAAAACUUACUGUGUUAAUGGACAGUUUACCUGAGAAGCAUCUCAGCAGACAAAUCAUUCAUCAUCAUCAUCAUCAUUUAAUGUCUGUUGUCCAUGUUGGCAUGGGUUGGGCAGUUUGACCAAGGUUGGAAGGCUGCACCAAACUCCAGUCUGAUUUGGCAUGGUUUCCUAAUGCCAACCACUCCAAGAGUGCAAUGGGUGCUUUUACAUGCCACUGGCAUGGGUGUCAUUUGUGUGACAUCGAUAUCUGUCACGGCUGCGAUUUUUCUUGGCUUGAUGGGUCUUCUUCUUAAGCACAACAUAAUGCCAAAGGUCUCAGUCCAUUGCCUCUGUGAGGCCCAACACUUGAAAAGAGCUCAGCCACUUUGCCUCCGUGAGGCCCCCAGAGCCCUUUUCAGCCAAAGCCAAUAGCAGUCAUUUAUUCCCUCUUACCUUCCUUUGUCUCUCUUACUCUGUGUGUGUGCAUAUGAGGGAGAGAAGAUUGCAUGUAUGUGGGUGUGCAAAUGUUUGUGUGUGUGUGUCAUGUAUUUGGUGUACCUUUUAUCUUUACCACUCACCUACCACUGCUUGUCAAUUUCUAUGUUCCUCUUCUUAUGUUAACUUGCAUUUACUGUCUCCCCAUCUCUUUAUAUGAUGCAAAGUGUGGCAGGAGAAACCAGCCAAAAGGUUAUUAUGAAAUAGAGAUCAAAUUUUUUUGCUAAAACUGCUUCAGUUUAAAUUGUGGAGAAAGUAAUAUUGGUUUCAAAUUUUGGCACAAGGCUAGCAUUUUGUCCUGUAUUUUGCCCAACAUACCAACAAUUCUGCCAGCUUGCUACCUUUGUAGAGAAAGUAAUAUUGAAUAAAGAAAAAGACACAUAUAUAUAGUAGUAAUGAUGAUCAUAACAAUAGCAAUAAUAGUAUUAUAGUCAUGAAUGAUGUGAAGAAUAUUCCAUUUUUCAGGCUAUUAUUAGAAGUAAGAAGUAAUUCUAGUCUGGGAUCAGGAUUGCAAUUAGCCAGAAGUUUACUGUUAUAUCAAAACAGACUUUGGAAUAUUAUAUUUUUAAUGCUGCUGACAAUGCCAGAUUGAACGGUACUGCCCAGGUGUCAAAACCACAGUGGGCAGUGAUGAUGGGGAUGCACAUAUAUUAUGCUCAAUUGGGAAUUUCUUAUAUCUUAGACUUAUAAAUUCUGGGUUGUCCUUCAUUCUUGUGAAAUGCAAAGUUUGUAGAUUCAUUGUUUGUGGAGAUUGCUUACUUUGGUAUUGUUUAGUUUUCUUAAUAGGUAACCUAAUUAGGCUUAGACAAUGCUUAGUUUAGGAAGAUUCUGUGGCACACACAUUCAUAUAUAUGUUGUUAUAUUUGGGGAGUGUCACUUUUAGCCAACAAACCAGAUGCACUCCACAUGCCUGUUCCUAACUUCAUCCUCAUAAUAAUAAUAAUAAUAAUAAUAAUAAUAAUAAUCUUAAUCAUAAUCAUAAUAAUCUUAAUCAUAAUCAUAAUAAUCAUAAAGAUGAAAUGAAGAACAAGCACAUAGAGUGCAUGUGGUUGAUUGACCAAAAUAUGACCAUCCCCAAAUAUAACGAGAUUGGAUUCAACACAAUUUCACAUCAGGAAUUUUGCAAAGCAAAUGCAUAAAUAUUCAUCCAUCUAUCCAUCCGUAUGUAUGUAUGUAUCUCUUUAUUAGUGAACUUCUAAGGAUUUGAAAUGUCAGAAAGACAUAGGCUAACAGACAAAGAGAAAACAAAAAAGAAGAUUCAGUUGGAAUUUUCCAAAGUUCAAAGAAUAGACUAAGUCUUACUUAUGAUGCUCCAGAUUAACAUCCCCAAACAGUAAAGGAUCUGGGGACUCUGUCAAAGGCUUUCUCCAUGUUGAUGAAAGCCAAGUACAGAGGUUUAUCUUUGGCUAGGUAUUUCUCCUGCAGCUGUCUUACCAGGAAUAUACCAUCAGUAGUACUUUUCCCUGGCACGAACCCAAACUGCAUCUCCUCUAAGCUAACUCUCUCUCUAAUUAGUUGGGCUAUAACCCUCUCCGUAACCUUCAUUACCUGAUCCAGCAGCUUAUAUAUAUAUAUAUAUAUAUAUAUAUAUAUAUAUAUAUAUACUGGGGUGUGUGCAAAAGCAGGCAUACAGCCAAAGUAAAAGAAAAUACACACAAAACUCAUUUAUUUUUAUCAAAAAAUUAAUAGUUUAUGAUAAAAGUAUUAUUAUAGUUAUGAUAAAUGUAUUAUUAUGAUUAAUGACACUGGAAAUAUCAAACAUGAGGUUAACUUUUAAUUUUUUUUGAUAAAAACAAAUGAGCAUUGUAUAUGCAUUUCCCUUUUCACAACUGUAUACCCACCUUUGCAUCCACCCACCUGUAUAUAAAUCUAUAUAUAAAUACACACAUUUAUAUGUUUGUCUACAGACAUAUGAAUAUGUUCGAUGGGAAGAUAUAUUUGCAAAUGUGGCCCUUGCUGGAGCUAAUAUUUCAGUGAGUUGAUGUGUUCAUACUAUUAUCCGUUCAAAUAUCUGAAGUAAAAUCAUUAAUUUCUAAUUACCAGGCACAAGAAAUUAGGGUAAUAUUUAGUUCUAUAAAUGAAUAUCUUUCAUUCUAAAAUAACAUAAUGGUGGUUACUGGGAAAAUAGGUGUGUUUAGCCACAGUAGGCUCAUAAUUCUGAUUGUGUUGGGUCUCAGCUUUGGUAAAGUGAAAAAACUCACAUGCCCUGUCACUUAAAUUGUGUGUGUGUGUGUGUGUGUGUGUGUGUGUUGUGAUAAUUUAGUUUUGAAACUAUGAAAAAGAAAUUUGAACUUAGGGAAAAAUAUUGCAAAAUUUUUUGUUAAUUUUUUUUUACAGUUAACCCCUUAAUGGAUUAUCCUGAGUUUACUUGUGCAUCGCAAAUGUAUCUUUUUAGAACCAGACAAGUAUACUCGGCCAAAAUUAAUUUUUAAUUUUAACACUCAAAUGAGUUUGUUCUGUGUUGUUUCAUUUUUGAGCAAUCACAAAUUUACUCACAUUGUUUAAAAAAAAAAAGUAUUUUUUCAUUUGAUGGAUUUGGCUAUCUGGAAUGCUUAUGUUUUGUAUAAAGUAUCUCUGAAAACUUCAGCUUCUGCUAUGAAACCACUGAAAUCUAGAAUGCAAAUAAUCACCAAGAUUAUUGAAAAAUAUAGGCCCUUAUUGCCUUCCACGAAACCAGGAAGACCAUCAUCGAUCCCACAUCCAACAAGAUUUGCCCCAGCUGGUCAAUUUCCUAUGGAAAUACCACCAAGUGAUAGGAAAAAGAACCAUACCAGACAGUGUGCAAAAUGUGCAGAGAAGAGAGACACCAAAGGAAAGAAGAUUCAAAGAGAAAGCAGAUACAUGUGUGAUGUCUGCAAGAUAAAUUUGUGUGUAACUCCUUGUUUUAAAAAUUAUCAUUCUAAAUAAACUAUCUCAUUUUCAAAAAAAUUUCCUUUGAUUUAAAAACAAUGCAUCUUAUAAAAAAAUCCAAGAUAGUUAAGUUAUAUGUAUUUUUUCAAUGUCUGAGUUAAUUCGUUUAAAUCAAAAUGAGUAAAAGUACAUUUUAAUUUCUAUAAUAAAAAAUAAAGGAAACAAGAUAAAAAACUUUUUUUGUAAUUAACACAGUAUAUAUAAUUAAAAAAAAAUAUUCUCUCAAAUGAAAUGCCAUGUCAAAAUAAUCCAUUAAGGGGUUAAGGAAAACUGAGGCAGCUUAAAUAUUUCAUCGCUUAAAACUAAUUCACUUUUACUAAAUAAAUAAAUAAAACUAAAUAAAUGCUAAUUCUGUUUCACUUGAAAUGGUUUCUAAUUUCUAAUUUUUCUGAAGUUUGCAUUUCUAGGUCGCUUAUGAAUCUACCUUAGCUGAGACAUAUUUUCUUAAUAUGAGUUUAGUUCUGCUAUAUAACUAAUAAUUGAACCAAAUGAAACUUAGUUUACUAAGUGUUUAAUGUUACACAAAUUGGUUAUACUUUGCUCUAAGGUGGAAUAACCCCUCCUUCCCUGAUUAUACAUAUAUAAUGUAUGUGUGUGUGUAAAUAUAAUAAACUGUGGCAAAAUUCCAGCUAAUUAAAAAUGAUCUGUAUUAUAUUUCAUUGAUGAAUUCCACUGAGUUAUUAAAGACUUGAAACAUAUUUGUGAUAAGAUAGAAAUUCUUUUUGAAAACUAUUUUCUCUUAAGUAAUAAAUUAAAAUUGAUCACAAUACACCAUGUAACAAUCUCUCUCGCUCUCCACACAUCCACAUCUAUACCACACUAGUGUUCUUUCAUUGCGUUCACUUUUUCACCUCAGUUCUCUUUUGCCACUCUCUCUUCCAAUGGCCUCUUGGUCAUAUUGUUUGUAUCCAAUCUCAUUAUCUAUAACCAUCAUUUAGCUGUUCCUCCCUCCUCUCCUUCUAUUUUUCUUUUCUAGUGUCUUGUCAUCACUCUGGUUCUUCUUUUCCAUUACCAUCCUCUCUGCUCUGGCUCUUUUCUCACCCUGAUGUGUAGGAAAGAAGGGAAUGAAUGCAUAGAGACAACAUUAGAGAGAGGGACUGUUCUAGUUUAGCCAGAGAAGGAACUCUGGUACAGGUGAAAGAACACAUGGUGACAAUGUAGGGUAGAGAGGACUCCUUAGUCCUGUUGAAGACAACCUUUGAAGUGCUGGUGCUACAAUAAAAGAAACUGAUUACACUUUGUAAAGUGAUUGAAAUUAGGAAUGGUAUCCUGAUGUAGAAAAGGAACAUAAGAGCAAGUUGUGAACCCCUACCCGACUACAAUAGUGUUAUAAUUAUUACAAUGUUGGAUUAUUAAUAACGCCCACUUCGGUAUACAGUAUACUUAGUAAAACCAGUAAAGACAUGACUAUCUCUUACUACGUACUUCGUACUCUGGUACUUCACGUAUUUUUCUUUAUCCAUAGUGACUAGGUUAUUCCAUUCGUCAUGUAGGAGGGGUGUACCAUUAUUACUAAUUCCCUACAUCAUCUCUCCUUUUAAGUUUUUCAUAGGAAGUGUCAUUUUAUUUAGCAAAAACUUUUUUCCACCCCACCUCCCUCUUUUGAAUUUUUUUUCUUUCUUUUCAUGCAGUUUAAUAUUUUCUGCCAUUGGCAUCAAUUUUCAGUAACUCUGUAUGUUUUCUUUUCUUCUCACUUGUUUCUUCUCACUGCAGGUUCAAUCACCUGCAGUGGUAUUGGUACUUGGAACAUAUCAUACAAUCAUUCCAUCAGUUCCACCAACUUCUUUGGUUUGCUUUCUAUGAAUUUCUUUUUCAGUUGGUUCCUAUAUCUCUUUUGUAUGCCUUUUCUAGUUCUUUAUUGAUCUGGUUUACUGCUGCAAAUGGCACAUUCCAUUUGGGUCUGAAAAUAGGUGUUGAAUUUUCUGUGAUAGCUAUCUCUUCUUUUGUUUUUGUGAAACAGCCUAAACCUUCCAAACUUACACUUUUUGUUUCAGUUCAUUGACCUCAUUCGAUGAUUUGACUGCUCCAUUUAUGUUAUUGUACAAAACGCUUAUGGAUGUAUCCCAUAACUCAAAUUUCUCCAUACAUUUGGUGCCAAAUAAAUUCAUGGAUUUUUCUGACACAUAAACACUCACUUUUUUGGUUCAACCUUUGAACAUUAUAUUACAAACGUAUUCACCUGUGAAAUAUAAUUUUCUUCCUGUAACACCAUACGCUAUUUUGUUUGAACUACAUAAUUUUGGUUUACCCAUUUGUUUCCAUGUUUUCUCAUUUAUGAUUGUGAUGUCACUUCCCGUGUCUAAUUGCAUUCUGAUGCUAGUGGUUUCAAUUCUCACAUUCAUGAAUUUUCUGUUUGUUGUAAUCACAACUUUUCCUGCUGACAGACUAUUUAAUUUUUCUUGUUCGUUCCAUUUUCCUAUCUGUAAACCUGCAGCAAUAACACUUUUCUUAUUUAUACAGACAAUCUUUUUUCAGGUGCAUACCAGCACAUGUCAUACAUGGAUCUAUAUCCCAGUAUUUUUUCUGUUUUUCCUGCAACACUUUAUUUGCCUUGCAACUUUCUUGUGCUAGUCUCAUGUGAAGACACUCUUUUCAUUAAAUUUCUUCCAUUUCAUGCCAUAAUUUUAAUAUCAUGUCACACUCUUCCGAUAGUUACUGCAAUGUCAAAUACGGGUUCAUUUCCAGUUUUGCUAGAAUCUUCAUUCAGAUUUCUGCAUCUCUUUUAUCUGUCAACACUUGUGCAAAAAUCAAACACUUGUAAGAAUCUGGAGUAAGCAUAUCCAGCCUAAAUCUCUCACAUUCUUUGUUGACUCUGCCUGUGUAAGUAGUGAAGUCUUCAUCUUCGUUCUUUUCUAUGUUUAAACAUUUCCAUCUAGUAUUAAACAGUGAACUCUUUUCACUAAACAUUUUGCACAAAAUGUCAACUGUGUCGGUGAAAUUUAUGUUGAAUGCUUUUUUUGGUAAUAUGAAGUUGCUAUAUUUCUCAUGCUCUGCUGUCACUAAUUUUCUUAAAACUAGAUGUGUUUUCAUUUCAUCUGUUCAAUCCUGACAUUCUUUUUCACAAAUUUGUUGAAAUCUUUGAAAGUAAGCCUCAAAGGUUACUCCUUCUUUGAGGUCAUAUUUGAAUUCGCUUAUGGAAUUUGCGACAUGGUUAGGUGAAAAUGUAUUCUCUAGUUUGAUUAUCAACUUCAUUAGUUGUAAUGUUUGUUGCUGCAAUCCUUGUUGUUUCUUGAGUUGUUGCUGCUUUUGCAACUCAGCUACCCCAGCUAACAAGUCUUCCAUAUUUUACAAUUUUCGUAAGUUUGCACAAAAUUUUUGUUUCUCUUUUGUCAAGUUAUUUAAUUUUUCACGUGAAUUAGUUUAAACUCUCUGUGUGGAUGUUUUUUUUUCCACUCUGUAAAUUUGUUUUUUCUUGUUGGCACUGUUGUAGAGUGGGUUCCUCCUGCUGGUGUGAUGUAUGACUGCCAUUGUACUGUAGCUACUGUUUUAUGUUAGUAGCCACAAUAGUUACUAGUCAUCAAAUACAGUUGUAUCUCUUUGUACCGGAAUAGUAAUACACUAACUUCUGUCUUACUAUUGCUGAUAGCUCUGCAAGACACUAACUAGAACUGUUGACUCACAACUCUUUCUCAAUGACUGGCUACUGAUCUAUUUAUAAUGGCUGCUUCCUACCACUUUUUACUGGGAGGGGUAUACAGUUUCACUAUACCACACACAUAUAUCUUAGCCUUUUUCAUUUGACCUCAACAUGUUACAUUACAUAUGAAUUCAUCGAAAAAAUAUCUUUUUCCUGUAACACCAUGUGCUACCUUCUUUUGAUUUAAUUAAUUUUGGCAUACCAAUAUAUUUCCACGUUUUUUCAUUUAUAAUGGUAAUAUCACUACCAGUGUCCAAUUGCAUUUUAACAAAUAUAUUUCUGAUUUUCACCUUCAUGAAUUUCUUCAUCAUUAUAUUAUCAGUUUCUUCUGAUGAAAUACUAUUUAUUCUUUUUACUUUGUUCUGAUGUUUUGUCAUCUUUGUUCUACUAUGCAUCUUUAUAUGUCCUAUAUUACCACAAUGAAAGCACUCUGCUUUUUUAAAUGGACAGUUUUUCCUCAGGUGUAUACCUCCACAUGCAAAACGUGUUUAUUUCCUGAUUUUGGUUUCGUUUUUUUAGAAAACACUUUAUCUCAAUUCUGACUAUUUCACACUUGCUUUACCUGGAAAUAUCAUUACGUUCAAUUUCCUCUGUGUCAUGUCUAAAUUUGACUAUCCUUUCACGUUCUUCUGACACUUGCUGCAGGGUUACAUCCUGGUUUUGUUUAAGCUUUGUGAAAAUUCUAGAUCUAACUUCUGCGUCCCUUUCAGCAGUAAGUCCCUGUAUAAAAAUCAGGCAUUUUAACCUAUCUGGCGUUAAUUUGUCCAGCUUAAACUUCUCACACUUCCUAUUUACUCUAUCAGCAUAUGUGAUGUAGUCCUUGUCUUUGUUUUUCUCUUUGUUCAGACUCUUCCAACAUGUGUUGAACAACAAACUUUUUUCACAAUAUAUCUAUUGUGUCAUUAAAGUUUAUGUCUGAAGGUUUUCUUAGGAGUACAUAAUUACUGCAUCAUUCAUGUUCUGUUGUUGCUAGUUUUCUGAAGAUUAAAUGCGUUUUCAUCUUGUCCCACUCUUUACAUACUUUCUUGAAGAUUUCUUCAUAUCUUCUGUAGUAUGCUUUGAAAGCAACUCUUCAUCAGGUUAGUGUUUGAACUCUGUUAUGGAGUUCACGACAUAGUCUGUUGAGAACACUUUUUCUGAUUUUCCUGAUGACUUCAGUAAUUGCAACAUUUGUUGCUGUAAUAUUAUUUGUUAUUGUUGUUGCUUCUGUUGUUGCACUUGCAGUUGUAUCUGCAUAAUGUUUAUGAUUUUUUUUGGUAAAAUUUGCAUGACAAAACUUUGUGAGUUUAUUAACUCCUCUUUGAGUUUCUAUUAACUCCACAUGAAUUGGUUUAUCCUCGUUGCCACUGUUAUAAUCCCUUUAAUGUUGGAUUAUUAAUAAUGCACACUUCGGUAUACAGUAUACUUAGUAAAACCAAUAAAGACACAACUAUGUCUUACCGCCUACUAUGUACCAUGGUACUUCAUGUACUUCUCUUUACUUAUAGUGACUAAAUUAUUCCAUUCAUCACUUAGGAGGGGUGUACCAUUAUUACUAAUUCCCUACAACAGAUAGCUCAUCCAACUAAUGGGAAAAGUGAAUAUAAAAUGUUAAUGGUGGCACUGCCUUCUCCUCCUCUAACAUCCCUGUUCUUUGCUAUUAACUAACAAUAUCAACACCAGUAAAUUCACCUAUUUCCCAUGGUUUUCUUAUAUAAAUAAAUUAAUUGAUGUUUCUGAUUGGAAAACCAUUUCCUAGCUUGCCACAAUUCCCUUGGCUCACCUCUGUUGGACAUUCUAGGAACUAAUAUUCUAUAUUUUUAGCUCUCCUUGUCAUUUGAUACAUGUACAGUCAAAACAUUUAUAUAGAUUUAAAAUAUUCAAUAAAAAACAUUGCCCUCAGUGUUUCAGACAAAAACAAAGGAAAAAACUAAUAUCCUACCUGCUCAGUCUGCAUCCUUCUUCAUAAGCAAAACUGUUAUUGUAAGCUAAAAGAGAAGGUCCAAGCCAUUAUAUUGGUCAUGCUUUAUAUGCUGCUGGAUUGCCAUUCUUCAGUAUUCAUGACAGUGAUAUCUCCCUGCUUGAGCCUUACUCUGUUUUCAUUUAUCAUUUACCCUAGGUAUUUCUGUUUGCAUAAACUCUGCUCAAAUUUCUCUCUCUUAACACUCUCACCUGUACACUGCCUGCCCCUUUCACUAUCAACUCCCUUUACAUGCAAAAAAACUUCUUGCUGACACAUUUUGCCUGAGAAAGAAAGGAAGGAAAAUGCUAACAGAGUUAAAACACCUCUGUGAUGCUCUGCAAAUAUCUUUGUUUUUUUUUUUUGACUAAAUGAAACAAAAAAAAAAAAAAAAAAGAUAUUUUCCCCUUUCAUCUUCUGAAAUUUGACAUAUUGGACUGUUUCAUUAGCAAAAAUUUGAUUCAUUUCUGUGUUUCUAUUUCAAGGAUAUUUUAAACAUUCUAUGAUGGAAUGUACUUUCGACAUUUAUUCAAUUGUUUAUCUUGUUGAUUAUCCAACACAUGGACGGAUUUUUUCGUCCUAUUUAUGAGAGUCAGGAGUUGAGAAGUGGAACAGCUCUUAUUGCUUGUUGCACAUACUAUUCACUCACUUGCAUGCACACAUAUGCUCACAUGCAAACCAUUCACUGACAGGAAUAUAACCUGUCUGUCUGCCUGUCUGUCUGUCUCUGUCUGUAUAUCUCUAUCUUCUGUCUGUCUGUCUGUCUCUCUUUCUCACACAUGCAAACAUGCACACAUAAACACACAUGUGCAUGCAUAGAAAGAGGCAUACACAAACACUCUCUUGCUGUCUUUUUUCUUCUCUUUCUUCUUCUUUGUGUUCUUGUAUAUCUACAGGGAUUGGACAAGGGUGUUGGACAGAGGCGUUUCCAUUAUUUUGUCCAACCCCUGUAUUUUUUCUUUUCCUUUCUCUUUAUAAAAAUUUGUUUAUCCCUUCAGAUCCAAUUUUCCUAUGCGGUAUCACUAUCACCACAUCCCUGCCUCAUUCUGCCUAUCACAACCAACAUUUUCAGCUUUCAGCUCUGAGCUCUCUACUUGUUUCCAGAUUUCCCACAGAAACCUUCCACUCUCAACUCACAAAUUUCACCUCUAGCAAGUCAUAUUUCUACACCGUUCAUGCUUGGCUCGCUUGCAUUUAGCCGUUCAUUGCACACCUAAAAGACCAUGUUUAACCUAUUCUUCUAGCUUCUCUGCAUUCAGCAUCUGCAUCUCAUUACUCUGCAUUUCCAUCUUUCUUGCACCUGCUGCACACAGUGUUCAUAAGAGAGCAAUAGAAUAAGUACUAGGCUAACAAGCAAUAAGUCCUGAGGUUGAUUUGUUCGACUAAAGGUGGUGCUCCAGCAUGGCCGCAGUCAAAUGACUGAAACAAGUAAAAGAAUAAAAAAGAAUAAAAGAAUGAUCUACAUACUUUUGUUUAUGAAGCAAAAGAGAUGCAAGGUCACUAAAGAAAUUACAGUAAAGGUCUAUAAAACUAUAUCUCCCUGAUCAAAAUGUGUGUUGUAUGCAAUACACAUAAAUUUACUAUAAAUCAUAUCUGCAUGAGGGACCAGCAGAAGAUCAUGACUCUAGACUUGCUUGCAGUGACCUUAUCUCUUAUGCCAUGAAUAUCUGUUAUGAAGAUGGUGACUACUGCUGCUGCUGUCACCACAGCAGCAGCAACAGCAUGAGGCUUGCAAUUCUGAGGUGCAAUUGAUUAUAUCUUGCCCCUCAGAUGUAAUCGACUGGCUGGUACUUUAUCAACCCCAAAAGGAUGAAAGAUAAAGUUGGCCUUGGUGAGAUUUGAAGUCAGAAUGUAAAGAGCCAGGAGAAACGCCAGAAGCAUUUUGCCCAAUGCACAAAAUACAUUACUUGGAACAGCAAGGAUCAUAAAAAGAAUUGUUGUGACCUGAGACUUGUUGGGUGUAGCUUGUUCCAAAGAAAAAAUUUUCUGGUUCAACCAUCUCACAUCAAGAUAAUUCAAAAAUAAUAAUAAUUUCAAAUUUUGGCACAAGGCCAGCUAUUUCGGGGAAGUGGUAAGUCGAUUCCAUUGACUUCAGUACUCAACUGAAAGUAUGAAAGGCAAAGUCGACUCUGGCAGAAUUUGAACUCAGAACAUGAAAACGACAAAAUACUGCUAAGCAUUUUACUCAACAUACUAACAAUUCGGCCUGCUCAUUGCCUUAAUAAUAAUAAUAAUAAUAAUAAUAAUAAUGACAAUAAUAAUGACGACGACGACGGCGACAGCUUUAGUUUUUGACACAAGGCCAGCAACUUUAUAAGUUCUCAAGUUGAAACUCUUUUUAUUAGUAUUGUUAAGAACACCAAGCACCUCAACUAUAUUAUAUCUAGCUUCGUAAUUGUUUACAAUAAAAUGUCUUUUCUUGUAUGUGGAAGUAUAUAUAAUUACAUACACAUGUAUGCACAUACAUUGUGCAUAAUGAAGAUAAUUUUUAUGCAAAGUUAGAAAGCAUCCAACCUAAUAAUCCAUUAACUGACUUAUAUUUGUUAUUUCUUGUAAAAACCAUCUCUGUUUAUUUUUACAAAAUUUUUGGUGUCUUUUAGAAAAAAAUCUGACACUUUCUUUGUAUUUUUUUUUUAGAUAUUUCUUUGUUCUUUCAUUAUUUGAACCUAAAAUUGAUUCUGUCUACUCUCUGCUGCAAUUGCUAUCUUGCCACUUUCCAUACAAGUACUGCAACACCACUAACACCAUCACUGCCACCCCCACUGCCAUUGCCACUUCUAUCAACUGUAACUUUCACUCUGUUUCCAACUCCAAAUAGCUUGUAAAAUUGUUUUGCUGUUGUGUUUUUUAAGAAAGUUUUUGUAAUGUAUCCUUUCACAGUCUAUCUUUUCACUGGACUUGAGAAUUUCAUUUCCCAUCAGAAGCAUCAUUUACCAAGGCUAAAAUGUAGAACAUGAAUUCAAUUGUUGAUCUUAUCUGUAUGGGUUUUAAUACAGUUUUAAAACUGUUUUAAUAAAUUAAUUAUAACUAAAUACUACUUCUGCUUCUUUCUCCACAUUUACUACAUAUUCCUGCUGAACUUUCUCUUUUCAUUCUUUAUGUCUCUAGAAUUGCUAAGUCUGAUGAUAACCUUAGUCUAUGAAACCCAACAGAGUUGGAUGGAUUGACAAUACCUCAAUAUUAUCAUGAAGCAGUGUACUCUGAGUUGACUCCUGUCCUUGCCAAAUGUCUGAACCUUCACUAAGAAUAGAAAUGCACAACAGUUUUGUCUUUUCCCAUGAACUGCAAACUUUGUAUUUGGUUUAGUAAUCAUAUUCCAACAUUUCUUGUUAGUUCAGUUUUCUUUUUGUGUAGCACAUUACAAUAACAGCAACACCCUACAUCACACAUGAUAGGUAUAUUUUGGAGAAAAGGAAGUUGUCAUACUUGACAUUCACAAAACCAUCAUCUCCUUCUGGCAAAGCUGCCUGUCUACAUAUUCUAUUUAUCAUUGGCCCUUACAUUGAGAUCUUCUUGUGAAAUUCUCCAACAUGUUGAUACCAUUCUCUCCUCCUCCUCCUCCUCCAUUAAUGACCAACAUACUGACCAUGUCUACCCUUCUGCUGAUCACAUGACUCACUACUCCUCCAUCCUUCCCCCUUCACCACAGCAAUGUUACUGGUUCCAGACACAUGUGGCACAACCACAUCACACCAGACACAUACAUCAUUUAUGAAGAGAAACUAUAAAACAUGCUACAAAAAUGAUUUAACAAAAGAAAUUAAAACAUAAAAUAAAUAGUUCAAGAAAACAAAGCUACAAGCCUAGCAGCUAUAGUGUUGAUGGUGAUGGUCAUGCCUGUUCUGAAAUAUAUCUUUUAUUUGUGGAACAUGUCUUCUUUUACACAGUCCAGUGUUGGAAGUCCACAAAACUGUAUCUUGUUAUUCACCUCUACCUAGGUUUCAAAUACUUCUUAGAUAUAUCCAACUUUGAGGGUCUAUAUAUUCUUGUUCUUCAACACUAAUGUAUAUAACUUAAGAAGUUGAAUAUGAAAACACUUGUAUUUAGCCAUAUUUUAUUAUUUAAAUAACUUAUAUAUAAAUAUUGGUUGGUUACUGACUUCUAGAAUGAAAUAACAUAUUCUCUUGUCAUGUUUGACUCGUGUAAAAACUUAGCUCAGCAUUGUUCAGUUUUGUUAGUCUGUGACUGACUGAUACCAACAGAAAUUAACUAUAAACUAUAGCAAAUUCUAAGAGAUAAAAGGUUUCUGAAGUAGUCUUAAUUAUUAUAAUAAAGAAAGAUUGCACCUCUUAGAAUAUGUGUGUGUGUUGCUUACAUUGUUUUAAUUGUCUAAAGUGCUAAUUGUAUGCUAGUUAAGAGAAAUAGCAUUUUAAAGUAAUAACCAUUAAUUAAGUUCUUUUUAUUCACCAGUUAUUAUUGUUGUUGUUGUUAUUCACUCUUGACUGUUAGUGAAUAAUACUCUUAAUGUCAACAUUUAUUUUUUUUUCUCAAUCACUUCAUAACUAUCUAGCUAAUUUAAUUCUCGACCAAAUCAAAUGUGAUUAAGUUCAUUGAAAGGACCAGUGCUAUAUUUUGAGAAUUGCAAGAGUGGAAGCAAAACUUGGAAUCAAAGGAUCUUAAGUUAGUGAGGAUGAAGCUUCUAGUACACAAGAAAUCAGUCAGGACCCUAUCCCCAUCUUAGGUAAUUGGCCCUGCUCAGUAUGUAGGAAAGGUGUUGGCAGGUAUUCCAUAUGGUGUAUUCAGAGCAAGCUAUGGACACUCAAGAGGUGUGGUGGAAUUGCAGGAAGGUUAAUGGAGAAAGUAGUUUUUGUAUGUGAAGAUGAUCAAGGGUCAUAAAAUCCAAGGUUACUGCAAAUAAGGUAACUACGCCUUAACGUGGGCAUAGCUUUCAGCAAUCAUUCACUGAUUUGGCUAUGAACAUGAUGAGGUGAUGAAGAGGGAGUGGCAGUCACACUUUAAAGUCUGUUAACCUGUUAUGUCUAUUAAUAAUUAGAGGAAUAUUAGAUUCAAUGCUGUAAAUUUAUUAUUUAAUCAAACAAAAAAAAAAUAUAAAGAAAAAUAUCACAGCUAGGCUUACUCUAAAUUCCCACAUUCAUUCAGAGCAUUCACAACAAUUUCAUUGUAUUUAUUCUUUGAAUGCAAAAUGCUCUAUUAAAAAUACCUGUACAUCAACACAACACUUAUUAGUUUAAACUUUUGUGUUUAGCCCAAGGUAGACCACUUGAAUUUUAAUAUGUUCUAUUCUGUUAAUGAGGUGAUAAAUCAUAGAGACAUUUCAUGUAUCUACUAACUGUGUAUAUGAUCAUGCACUUACUGAUGUUUUAAAUACUUUGUUUGGAAAAACAGAUGGCGAGGGGUGAUCUGUCAAUGGUCCAUCAGAAUUGACAAAAUGCUGGGAGCAAAUAUGGCUAUUUGCAGUGUAAACAAAUUCUUUCCUCACAAGUCUCAAUCUCUGAAGCCAAAUACAACAAAUAGUGACGUUUUCAGGGUAUCUAUGAAGUGAAAUAACUUUGCCGUCUACAUUCUUCCCUCUAAUAAUUGCUGCAUAUACAACAGUAUUUGUGUGAUUUCUUCGGAGACAUAUUAACCGGUCAUACAGCCUGUGAGUUGUUAGUCUGCUGAAGUAAAUGCAAGUCACUGAGCAUGCGUACAUGUCAUAUGGGAGAGUUCCAAUCGGAACCACCUAUAGCAAGAUGCCUGUGCUUGUCCUAUCAUACUUCAGCCUUUCAACACUGGCAUAAAGCUACCCACAUCCACAUGUCCCUCCCAAAUACUUCUUAGUAGUGGGAGCUUUUUCUUUUUCCUUUUUCAUGCUCUUUUCUGUUUUGUAAGUCACAUGGCAACUUCACUAGUGCCAAAGACAUGAAAAAGUACCCUGUACAUUCUGUAAUUUGAGUGGUGUAAGGAAGGACUUCCAGUUGUAGAAACCAUGCCAAAGAUGACAUUGGAGCCUGACAUAGCCCUGCAUCUUGUCAGUUCCCUGUCAAACCAUCUAGUCUAUGCUAGCAUGGAAAGCAGAUAUUAAAUGAUGAUGAUGAUUGUUUCUUUACUGCUGUUUCAUUAGUCUUUCUCUUGUUUUUUUGUGAAGUCACACUUUUCAGACCAAAAAAAAAUAUUUAAACACUAUUUUUAUCUUUUUAUUUUCAGAAGUUGUAUCCCCCAAGAAAAGUUUUGGUAUGUAUUCCAUUUGUUUCUUGUCUGUUUCUUACAGAAGUUGUGGCAUUAUUGCAUCAAUGCUACAAGGGUUCUCAUACAAAUUUAAGUGUAAGCUACUUAGUGGUGAAGUGGUUUCAAUGAUGAAUUACUUGAUAGAUAUGGGUUUAUCAAUUCUCUUUUGUGCAUUGCUCUAGUGUAAUGUUUUCCAAAGGUGUUGGGAAGCGGCAUUAUUUUGAUGUGAAGUAUGAAUUACUUCAGGAUAGGAUGUAAGCCAGUAACAAGUGAAUAAAACUUGUGAUGAAGUCUUAGUUAAAACUCCUUUUGAAUGUGUUUAUGUAUAUUGUAUGGUAUAUAUUUAAGACAUAUACUUCAUGCGAGAUGUAUAGUUUUUUGGAAGUCAUAGAGAUGUGGGACAAAAAACUAGUGUUCUAGCACAUUCUUCACUUAAACAUUUCAGGUGAAAAUAAUCUGCUUGACAUCCUUCCUUCCUUUCUUCCCAAAUUAUUAAGUGACGAAUUUAGGGACCAUAGUAAUGUGUAGGACUAUAAUUUCCUCUUGUGUGUGCGCACUUACAAUGAGCAUUCUAUAAAAAAAUAUAUAUAUAUAUAUAGAUUCUUUCCCUCUCCUCAUCAUAUAUAUAUAUAUAUAGAUUAUUUCCCUCUUCUCAUCAUAUAUAUAUAUAUAUAUAUAUAUAUAUAUAUAUAUAUAUAUAUAUAUAUAUAUUGGGUGUGAUGAAUAUACUGUCAUCUAAAUUAUGCAAAAAUGAAAAUAACACUGGCAUCUCAUUUUAACAGAUAUAUUUACCAAAAUUGCAUAAAAAUAUCUUGAAAUACUAAUGAGUAAAUUUAUUCUAUAAAAUCAUCAUUGGCUUCAACCAUGGCCUCCAGAUGACUUCGGAAUCUCCUGCAACUCUUCUGGAUGGUCUCCUUGUUUAAGUUGGUGAAUGCUUCUAUAAUCUUUGCCUUCAGUUCAUCUUUGGUGUUACAAGGAGUUUUGUUGGUCUCUUGCGCAGUUGCAUUCCACACAUAAUAAUCAAGGGGUUGCAGUGUGGCCAGGUGUUAGAAAUGAUGUGGUUGCAGAAAUUGUCUGACAACUGUGACUAGGUUCUCCUGUUUGUGUGACAUGGUGCAGAGUCCUGUUGCCAGACAUAGGAUCUUCCAGCAGCCACCCUUUUGACCUAGGGCAGCACUUCCUCCUCCAGGCACUUGAUGUAGGCCUCCAUGUUGAGUCUGAGGCUGUGUGGGAAGAUGAAUGGAGACAUAAUGUCGCCAUCACUAGUGAUCACUCCAAACAUCAUGAUGUUGACUGGAUGUUUGAUUUUUGUCACUCUCGGUACAUGUCCUUAGAUUGCACUGUCCUCAGAUUGACACCCAAACAUUCUGAAAUGUUUGUAUUGGAGCUUCCAGCAUGAAUGCCAAGCAGUACAGCAUAUCAUUUUCAAAUUUCUGGCAGAGUGAAUUGUAUCAUGGUGCUGUUUUUCUCACAGACAGUACCCAACUAACCCUACUAUACUGCAUUGUCGACAAAACCAAAAACAAACAAUGCCCAUGCCUGAAAUUAAAGAUAUAAAAUGGCAACAAUUUUCCCCUCGCACCCUGUAUAUAUAGCAAGCAAAAUGUGUCUAUGCAAGUAUCUUUAACCCUUUAGCAUUUAGACUGACCAUAUCAGGCCCAAAUAGUCUACUUGUUUUAUGUUCAAACUGGUCAGAUCCAGGCUCUCACAUAGCCUAUAAUGUCAUUCUAAAAAUGGACAACCACAUUAUUGAAAUUUUGAAGCUAUGAGAUAAUGCAUGAUUAAUUCAAAACAAUGUGAAUAAAAUAAGUGUUAUAUUUGACAAAGUAAUCAGAAUGCUAAAGGGUUAAUGAGUUUAUCUGAAAACAGAAUCUGAAUCAAUAAGAAAAUAUGUAUUCUUUUUAUCUCUCAAUUAUUUUGAGCACAGAUGUCUCUCUCCCUGCAAUACAUUUAUUUUUUCAAUAGAAAUUAUUGACAUCUAAGAAUUAGAAUUUUUUUUUUUAUGUCUUAUUUUAAAAAAAAAAAUGAGUGCAAAGAAUUCAGUAACACCUGCAUAGUUAUUUAGAAAUAAGAAUUGAAGAUAGAAGCAGGUUUUAAAUCAAUUGGAAUUACUUAACAUGCAUUGGCCUUUAUCAGCUUCUAGACAAAUACAUAAAACAUUGGCUUGCUGGCUGCUGUUGGUAGUGUGCCAGAAUCAGUAUCAGCCAGAUUUCUAUUUCAAAUCUUAAGUGAUCCUGUCCUGUAGAUUUGCCAAAAGAAUAAAAGAAAUGAUUUGUUCUGUGCAAAGUCUGCCCAUGUGGUUGGCAAGCAUUUGAAUUGAACUCUUAUUUGUGUAUAUUAUUACAUGCAUUAAUAACCUCAGGAGGUGUGUUCAUCGUUCAUCACCUAUAUAAUUUCAUAGCAAAUGAAUCAUUACACACAUAGACAUGUUUGGGAAUUUCCAAGUGUAAACAUAUAAUCGUAUACAUCAUUGUCAUUUUAAUGUUCACUUUUCCAUGGGUCAGGUAAAUUUGUUGAAGCAGAUUUUAAGUGGUUGGAUUCCCUUUUCACAAACCUUCAUCAGUUUUCAAGCAAGUUAUUCCCCACUAGUCCUUUAAAUAUGAACAGCACACAUAAUUACAAAAGAAGCCUGUAUAACUGAAGUUUCUGGACAAAUGUAUGUUGUCAAGAUUACGACAGACUUGCACACAUACAUGACAAGCUUCUUUCAGUUUCCUUCUUCCAAAUCCACUUGUCCAAAGUGCUGCACAGUAAGACUGAACCUAAAAUCACAUGACCAUACCUGCACCUAUAUUUAAACAUAUUUAAAGUUAUUCUGCUUUGUGCUAGUGGCCCUUUUAAAACAUCCUUUUUCAAGCAUCUAAUUGGAAGAUUUGAUAUUGUUGUUUAGCAAUUAUUAUACAUAUUUAACAAGUUUAAGGGAUAAUAAUAAUAAUAAUAAUAAUAAUAAUUUUUCUAAUUUGAGGGGAGUCGAUUAUAUUGAAACCCCUCUUCCCCAGUGCUUGACUAGUGCUUUAUUUUACUGAACCUGGAAGAACAAAGUUGACCAUUUAGGAAUUUAAACUUGGACCAUAAACUACUGGAACAAAUAUUACUAGGCACUCUAAUGUCUCCUGUUCUUACCAAUUUGUCACCCAAUUUUGUUUUCUUUUAUCUUACUUCUGUAUUUAGUUUAUAUUUAAUUAUUGUAAAAAAAAACAUUAGAGUUAAUUGAUUAUUGUAAAGAGUUGAUUAUCUAAUGUCACAGAUUUUUUUGUACUUGAGAUUUAUUUUAUUUCCUUGAAAAGAGAAAUAGCAAGAUUGAUCCAGUAUUGUUUGAACUUAGACCAUGGAGAUCACAUCUGCUACCAAAUAAAGUGUUUUAUUUGAUGCUCUGAUUCUCUUACCUGUUUCCCUUUUAUUGACCUGCUUUCAUUUACAAUCAAGAAUGAGUGUUUCUGCCAUCAUCACUCCCUCUUCUUGAGUCCCCACCAUCAUUCACAGUUGAGUACCUUUUCUCCUCUUAUCUAUGGUCACCACCACCACUAUUUCUGUCCAUCAUUCAUCUUACCUACUUUUGUAACCUUUGCCUACCCUUCCUGAUCUUUCAUUCUCUCUCUCUCUCUCUCUCUCUCUCUCUCCUACUCAUAGGUAACUUUAAUGAUAUACCUUGGCUCCUCACCACCAUUACCUCCCUCUUUCUCUCUGAUACCAUUCCACUCGCUCUCACCUAUAUACAACACAAAAUAGUCCUAAAUCUUCUCUUACUCCACCCUUUCCACUGUCCUCUUCUUCACUCUCACCAGCCUGGAAACAUUACUCCUUUUUCUCCCCACCACUCUUUAUCUUAUUCCGACUUCUCUGACGUGGGAAUUCUUCUCUUUAGUCUUGCAAGUUACAAAGGGACAUCGCUAGUGUUGGUACUAUAAAAAAGGCACUCACAACACUGUAACGUGGUUGAUGCUAGUGGCCAGCUUUUAAAACAUCCUUUUUCAAGCAUCUAAUUGAGAAGAUGUAGAAUGAUGAUUGUGAUAAAGAAAAUAAAUGAGCUACAAAUAUAUAUCCAGAAUUCUAAUCCACCAAAAUUUUUUUACUACUUAACCCUUUCGUUACCAAACCGCCCAAAGCCGCCCGAAAAAAAUUUUGGUUUAUGAGACCAAACCGCCCAAAGCCGCCUGAAUUUACCUAUUCAUAUUUAAAUGAGAAUAUCAGAGCAAAUCUCUUCAGUACAUUCGUGAAAACACGUAUUAUACUUCGUAAACAGUUCAACUACAGUUUUGUACAAUAAUCGAAGUGUAAUUUUAAUUCCGUGAAUUUUGGGAGAUUUUUUUCCGAAAUUUGUUCCUAUUGUGUUUUCAAAAUUUGUAAUUCUGACAAAAAAUGGAUACGAAUUUCAUUAUAUCAAGCAGCGAGUCAGAAUUCGAAGGAUUUUCUACUGAAGACCUUCAUAAAUCUAACUCUAUGACUGAAAAAAAAAAAAGCAUGUGGUAUUUGAUAAUGAAUCUGAUAUUUCAUCUUCCGAAAGUGAAAACAGUGAAUCUGAGAUCUCCGAUAGCGAUAAAGAAAACGAAUUGGCACCUGAAUGGAGUGAAAAUUUAAAAACUGUUUCUUUCGGUGAUUUUUCUGAAGAAACUGGACCAAGCCACAGACUUUCCCAGAAGGGUAAAGCCUUAGACUAUUUCUAUUUACUUUUUCGAAUGAGCCUAUUUGAAAUCAUUACGGCAGAAACGAACCGUUACGCUAAAAUGUAAACAAAACGAAAGAAAGUUUAGUUUGUGGUUUCCCACAACCUUAAAUGAAAUUAAGACUAUUUUGCCAUAAAUAUUGUUAUGGGUAUCAGAAAGUUAUCCAGAAUAACAAAUUCUAUCGUAAAAUUUUGUUGUAUACCCAAUUGAAUAUUAGCUAAUAACCCAUUUUCUAUAGCGAUGUUUGAACAAAAUUUUAAUAAUUUUAUAUUUUGUUGAAUUUACCUGUAUCUACCUGCAAUUAGAGUCACUUUGUGACAAAAAUUAUAGUAUAGAAUUGGUUGAGAAUAUUUCAUUAAAUUAUCUUCCAAAAAUCAGAUUAAUAUAUCGAUAAAUAAAAAAGUUAUAGUUGUUUAAUGAAACCAGACUAAAUUUAUGAUUACGUUAGAAAUUAAUUGAAACACAUAAGGGGUGUAAUUUGGUCAGAAAUAUAGUAACGAAAGGGUUAAAGUUUAUGAUAAUGCAGCACAUUAGUGAAGACAAGAAAAAUUAUUGAUGAAUCAGUUAUUUCAGGUGACCCAAAUGAUUGAUGUGAUUUAAUUUUCCCUUAACCUUUAGUAAUAAUAAUCCACAUCUAUCUUAGUUACCACCUCAGUUUCUGCAUGACUAACAAACUUGACUCUGCUUAUUCCCUUCAAAAGACCUGGAUGAAACAAAACUAGUAAAAAGAAGGACAAUAGAAGGAUUUUGCAGUUGUCAGAUUCAUUAAAAGUGAACUUACUUUUAUUUCUGAUUCUCAGUGACUCCUAUUUAUUAUGUACAAGAUACAAUUUCAGAAGAUUUCUACAGUUUGCAACAUCCAUUAAUAAGUCUCAAAGACUUGUCAUAAAUAAUGUGUUUGUGCAUUAAUCAACAUUAAUAGAUCUAAUAGCUUCAACUGUCAGAACUUUGGUGGGUUUGUGCCAUUGUUGGCCCAGACCAUAUCUAAUUUAAUAGCACCACCUGUGGUAAGUAAUACAAAAUGAGAAAAUGCAAGGUGAAUCUGAUGGCUUCAUCUUCAAAUAAAGUUUAAUAGUCUUCUAUGGAUGAUAGUUAUUUCAUGGUUAUUCUAUCCUUUUUCUUUCAAUAUAUCAAGGACUAUGUUAACUAAUGUCUUCCCUGUUUUGUUUUUUAAUCAUGGUAAGAUGUGGUUUGGUGAUAAUUUGGCUGCUAUUAUUAGCAAGUUUUGUAACCACAUAGUGGUUUACUAUUUUGCUCCCUCUUUCUAAGCUUCUGCUGGUUUUUGCAGAUUUAAACAAAAGUUCUUUCUCAGAACUUUCUUUAUCAAAAUUUACUAUUCUACAGAAUAAAUUAAACCGUGAAGAACAUCAAAAUAUAUUUUUUUGCAGGUUUAAUGUUCAAAUGUCAACCCCUAUAUUUACUGUGGUAAAUACAUUAACUGUAAUUUGAUUGCAAAGUAAUGUAUCAUCUGUCAAUUUGUCAUUGUGCCAAAUUCAUCACCAAAAGAUCUGUCAUGCUUUAUAUACAUUACAGUUUUUAUUUGCUGUGUGAAAAUGCUGCAUUUUAUUAAUAACUAGCUUAAUGACCUGGUGUCACCUGGGUUACAGCUGUUAUUAUUCAGAUUAAUAAGCAAUAAAUAUAAAGAUAUAUUCUCAUAAUUAUUUCAAAACAUCUAUAUUUUAUUAACAAAUAUCCAAAUUGUAAUGAUAAUAGAAUUUUGAACUGAAAAUCUGUCACUGUUGAAGUACCUCAGGAUAAGCAAUAUUCAUUGUGUAAAUUUUUGUUGGUGUCCAAAUGAAUAAUUUGUUGUUGCUUCCAACAAGCAACAUAGAGUUGGCUGUGGGAGAAGCAUGUAGUAGAGAGAUCAAGUGCAACUAUCUUGAAGGAUUGACCCUGAGAUUUCAUCAUGAUCAUCAUUGUUUAACAUCCAUUUUCCAUGCUAGCAUGUGUUGGAUGGUUCGACCGGGGUCUGGGAAGCCAGGAGGCUGCAUCAGGCUCCAGUCUGAUCUGGCAGUGUUUCUAGAGCUGGAUGCUCUUCCUUAUGCCAACCACUCCGUGAGUGUAGUGGGUACUUUCUACAUGCCACCGGCACGGAAGCCAGUCAAGGCGGUGCUGGCAUUGGCCACGUUCGGACGGUGCUUUUUAUGUGCCACCAGUACGGGUAUCACAACUACAAUUUCCAUUUGAUUUUUAUUUUGAUGUUGAUGUACUUGAUUCAUUAGGUCUCCUCAAGCACAGCAGGUCACCCUAUGAUCCAAGGUAAGGACAUCAGGCCAUCCUGCGAUCCAAGGUACUUUGGAUGGGCUGGGGUUGCUAUGUGAAGUUGGUGCAGGAAACUGCCAUGAACUCACGUUAUUUGCUGGUGCAGGAAACAGCCCUGAACUCAUGUUAUUUGUCUGGUCUUCGCAGUCACAGCAUAUCUCCAGAGAUCCCGGUCUUUCGUCAAUGCCUCUGUGAGGCCCAACAUUCGAUGGUCAUGCUUGACCACCUCAUCCCAUGUCUUCCUGGGUCUACCCCUACCCUAAAUUCCUUAAAAAUUGGUAACUCGGUUUUCAAAUCCAUGAGGAACACAAACAAUCUCUCUCUCUCUCAUAUAUUAAGAUGAAAAAAACUUCAAAGACAAAAAAAUUCCAUCUUGCAAUCUAGAAAUGUGUUAGAAGUUUUGAAAAAAGAACAAUGUACUUAGUAGAUUAAAAAGUUAAGUAAAAUGAAACCCAUCCAAAUGGUUUUCCAAUAUGCUGUACAGGAAUGAGUUAGAAUGUUUUUAUUGUUAAAAAAAGAUGAUGACGUUUCCUCUAUUUACAAAAAUGUUAAAUUACAUUUUGAGUUGUAUUUACUCUGUUGAUGUAAAGCAUGAUUACAAAAUUAUAGAUAAUGUAGUUAGCAAGUUCAUGAAUUCACCAAUGAUGUAUUGGCUUGUUAUGUAAUUACCUUGCAAUGAACUUGUCAGGUGAUGUAUUUAUUGUGAAGCCAUUGUUCAUAAUGAAUUUAUUGGACAAAGAUUCUGAUAUUCAAUAUUAAUGGGGCUUCUUUAUAUUCCUUGUCAACUUUUUAAUGAACUUGAUUUUUGUGAAAAUCUGUUGAAGCUACCUUCUGGAUGUAUAUUAAAUAGAUCAUUCUGUACUGUUUAAGAUACCUUCUAGAUAGUGUAUAUUAAGUAGAUCAAUUUCACUUCAUAAAUAUUUAGCAAACAAAUUGGCAAAAAGUUUAUAACGCCCGCCUAAUAUUCUUUAAAUAUUGAAGUUCAUUGUGGUUGUUUGUUUAUGGUUGUCAAUCAACUCCAGUAAUUCUUAUCUUGGAAGAGUUUAGUGAGCAUAUGUUUGGUGUGUAUGCAUGUGUGUUGACCUGAGUUAACUGAGUCUGUAAAUUUUAAUAUUCUGCAAAUUCAAAUGGUUUAUGUAAAAUGUACUAAUCCUUCAAGAGUGAAAUUAUGUUUACAUUUAGUUUUCAGUGUAUUUAAGAUGACUCAAGUAUGGUACAUUACUCUACAUAAGUCGUAUAUCUCAGCUUGUUACUCCUACAAUUUGAAAUCAUAACCUUUUAGUAUGUAGCUUUAAACUUUUGAAAAACAAGUCGGUUUGGUUUUAUGCCAUUUUAGAAAUUCCAAAGAAAUGUUAUAUCAGGUUUUCUCAAAAAUCUUGAAAACUAGGUUCAUUUGGUUCACCUUUAUGGUCUUUAACCUGUAAUCUGUUGCUAAGCAAUUUUAAUCAAGGGAAAUUUGUAAUGAGAAUCCAGUAAAUUAUCUAAUAGUAAUUCUAAACCAACAUAUGAAUCCAAAAUGACUUCAAAUUUUAUUUGGAAUUGUCUUGGGAUCAAUUAUGUUCCCAGUUUCCUUGGAUUCUACUCUUUUGUUUUACAUUAAUUAAUAUUACUCUGUGAAAAUUUUAUUUCAAAUGCUUUGUGAUUCAGUUUUGACAUUAGUGUCUGUUUAAUGAGAAUCUAUAUUCUUUAAUUAAAAAUACUCAAAGACUGAAUCAUUGAUUUCAAGCCAUUUCUGUAAAAUGUUGCAAUUCUUUUCAUUCUUUAGUUGCAUUUCAAAGUCUGUUGUUAAGUUGUUCCAAAACUAGAAACAUCUGAAUUGGUUUCAUGAACAAUAUUUUGAUAUGGAGAAAAAAAGUUUGAUUUUGGCAGCUCAGUAUUGGACCCCUCAAAAAUUUCAUAUGAAAAAUAUUUAAAGAUUUCUCUUCUCAUAUUUAUUCCAGAAUGAAACAUUUUAGAUUUUAAUUAUUCAUUGUAAAUAUUAGAACUUGAUAUUACAGAAAAGAAAUUAAAUAUCUUAAAAAUUCCAUGUUAAUUUGUAUUUUUAAAUCAAAAACUUCUGGCUACUGGUUGAGAGAGAGAGAGAGAGAGAGAGAGAGAGAAAGAAAGAGAGAGAGAAAGAAAGAGAGAGAGAGAGAGAAAGAGAGGGUGGGGAUGGGGGGAAUUUAUGCAUAUAUGUCCACAAAAACCAUGUUCUCUUUUUAGAUUUCAAGAACAUUACAAGAUGCUUCAUAACUAUGUACUUUACUUUAUACACGACAAAAAAAAAAAAACCCUGACAAUAUAGAUAUUCAAACUCAUUUCUAAAGAGUAAAUUCUUUGUUCCUAGUGGUAUAAACAUUCAGUUUGUCAAAUGGAAUAAUUAUUAGUUGUAAUAGUUUAUGGUUUCUUCAUAAAUAUUCUAUAGACAAUACCAUAGACACUGUUGCUAUAACCCCUCUAUCCCCCCUCUCUAGCCAUGUAACCACACAUGUGCUUCUCUUGGACUAUUCUUUUCCUUCUCUCUGGACCUUACCUCUCUCCUCUUUCUGAUGAAAGGCCAUGCUUGAAACAUCACCCCCACCUCAUUUUUCCAUCUUAGACUGAGCAUCAACCUUAUAGAUUCACUGUGUAUGUCCUUUUGACUUUUGUUGUUUUUGUUUUUAUUUUCGAUUUGCCUAUACAUAUACCACUGACAACCAGAAAUUUAAGUACUUGGUCUUGGUGUUUGUUCAUUACCCUAAAUACAUAAGAGAUGUGUUUGUGUGGUGGGGGAACAGGCAAUGAGGUGUUUUGUUGUUGUUAUGCUUAUUCUGUAAUCUUAUUUGAAGACCCAAGCUGUUAUGAAGAUGACCAAAUCUGAAAUUGUUUUAUGUAGUUGUACUUACAACAUUGGAUAUGGUUUAUUGAAAUGUUGAAGAUUCUUGGUGUAUAAUUUAAGGUCUGGAUUGCACUAUUGUAAAGUACAGUGUGGUUGUAGGCAAUGAAGGUAAUUUAUCACAUGCAACUGUAAAGUUUUACAAAAUAUCAAAAGUUAGUCUUGGACUGUUUUGGAUUAAUACCAAGUAAAAGAUGUUGCCCUUCUGAAAAUGAAUAAGUUCCAGUAUUGACAUCCCUAGUUUUGAAAAUCUUGCUAUAAGGGUUGCUCUUAUACUAGUUUUAGCUCAGUAGCUGUGUCCACACUGAGGGUUGUUAAUGUUUAAGUUGCAACAUUCUUGAAGCUAUAGAUAAGAAAGUCAGACAUUAUCAAUGAUUUAUCUUCUUAAUGAACAUAUGUUCUGAGUAAUCUUUGUAGAAAUGUGAUUUUAAUUCUGACUGGACCAUUUGUUUCUGUAUCCAGAUAAUUCCUAGCCCUUUGUUUCCAUAUUACUGUUUGAUAUUAAACAGAAAAUGUAGGAAGGAAAACUAAGAGCAUAAUUUAUGAUGACAGUCUUAUCUUCCAUCAGCUUAGCUUCUUGAACUGUUGUAGACAGUGAAAGUAAUUGUGUAAUACUCUUAUUGAGAAAUGUGUAUUAUUUGCUCAAAAUAACUGAACAGUGAUCGUUGAACUUAUGGAGCUAUAUGUUUCACUAUAUUACAGUGGGUCUGAAGAGAAGAAAGUUUAGCUUUUAUUGGGGUCACUAGACUGGUAUAAAGAAACUGAAAAGUUUUAGUGUCAAUGAAAUAUUGCUAUGUUAUUAAUCUUAUAGAUAGAUGUUUGCUUGUCAGGUGUUAUUUUUAGCUAAACUUCUCUCUUCAAUGUUAAAACGAAAUAUAUAAUUGAUUUCUGACAAAUGUUAAAUAUUUACCAUAAUAGCAUAGAAGGUUUUAAGCAUCAAAGCUGUAUUAAGAUAGGAUAUUAAUUAAAUCAUUGAAAGUGUAGUUUGAUGGGCAAUAGUCUUAAUAUAGAUAACAGUUUAGUUUGAAUAGUUUCAGGGCUGCACCAUUCCAACUAAAGAUGGUCUAGCUGACCAGCAGCUAUGACAAAGUCCUGUCAUCAAGUGAACUGAAUUUUUUUCAGAGUUUAUUUCUAAUUUUUCUCUAAUGAUAUUGAUUUUAAAUCUUAGCACAAGGUCAGCAGUUUUGCAGGGUGGGUAUAAGUUAAUUACAUCUACCCCAGUUCUCAGUUGGUACAUAUUUCAUUUAUUCCAAAAGGAUGAAAGGCAAAGUUGAACUUGGCGGAACUCAGGACAUAAAGACAGAUGAAAUGUUGCUAAGCAUUUUGCCUGGUACCUUUUUUUCUCUAAUGAUAUUAAGAGACAGACAAAGAUGUCUCGUUGGUGUUGCUGGUAUAAAUUACAAUAUUAUUAAUUUUCAGCAUAACCAGAUGAUCAUCCUUUAGACUACAUAGCCUACAUCCUAAAUGGGUAAUGUUAACUGUCUGCUUCAUAAAUAUUGUCAUUAAUAUUUAUGUAUUAAUUCAAUGUGUAGAUGGAACAUUAGGCUUCUAAUGACUCGCCUGGUUUUUUGAGUUUCACUUUAAUUUAUAAAUUUAUAGUGUUGGGAUUUUUUAAAUUUUUUAUUAAAACUUUCUGAAAGAUGAAAAGAUUAGGAUUAUUCUUAGUUUGUUAAUAGCCUUUUUAUUUUUUAUUUGCUGGGUUUGGAGGAAGGGCAAUACAUUCACCAGUGUGGUUGAUGACAUUAAUGUUUCUCUUAAACCUUUAUUAUUAUUAUUAUUCUAUGUUUGACUUUUGCUUUAUUAUUAUUAUUAUUAUUAUUAUUAUUUAAGAUGUCACACAGUAUCCAAUAUCAUAAUGUUGUUGAUUGAAGAUAUUGUGUCUUUGGGGUGGGGUGGGGGUACUGUCUGCCAAGUCACAACAAGGACCUCAGACAGACAGUACUUUAUGCAAUACACCUAAAUUGUAGAGUAUUUCUAAAGUUUCCAGAUGUUUUUUCAGAUUGGGUGGUAUUGAAUGAACCCAAUCGUCUGAUGACAAUAAGGACAACCUUUAUGUUUGACUCUCUUGUAACUGCCAAAUCUUAGCGAUCUCAAUUCUCUGGUAUCCAUAUUUAUCAGUCUUUUCUCUUUCUUUCAUGAUAGAUAAUAUGUUGAUCUCCUGGCACUGCCACAUAGAUUAUUAGGCACUCUUGUUUGUCCCUCCUAAAGGUGACUAUAUCCAACCUUGUCUGUCUGGAAGUCAAAGUCUCAGAGGAUUUUUGCCUUCCCUUCAGCUUUAUUUAGCUGGGUAUGAUGGAAAGUGUCAACUGUCCACAACCAGCAGACUAAAAGGACGUUUGUUUACUAAUCAUGCUUCAAGGACUCUGCAGAAUACUCUUGCAGUUCUAAACAAUGAUGAUUUUUGUGGGUGUUUUAUCUUCACAUUCAUUCCAAUUUUUUGAGCCAUGUUGGUAGUUGGGUACUGAUGCUUCCAAGUGCAAUUAUCAUCAUCAUCAUCAUCAAGUCAGGUUUUGUUGGAACUCCUGGAGUCUUGUAUGUGUAGUGGGCUUGCUACAUGCAGCCUAUGGUUCCUUGCUAUCAGUUCUUUUCAACUAUCUAAUACUUCCCUUUUUAUUAUAAUUAUAAUAAUAAUAAUAAUAAUAAUAAUAAUAAUCAUAAUCAAGGCAGCAAAUUGGCAGAAUUGUUAGCAUGUCAGACAAAAUGUUUAGUGGCAUUUCUCCUGACCAUUUACAUUCUGAGUUCAGAUUCCUCUGAGGGCAAAUUUGCUUUUCAUUCUUUCAGGGUUGAUAAAAUAAAGUGCCAUUCAAGUACUGAGGUUGUGCUGGCCUUGUGCCAAACUCUGAAAUGAUUCUUUCCUUCUUCCUCUUAUUAUUAUUAAUGCAGUAUAACUACCACCUCCACCAAUGAUGAUGAUGAUAAUAAUAAUGCAGUAUAACUUAUCUAGUCUCGCAGAAGCUACCCCCUAUCCACCAAUCCAUAAAGAAAAAACAACAAAAAAGCAAAACAUGGAAUUUGAAACAUUUGUUUUAUCAAGCUGAAAUGGAAAGAAAGAACUUGGUUUCCAGCUGACUGCAGUCAUUUGCUGAAAUAACUGAUACCCUUUUUGAAGUCAAUGUUUGGUAUUAGUGAAGGCUUCCUGUUGCAUUAGCAGAGUUUGUAGUACCCCCGCCCUACUCUGAAGAAAGAAUAAUUGCUAAGAACUAUAUACAAUUCAGAUAACUGUAUACAGGCAUUCAUAUAUUGCUAAUGUUACCUAGAUUUUAAACAAAUCACCUUAGUUUAUGAUAGCUGUCAUCAAUGCUUUUAUUCUUAGCGAGUUGUUUUGAUGAAGAACAAAGAGACAUCUCUCUCUCUCUCUCUCUCUCUCCUUAUGCCAGUGUCCUUCACAUGAUUAAUCUUCAUAAAUUGCUAUUUUUUUGUAUUUGUGCUUCAUUCUUGCUUCAAGUUGUUCACUGAGAAAUAUAAAUAUUCUUUUUAUUUACAUUUUAGUCUUCCAAAAUAAUUAAAUGCACCCAAAAAUACCUGAGUGAAUAAGUUAUUAAGAUAGUGAACAGCUGACCAGUUAAGGUCAUUAGAUGAUUUAAUUUCAAAUAUCUAUAAAGCCAACUGCCAGCCAGUUUGAUAACAUUCUUGUCAUUUGUAGAGUUUCUGGAGGGCAUUGAGUUACAAUAGUGGGAGGUUCAAUCUUCUUAGUUGUUUCUUGAAAUUGAAGAGGCCUCAAUCCAAAUAAACCAACUGAAUGGUGUAGGCCCAGGUUUCCAAUGAUGGAAGUCUGGAAAGAAAAAGACAGUUUGGUUAUGGGUUGAACAUGUUUGAGCACAGGUCUCUUUAAUCAGGACUAACCUGGGGGUCAUACUACUACUAAAUGGCUGAUGACUUUGUUGGUUAUGAUGAGUGUUCCAGUUGAUACAAUCAACAGAACAGCCUCUUUGUGAAAUUAAUGUGAGAGUGGCUGAGAACUCCACAGAUAUGUGUACCCUUAAUGUAGUUCUGAGAGAGAUUCAGUGUGACACAGACUGUGACAAGGUUGGUCCUUUGAAUUUUAGAUACAACUCAUUUUUGCCAGCUGAAUGAACUGGAGCAACAUGAAAUAAAGUGACUUGCUCAAGGACUUAAAUACACUAUUAGGCAUCAAACCCAUAAUCUUACGAUCCUGAGUCAAACAUUCUAAUCACUAAGCCUUUUGUCUUCAUAUAUUUCUACAUGAUUCAAAGAGUAUUAACUGUAGACAGUAUAUGUCAAGUUAAAAUGCAUGUUCCAAAAAUUCAUAUACAACUACUGAAAUUUUCUGAUUCUGCAAUAAAGCGGUAAAAAUAUUUACACAUGGUUCAAGAAUGGUUUUGCUCUCUGAAAGAAAAAAUUGUCAUCUGCCUUGGCUUCAUCUUAUCUCCAAACUUAAAUCAAAUUAUGUGAGGGCGUGGAGGAGGAGGAAUUGGAGGAAUUUUGAAAUGGUGGCUGUUCGGCAGUGAAGGUGUGAAUGAGUGUGUCCCAGGUGAAAGUUUGGAGCAGUAAAUGAAAUAUGAAUCAGUGGCAGAAGAGGAUGGUUAUGAUGAGUUUGGCCAUGAAUGAGACUGACAAAAUAUUUAAAAGGCAUGCAUGUGAACACGCGUGUGCGCGCACACACACACUAGGUUUUUUUAAAAAUAAUUUUGUUAAAAAUUGGAAAUAUUUUUUAACAUACUGGAGUUGAAUUAAAGAUUGAGUUGAACAGCUGCAAAUGUCACAAACUCUGGAAUUUAUCUAACUUCUUAGGUUUGUCAUAACUCUGUUAUAUCUUUUACAUCUUUAUAGGUGUUAUCUUAUAAUUAUUAUUGUUAUUUACUAUUUUACUGUCUGACACUAUACAAUUGUCUGUGUUAUUGGUGUUUUAUGUAGUUAUAUUACUUGUUCAUUGUUUUUUAUGUAUGACGUUGUUUUCAUGUUUUAUGGUAAUUCAGUUUUGAAUUGAUAAUCUAGAAGUUAAGAUUUUAAAACGUUUAUUUACUCAAACAGUUUUUUAUGUUUCUUUUAUGAGUUUUAAUUUCAUUUCUAAAUAUUGACUUUCUCCCAACAUACAACACACAACAGAAAAUCUGCCACAAAUUUCAUAUCUUCUCAGUUUCCAAAGAGUUGUUUUUGUUACAACAAAGUCAUGCCUUGUUUAGUGUUAUCAUUCUGUGCUGUUAUUGAGUCUACCAAGUUUAGACUAAAAUCAAAUACAAAGCAACCUCAGUUCUUGAAUGUCUCACAUAUCAAACAAAUCCAUUUUCAAACAGAAAAUUCGAGAUGAGAAUGCCUUGGUUAUUGAACAAAAUUUCAGUUCUCAAACAACAUUGCUGAACUCAGCUGAACUGAAUUAACCCAAACGGAAUCAUUUCUGUGUCAACCACUGUGUUGUAUACAUUUCUGCGUUGUGCUGUGUUUUACUUUUCCAAUUUUAUUGUACUGUGCCUUUUUUCUCUUCAUUAGCCCUUAGUCAUGGCUCCAAAGAAAGCUAGCAGUGAUACUGAUAAAGGAAAAAGAAAAGAUGAGAGAAAAACAAUUGAAGUGAAGAAAGAAAUCAUUGCAAGACACGGAAAUGGUGUUUGAGUGUCAAAUCUCACUGAGCAGUAUGGUAUGCCUAAACCGACAAUAUCUGCUAUUCUAAAAAAUAAGGAAGUGAUAAAAGCAGCUGUUGUUGCAAAAGGAGUGACUUAUUAAUUAACAAAGACCAAAGAUGCUGCUUAUUUUUAUAAAUGAGAAACAGUUAACAGGUGACAAUGUCAGUGAAGCAUUUAUUUAUGAGACAGCAUUAGAAAUUUAUAAUGAUCUGGUAAAGACAACCCCUGGUACAAGUGCUGAAAGUGAUACUUUUGAAUUCAAAGCUAGUAGAGGCUGGUUAUAGAAAUUUAAGAACAGAAGUGACACAGUGUAAUUAGGCAUGAAGAGGUGGCAAGUUCAAACAAGAAAGCGACUGAGAAAGUUUUGAUUGAGUUUAGUGACUUGAUAAAGAAAGGAGGUUAUCUUCCCCUACAGAUGUUUAUGGGGGAUGAAACAGGAUUAUUUUGGAAAUAAAUGCCAAAUAGGACCUAUAUUACUAAGGAGGGAAAAGCAUUGCCAGGGCAGAAGCCAAUAAAAGAUAGACUCACUCUUUUGCUAUGCGGCAACACAAGUGGUACUUUCAAGGUCAAGCUAUUGCUUGUUUACCAUUCCAAUAAUCCAAGGGUUUUCAAAAGAAAAAAAAUGUUAUGAAGAGUAAAUUGCCUGUUAUGUGGCAGGCUAAUAUGAAGGCUUGGAUAACCAAAAAAUUUUUUUAAUUGAGUGGAUUCAUGAAGUUUUUGCCCCGAGUAUUAAAAAAAAUAUCUGCAAGAAAAAAACUUGCCAUAAAAUGCCUUCUCAUGUUAGACAAUGCUCCCACUCACCUUCCAGGUUUGGAGGAUGACUUAGUUGAAAAGUUUGAUUUUAUUCAGGUCAAAUACCUUCCACCUAACACAACUCCUCUAAUACAACCAAUGGACCAACAGGUUGUUGCAAACUAAGAAACUUUACAUAAAAGCCCUGUUUUGUAAGUGUUUUCAAGUCACUAAUGACACUCAGUUAAUUCUCAGAGAAUUUUGAAAAAAUCAUUUCCGUAUCCUGAAUUGUGUUUAUCUUAUUGAUAAUGCAUAGAACCAAGUGAGUUAUAGAACCAUGAAUUCAGUUUGGAGGAAACUUUGGCCAGACUGUGUACUAUAAUGAGACUUUGAGGGGUUUGAGACAGCUACAAGUACUGCUGCUGUCAAAGAAAUUGCUAUUGUUGAAGAUAUUGUCUCUAUGGGAACAACAAUGUACUUGGAUGUCAACAGUGAAGAUAUUGAAGAGCUGGUGGAAGACCACGGUUCCGAGCUUACCACCAAAGAACUUGCACACCUUCAAAAUGAACAGCAAAAGACUUUGGCUCAGGAAAUGUCUUCUGGGGAGGAGGAAGGAAAGGAGGAUGUUGCAACUUCUUUAAUCAAAGAAAUUUGUGCUAAAUGGGUUGAUGUGCAAAGUUUUGUGGGAAAAUAUCGCCCUGAUACAGUGAUAGCAAAUAGAGCAGUAAACCUUUUCAAUGACAAUGUCUUGUCUCAUUUUAGAAAAAUUUUACAAUGCAGGCAAAACAACUAACAUUGGACAGGUUUUUACUGAAAGAAAAAAGAAAAGAAACCCCAGAGAAAGAUUUACCUGAACCAAAUAGACAGAGAAGGGAAUCCCCUUCCCUGAAAACAGUUACCAGACGUUUUUAUGGAAGGGGAUACCCCUUCUAAGAAAUAACACACUUUUGUGUGUUAUUUACAGUUUGAAUAAACGUUUUUCUACUAAAAUAUUUAGUGUAAGCAUGUGAAUAAGCAUUCAUCUGGUGCUUGGAAAUGAGUUAAUCUCUUUUACAUAAAUUUUAAUGGGAAAAAAUGAUUUGGUUCUUGAACAAUUCAGUUUUAGAACAGACUUUCAGAACAAAUUAUGGUUGAGGACCUAGGUUCUUCUGUAUUUUAGGUUUUAUUCAAACUCUUCUCUCCACCACUUCUUUAGACAGUGGUCAAAUCAGUCUGUGAUGUGUGGUGGUGACCACAUAUGUCAAAUUUUGGUCAAAUGGUCUGUGAAGGUUAUAAAUGUAACCCCAUCCUUUCUUCUGACUAAACUAACCAGUUAACAAAGCUGGCCUUCUUCAGUGUACGGUGGACAUUCUUCAGUAUGAAGUUGAAACCUGGUCUCUGAAAAGGAGCUUCAAGAUUACCUUCAAGAUUUUUAAGAAGGGCACCAAACAUCUCAUUGCACUGACACAAGACUGAAAAGGAGAUUUAUAGACAUAUUCCACCCACCACUACUAUUGUUGCUCACUGUAGAGUAGGCAUUACUGGUUACUCCUAAUUAUGCUGCACAUUAAGCCAUAUCAGGUGUUGUAUUUUGGACAUUUCCAAAUGCAGGAUGAAGGCUACUCAAGUACAUUGCUAUUGGCAGAGGGAGACAUACAACAUGAAAUUGAAGAUAUACAAAAUCAGUAGUGGUCAGAGAUUCCUGUGAGGUGAGGACUACAUUGCAAUUGUUGCUAAUUGAUGGAAAAUAGUAGAUACUUUACUGUUGUCUUCUUGAUUGUAGUUUUCUUUUCAUUCAUUCAUCUCUUUCGUUUUAUUUUUUCUGGCUAAAUUACUUCAUAGCCUUUUGUUUUGUUCUUCACAAUUGUGAUGUUUAAAAUUUGUUCCUACUUUGUUAAAGUUUUAGUUUCUUAGCAGCUACUCUAGUGGAUUAUUUAACUCUAUUUAUAUAACUCUAUUUUGGAUAUUUUAUUAAUUGCUACAAGUUUUUUAUACUUUUUUUAGUUUUAUGACUUUUCUAGCUGUAAAUUUAAGUUAAUAAAACUAGUUUAGGAGCAAGACUAGAUUAAAACCCAUAGAGGCCCUAAGCACUUAAAAGAUUUCGAUGCUUCAUAUAUAUGUGGUUCAAAAUAUAAACAAUAAUAAACCAUAAAAUAUAUUUUUACUUUUCAAAAGCAAUAGUAAGACAGAAAAUAAUGUUUAUUUUUGUAUAUUUUAACUAUAUUUAUAUUUGAAAAGUUUCCUCCAACUUUUUUUAAUUGCAAAGUCUUUGAUCAGAUCCUCAAAAUUAAUCUUAUGUACCACACCUGCUUCUAUACUUAGAGAUAGGGCAUCCUGAAUAUUAUUGUAGCAAGUUUAAAGUGAUUCCUUUUGUACUGGUGACCCCUCCCUCCCAUCCUCCCUGGUUUAGGAGUGAUGACAGCUGUAGUGUUUCUGUACAAAAUAUUCUUUGAUGAAUUCCACGAUUUCCAUCAGCUCAUUCUCAAACUAGCAGCCAUUCUCAUUAUAGAAUUAAAUCUUGGAUAUUCUGAUAUCGGUAUAUACUCUUAGGCAAGGUAGAGGGCUCUCCUUCCCUUAGUGAAAAUACUACCAGAGGUUAGUCAUUAAGUUAGAAAUGAAGAUGGGAACUGAUUCAGGCUAAUUAACUGAGUAUAGCAAUUCCAUUUGACUAUCAUUAAUGCCCUUGAGAAGGACAUGAAUAUCACUCAAUCUCACUACACCUAUCACUGACGCUUAAUCAGGUCAUCUCUCUCUCUUCCCUCUGCAAAUUCAGUCUAUUUCGGCACUUCUCAAUGUGGAAAAUUUUAUAUGGGCACCAGGAAAAAAGGGGAUGCCAGGGAGUCUUAGAUGAUUCUUUACAGUUUUUUAGUCUUUGGCCUUGAUUGAAAUAUUAAUUUUCAUUGCUUGUUAGUCAUCAUCACCAGCAACAAUUACAAUAUUAGUAAUAAUGAUGGACUUUGAAAUAUAAAAUAAAUAAAUUAACAUAAUCUGUGUUUGUAAAUAAUAAACAAUAUGCGUAAGUAUAAUUGUAAAAAUUAGUUGGUAUUUCCACACAUACAAUAAAGGUAGCCACUGCACUUCUAGUGUUAGGUCAUGUCUCAACUUGAAAUAUGCAAAUAUAUUGAUAUGUAAAUGUUUGUUGUUGAUUCUAGCUAUGAGUAUAAACAGAAUUUUAAACUUUCAUAUGGGCAGAGAAAUUAAUGUUUGUGGAUAAUAUAGAAAAUGGAAUAUAAGAAUGUUUCAACUGGUUUCCACACAGGGUAUAAUAUGAAGCACAAAGAAUAUAUACCUGAGUUUGUUUGAAGUCACAAGCUAAAAUUUGGGGCUGGUAGUCACCUGUAUCAAACUAGUACCAGAAUCAAAUUACCCUGGCCUAAUAAUAUGUGUAUAUGUAAUGACUAAAAAGAGUUUGAGAAGCAUUAACCUAUCUGAAAAAUAGUAGGUGUACAAUAUCUGUUAUGACAUUUUCUGUUAAUAUUUGUAGAAUUAAUUAUAUUAAAGCAGAGCAAGAAAUAAUAAGGCCAAAAAAGUGCAGAAGAACAAAAAAAAAAAAAAUGAUAUUACUCAUUUGAAAUUUUGGAUAAAACUAAAAAUAUUAGUACCAUUAAUUCAGAAAACAUCAUAGCUCUCAAAUCCAACAAGCUUAUUAUAUUUCUUUUUAUAUUAACUCUUUUCUGCCAUGAAGAGUCCUUAAUUAUUUUCAUGAAUUCUCUAUUUGCUACAUAAAAUCAGUUUUAUUGGAAAGGUUGUUUCUUUGUUGUCGUAUCUCUGGUGAAUUUUAAUCGAAUGUUUCUAAACUUAGUUUAUAAAGCACUAUUCUAAAUUUCAUUUUAUGUUCAUCUGUCAGAAUUUGUCUCUGGGAAUUACUAAAAUUUCUUCUUAAAAAAAUCUUGUAGCAUGUAUCUUCAUGUAAACAUCAUGUCAAAAAUAUUGCUAAGCUAUAUUUAUUUAAAAUUUAGCUGUUUGAUGGCAUUAUCUAUUGAAGCAAAUCUUUAAGUUUGAUAUCUUUUGGCUUAUACUUAAGAAUAUAUUCUGGGAUUCUUGCACAGGUUCCUGCUUCCUGUGUUUUUCUUCUGUAUUAAUCACAAUUUAAAUGUAUGUUCCUUGUAUAAUUUUCUAGAUGAAUUCUGAAGUUAGAUGCAUAUAUUUAUUUAUAGAGUGUGUGUAUGUGUGUGUUUGUGCAUGCAUACACAUACAUCUCUAUCUCUCUCUUCCUCCAACCUGCUCUUGAUGUUCACUUUUGGUUAUGUAGGUGUUGAUUAAAAACUGUUUUACUACAAAGAUAAAGUCCUCCCCAAGAGAUACUUAAGCAACUUCUGUAUGCUUUAUUAAAAGAAAACUAUCAUAAAAGAUAUAAACAUGCACAAACAAGUAUACAUGUAUGAAGGUGUGUAUAAAGGGAGGUGUAUGUGAUACCUAUUUCCCUUUUUUUUUGUCUAUAUUUUGGGAUUUUAUGUUUUUAAAGAAUUAUAUUUUGUGUUUACUUGAUAAAAUUUAUUAUGAAUUAAUAUUUUUAUUUUCUCAUUUUCUUUCAUAAAUCCUGUUCUUGGUUAAAUUUCUUUUUAACUGUUCUUUAUUCUCCUUUUUGUUGGCUGUAAAUUAAAGAAUAUUUUGUCUAUUGUAGCGAUUGUACAUGGCAUUUUUAAAACUAUUUCUCUGUUGCUACAUUUUAAUUGAGUAAAAACCUCUCUCUCUCUCUCUCUCACACACACACGCACACACGUAGUGUUUUAUUGAACUGAAGAUGUUCUCACAUUGGAAACAAGGAGUACAGAAUAAUAUUUACAGAUUAUUUACCCGCAGUUGUUAGUAAGGCAGAAAGCAGUAAUUGUACAUAGUUGACAAUGACAUUGUGUUGGUAUGUUUGUCACUUGUUGCUUGUUGUGUUCUACUGGUAGAGAGAGAAAGAGUAAGGAUUGCACUCUGCUGACAGAGAGGAAGAAAGGAUAGAUGGCAUUGUUUUUUUUUUAUUCUACAAACACAAAAGAUUCCACCUUUGUUUGACAAGCAACAAGCAAGUGGAUUCAAUUUCAAAUCUCAGGCAGGGCCAAGCAAGGUCCCUACAUAUUUACUGAAAGUAAGUUAUGAAAAUAUAUAAAACAAUCAUGAAGUUUUGUGACACUUAUUGUAUUGUUGUUGAUGGUGAUAGUUUGUGUAGAAUUAAUCCAUUUCUUUAUCUAUUCAAUGCAUGACCCAUAGGUAUAAUGGAUUAUAUGGGUUUGUUGUAGAGGAAUUAGGAUUAACAUAAACUAAUCUGAUAUUAACUUCAUAUCACUGAGCUUGUCAGAAACCCCUGUUAUCAGAGAGUUCACAUUUAGAGUGAAGCCUCAAUCACAAACUUGGCAUUAUGUAAAUGAUAAUGAUUAAUUUCUGCUGGUAAAUAUUUUUUUAAGGUUUUAUUCCAAACAAAGAAAUUAAAAAAAGAAAAAAAAUAGUUGAGUGAACCCUUCCAAAUUCUUGGAAAAUUAAUUGGAGCAUGUAAAAAUAUGAUCAUGAAAGAGUUGAAUUAGGAAACCAAAGUGUGGAAUUGACAAGUAUGUGAAACAAAAAUCUUGAGAUUUACCAACUGAGAAUGAACCUGUAAAACUGCUUCUCAUGUUCUGAAACGCAAUGCUUUAAGCAGAAAACCCUAGUGACAUGCCCAGUACGUGAUUAUAAUGGCGUUUACUUAUUGCGGAAUCUGAGAUGGUUAAAAGUAAGCUAUACCAGCAGGAAAGGGAGAAACAUAUGUGAAAGAUAGUUUAUCAAAAGUAAAAGCAUCAUCUAGAAAUAGAAUUAUAUUUUUAUCAUCUGCAAAUAUAUAGUUCAGGAGUAGCUGCCUAUUGAAGGUUUGGUGACAGUUAACUAGAAGUGUUAGGAGGUUGAUGACAGCUGGCUUGAAGUGAGGUAGGAGUGUCUACUUCUGGGUGAUGACAGAUGCUAGGUUAUAGUGACAUUUGGCUGGAAGUCUAAUGGUGUGAGGGUGUAAUCAGGCCUAAAGUUUUAAGAUGGGAUAAUAGAGGUCAGCUUGUUACUUUGGCAGUUGAAAAAGUCUUUCAGGAUAUUAUGACAGUAUAGUUAUGAUUGCUCAAUAAGGUCAAGGAAGUUGUACCAUCUAAGUUUGGAGAAUAUCAUCAAUAAAGAGUCAAUACUUAUAUUUAUAUUGUUCAAUGUUGUGAUCAACACUAUUUAAAAUCUCAAUCAGUUAAGAUCCAUAGUUUCCACAUUAUACUUCAAACUGAACAUCAGGUAUUUGAAAUAACCAGGAGAGUGGAUUUGCUGUAAAGAUUUUACAUUGGUAUGAUUAAUGACAUGCACUAUAUACUUGUUCUUUAUUUCAGCUUUAUUAUUAUUCUUAUUUUAGUGUCCUUUGUCUGAAAUCUUUCAUCACACAUCCUGUGACUGCCUGCAGGAUGGAGAGUUGCUGAAGAGGUCACAAGAUGUGUGAUGAAUGAUUUUAGACAAGGACACUAAAGUAAGAAUAAUAAUAAAGCUGGAGUGAAGACGAAGUAUAUAGUGCAUGUACUUAAUUGGCAAAAAUAUUGCAGUAUUUGUUUCAACACACAAUUUCACAUCAGGAAUGUUGCGAAACAAAUACAUAAACAUAAAAUGAUUUUAUGAUAUCAACUAAGAACUGUAAUCAGAUGUUAUAUUAUACAUUUUUAUUACAUUUAUGAAGGACUAUUUUCUAUCUGUUCUGGAAAUAUUAUACACUUUUAGCAUUAUAUUUCCAGAAGGGUUAAAAGAUAGUCCUUCAAGAAAUGUAAUAAAAGUGUAUAUUAUUUCUGUCAAAGUAAAAACCAAAUUAUCUAUAUACUACUAAAACUCCCUGAUUGCUUGCUUGCUUGCUUGCUCUUUUGCUUGUCUGUCAUUUAAUACAGCCAAACUGACACAUAAUGGGAAAAUACUGUGAAUUAAGGUACUCCUGAAAUGUGAAUGCAAAUAUAAUAAAACAAGUCUCCUGAGAUAUGGAGUGGUUUUGGAGUAUUCAUAAAUAUCCAAAACAGUGCAUAAUAACAUAACCCUGAAAGGGAAGAAACUGUAACCUUUCGAUUAGAGACAUGAUCAAUGUCUUGUGUAUUUUGAAGUGAAACUUCAUAUCCUGGGCAAAAGUCUUAGUGACUUUAACUUGCCAAUGAAAAAAUAUGAGUUGUUUUUACAGAAAAUGUUUCUGUUUUCACUUUUGUUAAACACAAUAUUUUAAUCAUGUAGAAAUAUUUUUAAGUGAAUGUGAUUUCAAAAAUACAAGUUGUUUGUACAGUAAACAUUUAUAUUUUAGUUUUCUUUAAAUAGACAAUAUUUUAAUUUUAAAAAAAAUUCUUUUCAAGGGUAAAUAUUUUGUAAAGGAUCUGUUUGUAAUUUGGUGUGAAUUUUCUUCCACAGGUUUUCUUGAGUGCAUUCAGUGUACCUGACCUCCAAACCUGCCACAAGCCACUUUUUUUUCCAGAAAAGAAAAGGGUGGAGGGAUGGGGACCUCGGAGUUUUCCAGGAAACUUUGAGUUUCUCAUCAACAGUUUUGUUUCACAAGUUUUUUUUUCUUUUCCAGGUUAUUUCAUAUGCUUUCAAUGAAUGUAACAUCGAAAUCAGACAUAAACUUCUUUCCCCAGAAAAGGAAAGAUUUGGCUGCUAUUUCUAGCAUGCUCUGAUACCAUGUAACUGUUAUUUGCAUUAAAGGACCCGGUAUAGCUGUUAUGUGCUAGCAAGGCAUACUAGAAAUAGCAGCCGAAUCGUUCCUUUUCUGGGGAAAGGAGCAGUUUAUACAUGAUUUUGAUGCUACAUUCGUUGAAAGCAUGUGAAAUAACCUGGAAAAGAAAAAAAACCCCACAAAACAAAACUCUGUUGGUAGGAAACUCCGAGAUCCCCACCAUACUUCUACCUCUUUCUCUUUUGGAAAAAGUGUGGCUUGUGGCAGGUUUGGAGGUCAGAUACAUUGAAUGCACUCAAAAAAACCUAUGGAAAAAAAUUAUUUCACACUGAGGUACGAACAGGUCCUUUAUGAAAUAUUUACCCAAGAUGGGGACAGGCAUGUGAAUAGAAGGAGCAAUGAAACUGAUAAAGCAAGGGCUGAGCAUCUGGUGGAACAGAGGGAGACAGAAGCAGGAGAGAUCAGAAAUCAGACACUCGGAGAGCUGAGCAUUGAGCAAAACAGAGGCGAAGAGACAAAAGCAGGAGACAUCAUGAAUCGGAUGCUCAUGUGAAUACAAAUGGAAUAAAACAAGUUUCAUGUAAAUUAGAUCACAGGUUACCGAGAUACAUAGUUUUUUCAGGUACCUUUAUAAAUAGCCAAACCAGUGUUUGGCUUUUUAUAAUGGGGAAAAUGUUUUGAAAAUAAGGUACCAUUGAAAUGUGAAUACAAACAAAAUAAUACAAGUUUUACGUAAAUCAAACCACAGCAUCCUGAAACACGCAGUUUUUUUUUUGGAUACCUUGAACUAUUGGUGACCCAGUGGGUCAUGGGUAAUCUAGUAGUUUACUAAAACUGUUGGAAAACUGAGAUAAAAAUAAGCAAUAUCAUCAGUUUUGAAGCAGCAGAUAUCAGUUCCAAUUAAAAAGUUAUCAUCUCAUCAGCAUUUAAUUUUUCUUUCUAGUUUCUAAUUACUUUUUUUUAAAAUUUGUUUUGAAUCUAUUUAACUUGUUGGUAGAAAUUCAGAUUUCUCUCACUAUUUUGUGAUUAUUAAUUAACUACAGGCUAUCAAUUAUGAGACACUGCAACUAUUUUAACAUGUGCAGUCAACCAUGCUGUAGAUUUUCAUUACUGAAAGAAUUUCACCAUCUUCUGACAAACCUCUUUGUUUUUCCUUAAUUUUUUUUAGUAAUUUUCUUUUUUAUUUUCUUGAAAAGGAUAAGCUUGAAAGGUAUUGUGAAAAUUGUAGCUAAACACACAUGCGUGCGCGCGCACACACACACACACACACACACAUCCAUUAUACUAAUCCCUUCCUUUUCCUCAGUCCCUUCCAUAUUCUUGCUCCCUCAACACUGUUACUUUCCCUACCACCUUUCUCUUUCACAACUAUAAAUCUCUUUCUGUUAUACUCCACACUCUCUAAUCACCAUUAUUAUUAUUAUUAUUAUUAUUAUUAUUAUUAUUAUUAUUAUUGAGUGAGAGAGCAGUGCAUGCCAUCAAAGUGAUACUGGGGUAAAAUAUACUAUAACCUUGGGCUGACCAAAACCUUGUGAAUGGAUUUGGUAGAUGGGAACUGAAAGAAGCCUGUUGUGUGUGUGUAUGCUUGUGUGUCUAUGUCUGCAUAACUUAGCGUUUCGGCAAAAGAGACCAAUAGAAUAAGUACUAGGCUAAUAAAGAAUAGGUCCUGGGAUAAAUCUGUUGAACUAAAGGCAGUGCUCUAGCAUGGCUGCAGUCAAAUGACUGAAACACGUAUAAGAAUAAAAGAAAAGAAUUAUUAUUAUUAUUGUUGUUGUUGUUGCUAUUAUUAUUAUUAUCAUUAUUAUCAUUAUUCUGCACUAUCAGUGCAGUUCUGUGUACCUUGAGUAUGUGCAUUGGUUUGUUUUGGUGUUAUUUUUAGUGUAUCGAAGGUGCUCUAUGUAAGUGAUGUGUGGUGCCAAGCAGUGUUAUUUUCUAUUCAAUAUAUUCCUAUGUCCAGGUGCUUUCAUUGUAUAUUUGUCUGCAUGUGUUGUUGACCUAUUAUUACAGGAAUUGUUUGUUUUCAGGUUCCACGUUUAAGUUAUUUCUGUUUCCAGAUCUUAGUUUACUUAUAGUUUCAUAAUUUCUUUGAGAGGUACUUUGGAUUGUUAUGUUGAUUAGAAGGUCUUUUUUCUUGGUCAUUCCUCACAACAAUAUCUGACUUUGGUCCUUCUAUCUGUGUGUAUUGGCAUAUCCCAGAGUAUGAUUUGAUUUGUUAUUUUCUGAAAUCUUUUUCGUUAUAUCAUCACUUUUCAGUUGACAUUCCAUAGUGCUGACACAACUGCCAGUGUAUAUAAGUCCUAAUUCUGUCAUGUCUAUGGAUAUAUUCUUUCUUGGUUACGACUGGGCAGCCAGAGACAAUAUCAUUUAUUGUUUCCUCUCCAUUCCCACAUAUUCUGCAGUUACUUUUACAUUCUGCUUCAUUAUAUGUUUUUGGUGGGGAGGCUCUGAUCUUGUGCUUUCUUGACAAUUCUUCACAGUGAUAUCUGGUCAAUAACCCUCAAUUUUCCAGUCUGUAUGGAUUGGCAUAUCCCAGACUGUGGGUUACUUUGUUAUUCUCUGAUACCUUUUCUAUGUUUACAUGAACUUGUGUCUUGAUAUUCCAUAAUGAUGAUGUAACUGUCAGUGUAUGAAAGUUUCAACCUAGUCAUACAUGAAGAUCCGUUCUCUCUUGGUUAAGACUGGACACCCAGAGAGAGACAAAGUAGUACAUGGUUUCUUCCCAAUCUCCACAUAUUUUGUAAUGAAUAUAUUUUGCUUCAUGAAAUACUUUUUAUAGUUUCUGAUGUGAAGGCUUUCAUCUUUUGUUGCAGUAAAAAUCCUUUCUCUGAGUCCUGCCUUUGUUCAGCCAUUCCUACAAUUUUUCUUAAUUUAUUUCAAGUCUUUUGAUAUCAUUUGUUGUAAGCCUUGAAAGGAGGAAGUGAAUAACCAUUUCAAAAUGAUGGUCUUGCAGAUGAAAUCCUGCAGAUUGAGAUGCAUAGAAGUAAGCACUUCAUUGUGUAUAGACUCAUCCAAACAAUGGAUGUUGAGAAAAAGCAGAUGUUUAACUGAUUAUUAGAAUGAUUAUAAAAGUAUGUGUUAUUUUUAAAUCUAUGUAUAUUGUGUUAGCUAUUGCAACUGUAUUGUGUCUCGAGGCAAGAUGUGUCUGUUUUUUGCUUCAGCUUAGCUUGCUAAAAAUAGUUGCCACUCCCACUUUACGCUUGCAUGAUUAACAGCAAGAGCAUCAAGAGGUGGUGGUGGGGAAACACAUCAAAACAAACCUCUCAAUUCUCCUCAUGCAACAAAAUGUUUAAACCUCUCAGAUUUGGAGAGAGGAAAAUACAAAGUGUGGAGAAAAUGCUCAUCAUCAUUUUUAUCAUUGUCAUUGUCAUUUCAAUAGCUGCAUCUUUUGAAUUAUGGUACAGCUUCAUUGGGACUGCCAUUGAGCAUAUCAACAGUUUGCAUGCGCACAUACAUUCAAAUGCACCCAAUGUCUGUAAUUAUGAGUCUUUCUGUACAGGUUUUUUUGUGUACUGAAGUGGUGCUCCAUCAUGGCCUUAUUCAUGAUGAGUAAAACAAAGUAAAUAACAUUGUCUGUAAUUUGUCUUCUUUAUAGUUACUGACACUGCUGAUUCUUCUUUAAGAUGUCUUAACAACACCUUGCCAUCACUGAAGAAAUAUAAAAUGGACUCUUGGUGUAAAAUAUGGAGUCUUUGAGAUUCUGUAAAAGUUCCUUUGUUUCUAACUUAUCUUCAGAUCUCACUUCACACACACUAUGUAUUUGGCUUUGAUUCCAAGUGGGCUUCAGCUUAAUUCUUACUUCCUUUUUUGUAAUCAUAUUCUUCUUUGGGUGUAUAAUUAACAAGCUGUCAACUGCAAACCUGUUGUCCUGUCAGAUUCUAUCAAAAUCUUUCAUUUGAAAGAUUUUCAAGGAUUCUCCUGCUGCUGCAAUGAUGAUUUACAGGAAUUUAUGGCUGAAACUUAAACUACUUCUGAAGUCAUAAUACAGUAAAAUGAGAAGACUAUUGUGAUACAGUAAUGAUUUCUUUUGCUUGAUACACACCUGGUUUUGCCAGAUCAAGGACAAUUGCUGAUGAAACUGAUCCCUGUAGGAUUUAGACUAUCAUAAUACUGAAGCAUUGAAUUUUGCUCUCCAUAUCUCCUGAAACGUGAUAUAGUAACAUUCAAUACAGCAUUUUGAUUUAGCUAAAUGUUGUUCAUGCAUGCUGUCUACCUUUCAAUGUUAGUUGUAAGUUUGUUCCACAGGUGUACAAUUAUUCAGCUAAGGGAAUGGGCUCACAGUCUCAGUAACAUUCUGUCAAUGUUAAACAUUACCUAUAAGGGAAGCAUUCUGGCUCUUGGCUUGUGUUUUUAAUUCAUAACCCAGUUUAACACCACCACCUGGUCCUUGAAUACCUUUUAGCAGAGUCCACUCUUUUGUUACUCAGUUUAACACCACUAUCUGGUCCUUGGGUAACUUUAGCAAGCACAGACAUGUAAAGGCAUGUGGCCUAGUUGUUAAGGUGUUGGGCUGACAAUCAGGUAGUUAUGGAUUCUGCUCAUGACCCAGGCAGUGUGUCGUGUUCUUGAGUACGGCACUUCAUUUGCUGUUGCCUCAGUCUACUCGGCCUGGUUCUGGUGCUGCUUUGUUCAGCAACACCAGAACAAACUGUCACAUCAUGGAUAUUACACUUGGUCAAAGGUGAGACAGUGAAGAGAGUGCCCGUGUCUUACCACCAUCACCACCAUAUAGCCACCAAAAAACAAGCAAAACUGGGUUACAAGCUAUCAGUCUUACUUGUUGGCAAGUAAUGGCUACACUUGCUUAUAUAUUUGUGUGUGUGUGUGUACCUAACACAUUGAGUUGUAAUUAGUUAUCUGUAAUAAUGUCAAGUGUGUAACAAUUUAUAAGUUACAUAAGUGGAUGUGAUAACAGUUGUAAAUGUAUGGAAGCUGUGUAUUAAAUGUUUGUGUGCGCAUGUGUGCUAAAAGAAGCAUUCUGUGGCUAUAAAAUUAGGUAUAUAAUUUUAAAGACUCUCUCCUUUGUAAGUAUAUUUCAUAAUAUACAUACAGCUUGCUGACAAAUAAGCUUAAUUUCUUAAGAAUUAUCACAAGUUCUGCAAUUUCAUAUUGUCGAUUAGGUUUUUGUUUUGUUUUGUUUUUGAUGUUAUUAGGGCAGAACAACACGAUAGCAUAAAACCUGGCACCACAAGAGUUUGGCAAAGUUUCAAAUACCAUUUCACUUAUUCUUUUUUCCUUCUAGUUUUUAUCAGACUAGUAUUUUUUCUCCCUUGUUUCUAAAGAUAAAUAUCUUGUAGUAGCUUCUUGUCCAUUACACACACGCACACACACACACAGACACACACAUGCACGCACCCACUCCCUCUCUCUUUUCUACAGUUGCCCACUCUUACACUAUUCUCUUCUAUUGUAUACAUGUAACGUUGUUAUGAAAUCCUUUUUCUUCUUUAUCUGAUUUAUUAAAAACAUUUCUGGUUGUUUUGUUAUUUUUUUUUCUUCCUGUCUUAAGUAUUCACAAACUCCAUCUUGCAAACUUCACCAUUUUAGUUUCUUGCUUAUGAAGAUAUUUUCAUAACCAUUUACUGUUUAUUUUUGCUGUAAGAGCUUGGGCAAGAAUUGGUAAUGAUUUUUUAUCUCCCCCUACUCCUUUUCAUCCUUUUUACUCUGUUUUUAGACAAUUCAACAAUUAUAUAUUUUUUCUUUCGAUGGUAAUUUCUCCAAGAAUCCAUUCUCCCACUGAAGUAAAUUUAAAUUCUCACCAAAAUACAGAAUUAAGAACAAUCCAUCAUUAGUUAUCACCUAAUUAUUAAUUAUUAAUAAUAUUAAUACGUUAACUUUGUUUUUGUACAUACCUGUUGUGUAUGUCACACUUACUUCAAAGAAGUGGCAGAGGGAGAGAGAGGAAGAAGGAGUGAGAGAAAAAGAGAGUGUGAGAGAGAAAGUGAGAAAGAGAGAGUGAAAGAGACAGUGGUGAGUGGUAAUGGCGUUCAUUUUGUGUUUUUAAAUGUUUAUCACAUCGCAAGAGAAGUAGAUAGGAGAGAAGAGGGACACAAACGAAGUGAAAGAGAGAGAAAGUGAGAGAGACAGUGGAUGCAUAAAUCCAAAGAAAAGUUCAUAUAUAAAUACAUAGACACAGCAAAUAUUAGCUGUCAAUUUCACUUUUCAUUACCACACGAGGAUAAAAUAAAAUUAAAUCACAAAUGGCUGAAUACUCCACAAACAUGCAUAAUAUUGAUGUAGUUCUCAGGGAGAUUCAGCCUCACACAGAAUAUGACAAGGCUGGCGCCUUUGAGUUACAGCUACAACUUGAGACAUAUAUAUAUGAAUGUAUUUGUGUGUGUGUAUAGUUUAGGUUAGUUAAAGUAUGUUUGCAAUAAUAAGUGUUGCAUGGUGGAAAUAAACGCAAUUACCAAACUUUCAUUCAUAAAUCCAUUAUUUCGUUUUCUUGCAUUUCAAUUUGUACAUUUGUACCCAGAAAUUUUCAACAACUGCUUGCCAGAUGAAAUGGAGAAACGAGUAAUUUUAUCUCCUAAAAAUUCUGACUGUCUUGCAAUAAAUGAAAAAGUUCUUAAUAUUUUACCAGAGGCACUUAAAACAUACUUAAGCACAGAUUCAGUGUCCUCCAAUAAUGAAGAGGAGGUUCAGAACUAUCCAUUUGAAUUCAUAAACUCACUCACUCGAUCCAGUAUGCCUCCUCAUCGCCUAAACUUCAAAGUGGGGACUAUUGUAAUGCUGCUAAGAAAUUUUUCGAUCAGUCAAGGAUUAUGUAAUGGAACUCGCAUGAAAGUGCAAAGACUUCAUGAACAUUGUGUAGAGGCAUCAUUGGUAUCAGGCUCCAACAGAAGUCGUACAGUUCUAAUUCCUAGAAUUAAACUUAGCCCAAAUGAUGCAGAUAUACCAUUCACACUAAACAGGCUUCAGUUUCCACUUCGACUUGCAUAUUCAGUGACAAUUAAUAAGGCUCAAGGGCAAACAUUUGAAAAUAGUUGGAUUACAUUUUCCUCAACCGGUAUUUUCUCAUGGCCAAUUAUGUGUUGCAUUUUCAAGAGCACGAGCUAUGAACAAUAUCAAAGUAAGAGUUAUGACACUCAAUUGGGAUAACAGACAAAGCCAAAAAUGUGUUGUGACAUACACACAAAAUAUUGUCUACCAUGAAGUGCUGUGAAGAAGACCACCACACCAGCUAGCGUCACCACCACACUAGCCGCUCCAUCAUUACGCAUCCAAAUUACACCCUUAAGGUCGGGGAACCAGUUAGGGGCUCGCUGGAUCUCUCUUGGCAUACCAGCAAACCACAAAAUCACACUAGCCAGCAUCACCACUACCUCCAAGCCCGUCAUAUAUAUGUAUGUACAUAUGUAUGUAUGUGUGUGUUUGUGUCUGUGUUUGCUCCACUACCACCACCAUUGCUUAACAGCCGAUGUUGGUGCAUUUAGCUGUUCAGCAGAAAAGAAUGAUAGAAUAAGUACCAGGCUUACGGGGAAUAAGUCCAGGGCUCAAUUUCUUCUACUAAAGGGUGCUGUUCCAGCAUGGCCACUGUCAAAUAAUUGAAACAAGUAAAAGAAUACCAGAAAAGCAUUCCGUACCACUAAACCAAGAAGGUUCUUUGAAUAUGUAUGAUGUAUUUUAAGGUUAAAUAGUAAUUCUGUUUACGGUUGUGUAACUGAGAUAUUUUGGUUGGAUUAUAUAGUCAUUGGUAUUACAUUACUUUCUAUAUUCUGUAACUGUCACAAUAUAAUUUUUUAGGCCUGAAAUUUUUGUGGAUAGGGUGGCCAGUUGAUUAGAUCGACCCCAGUGCACGACUGGUACUUAAUUUACUGAUCCCAAAAGGACGAAUGGCAAAGUCGACCAUGGCAGAAUUUGAACUCAGAAUGUAAAGACAGACAGUCAUGAUAUACAAACAUUUCCCAUGGCACCAGUACGCUGUUUACAGAUGGUGAAGUCUUGGUCUUGAGUGCUGAAGUGAAAGUCAUACAAUUCGUGUGCAAUAUGAACCAAGAGGACAAUGUGUAUGAGUUGCUGCUUGACAUGAUAUAAAAUGGGGGAGAUGAUUGGAAAACUGGAUGGAAUUUAAAUUGUUAGUCAUGUUAUUUCUGAUGGGUUAAUCAAGUGAGUAGGAAAUUUGAGUUUUUGAUUACCCAGCAUUUGAAUUUAAACAUACACUGGUACUACACUUGAUAUGUUUAGUAAUAGUCAUUGUUGUAUUGACUAGCUGGCAGCCUGGGGGGUGGGGGAUCAUCUCAACCAAUAUGCCAUUAUGGGUGCUGCUGGAUGAUGGAUUCUGGUGAUGAUGUUAUUCUACACUUCCUUAUCCAUGAUGCUGGCCUUAGUAUGCUCAUGGUCUAAGUGGUGCAACUUCAGGUCUUCCUCAAUUUGUUUUGCCCAUGAGACAAUGUUGGAAUUAGAUUUGAGUUCUUAAUAACUUUCAGGAAGUAGUUUCAUCUUUUUUACUCAGAUGUUUAGCUUAUUGAUUCCAUAGUAGCCAGUAUUGGUGUAAGUAGGUGUAGAGCUAGUUUACAGUCUGAUGUAUCUAGGAAGAGUAAACAAGGCAAAGAUCAGCCACCGACAGCGAAGGGGUAUAGGUAUAAUAGAUAGUUCAACAACAUCUAGGCUACAGGUGUGUUUUUGACUCAAUUCUCUGACUGUUUCAUACACUGAAGAUCAACUACAAAAUUACUGGUACAUUCCACUGGGUGAGUUAAAAUCCCUCCACCUCCAGUAUUAUGUAGGAAACUAUUGAUUACUUUAAUAAAUCAUCAUAUGCAUGAAACAAAAUGAAAACAAAGACAUACAUAUUCAUUCUUCCAACAGAUUUGAUCAUGCAUACCCUAGUCACUGUUAUGUUUCACAGCUUCAGCAAUAUUAUUCUGCCUAUCAUAAACUAUUUUAAAUGACAUGUUACAACUGGAAGAUAUGGUCUGCAACUUAGGUGACAAAAUUUGUUUUGGCUUUUGAGCUAAUGACCAACAUAGUACUUGAGACUUGAAUAUGUUACAAGUUUGAAAUUACUAUUUGUAUAGUCUUUGAGGUGUGUAUGGUUGUAAAUCAUGAGAUUUACCAUGCCGGGGACGAAGACUAAGUUGAGCUUGAUUCACCGGAGAAGACUAAGUUGAGCUUGGUUCGCCUGAUAGUCAGUAUAGUGCUUUCUUUGUCAUUAUUGUCAUCACUCGCACCCUGGUAUGUUCUUAAUGUGGUUUGAUUAGUUAAUUUACUGUUGAAAUAACACAUCACUAGAAUCUCUGAGAUUUUUACAUGUUCAUUAUUAUUUUUACUUUUAUAAUUGCCUAAUUAUCAUAGUCAGAUGUUUUUGUUUUUUCCUAAUUUACAGGUAGAUAUUUUUUCUUAUGUUUAGUUCUUAUUUAUUACUUAUUGUUUCUGGUUUUAUUUUUAUUGUAAAGAAUACAAAGUCACAGGAGGUUUCUCUCCCUACCCUCUCUCUCAAAUGACAGAUGAGAUCCUUAGUGCCAAAUUGGAUUUUGUUUGAAAUAUGACUGUUUCUUUAUCAACUAAACAAAAUUGUUGGUGAUAUGUGUUUCAUGCCACAUAACUUUCUACUGUGCCUAAUGUGUAAGGUUGAAGGUUCUUUUUUAUGAAAGUUAUUUGACAUUUAUUAAAUGAAUUAUAUUAUGAGAAAUUAAAAUAUAGGCAAGUUAAAUAUUACUGACAGAUCAUUUAUUGUCCCUUUUAUUUUCCAAUUAGGACUGUUUACCUCUUUGUCUGGUUUAUAUCAGAAAUCCUGAGGCUUAACUUAAUAUUAAAAUCCUGAGUUGGUUUUUUUUUUGUUUUUUUAAACCUUUUAUUGCUAUAUUGCUAAUGGAAUAAUACACUAUCACUGUGUUUCAAAUAGUUUUGGAAAUAAUCAAAAGUUUGGAUGGCUUUUGUAAAGUAAAUAUUAAUAUUUUUCAAUAUUAAAGGCGGUGAGCUGACAGAAUUAUUAGCAUACUGGGCAAAAUGCUUAGCAGCAUUUUGUCUGUCUUUACAUUCUGAGUUCAAAUUCUGCUGUGGUCAACUUUGCCUUUCGUCCUUUUGGGGUUGAUAAAGUAAGUACCAUUUGGACACUGGGGUUGAUGUAAACCAGCUGAACCUCUCCCCUGAAAUUGCUGGUCUUGUGCCAAAGUUUGAAACCAGUAUAUAUAGUAUUAAGCUAACAUUUAGAAUGCAAGUCCUCACAUGAAAUUAUGGUGAAAGAUUCUAAGUUAGACAGAAUCCUUUUAAAACUUGAUGGUUUCUUUUUUUUUAAUUAUAGGUGCAGGAGUGGUUGUGUGAAUAGAAGCUUGCUUCUCAACCACAUGCUUCUGGGUUUAGUCCCACUGCGUAACACUUUAGGCAAGUGUCUUCUACUUUAGCCUCAGGCUGACCAAAGCCUCAUGAGUGGAUUUGGUAGAUAGAAACUGAAAGAAGCACGGCAUAUAUAUAUAUAUAUAUAUAUAUAUAUAUAUAUAAUAUAUGUGUGUGUGUGUGUGUGUGUUUGUCUCCCCCCCCACCUUCGCUUGACAACUGAUGUUGGUGUGUUUGCGUCCCUGUAACUUAGUGGCUCAGGAAAAGAGACCAAUAGAAUAAGUACUAGGUUUACAAAGAAUAAGUCCUGGGGUCUAUUUGUUUGACUAAAAGUGGUGCUCCAGCAUGGCUGCAGUCAAAUGAAUGAAACAAAUAAAAGAAAAAAAAGGGAAAAAGAAUAGAACAAGGACUGGUCUCUAGUGGGUUGAUAUUAGAAAGGUUAAAGGCUUCAUGUUGUUUAUUCUGAAUUCUGAAAAUGUAUGAGUAUCAGGUACAGUUCAAUUCUAUUUUGUAAGCAGUUUUCUUGAGUUUUAUGGUAGUCUCCUUUAGUGAAUGAGAAUUCAUCUUGUUGAACAACUUGCAUGAUGAUAUUAUUAUAGUGAGCGUGGUUUGUGCAGAGCUAUUCUUACUCCCUCAUCCUUCAAACUUGUAUUGGUCUGGUGCAACAAAUGUCAUGAGCCUAGUAGUUAUUGCAAUGCAAUACAAACUUCACUUCUCCCCUCUGUUCUUUCUUAUCCAUCUCCCAUUCUCCCAUUCUGGGCUAUGGGUAGUGACCUUCUUUGUAAACAAAUAUCUAAAGAGAAAAAUAAAUACCUUGUUAUAUCCCUGGUUACUGAUAAUUAAAACUUCCAGUCUCUUAAUAGUUCAAAUAUAUGUUGUUUAGAAUAUUGAAACUAAUUGCUCUCUGUGCGAUUUGGUUGUUUAACAAUCUGCUUGUAAACACCAGCCAGUGAAACAUGCCACAUGUGCGCACGUACAUGCACGCACGCACAAUCUCUCCCUCCCCUGCUCUCUCAAAGGGAGGCUCAACAAACAAAUGUCUGCAACAGUGAUUGUUAAAUCAUCCCAUGGGAAUUAAUGAAAACUUCUUGUUUAAUUCACCAGGGAAUUUUAGAUUCCAUUAUCCUUGUGCUUUUUGUCCUUUUCUUUGUUUCACCCCCCCUUCCUCUACAUUGAGUUUUCCUCUCAUUGGUUUCUAUUAAAAAUCUAUUCUGUUUUAAACAAAGUUUAAACCAUUCCCUGUGUAUUCUCAAGUUAGUGAGAGAGGAACUAUGGUAAUUCUUGCAGUACACCUGAAAAAUAAAUGGGUGAGUUAUGGUUGGAGUGACUUUCAUCAUAGGUUUGUUGUGCUGAGGCUGACCUAGGGCUAAAUAACAGCAACUGGUAUUUUAGGAUAGAAAUUAUUGGAAAGUGUUUGUGAUGUGGACUUGGUUUAGUAUAAAUGAAGAUGGUGGGGGUGUGAGAAACUCAGUUUCAGUAUUUUUAUAUGAUGUUUAGGUAUGUGUGUCAUGAUUAGGAGAUCAAAUCCUAUGAAGGUGAGGGCGAGAGAGGGGUGGUUGUUUGCUUUUCACAAAAUGACCUUUCUUCUAGUGGAACAUGUUCAGUUCUUGUAUUUUAAUCUAUGAUCUGAUAAUUAAUUAGCAGCAUUGCUGAUUUGAUUUCUCUGUCUCCCUCUAUUUACCACUCAGCUCCUGCUUUUCUGUAGUUGUGUGUCUGUUUCUCUCAUUCAUCAAAAGUCUCUUUGUAUCUACCUCUCUCCAAUUUCUCUCUCUCUCUCUCUUCUUUUACCUUAUCUUUUUUUAUUAUUUCUUACCCACUCCCUACUUUCUCUCUGCCCUAUAUCACUUUCUCUUCUACCAUUUUCUAUAAAACACAGCAGACAUCAUUCAAUGUUAGACCUGUUCACUUCACAUAAGUAAUGGUAAGGCAGAAGUGGUUGUGGCUAAAAAUGAUAAAAUAAUUUUCGGUAGAAAUGAUUUUUAUUUUAGUAUUUUCUACUUAAUAUCAUUGUUGUCUUUCUAGUUCUCUGUCUUCACUUUCUUCUCUCCUAUUGAUGUGUGUACAUGUGUGUAUGUAUGUAUAUGUAAGAGAGUGUGUGUGUGUGUGUGUCUCUCUCUCUCUCUCUAUAUAUAUAUAUAUAUGUAGAUAGAUAGAUACUAUGCUCAAAUAGCAAUCAAUCAAUUCUCAACUUUUCUAGUGUUUCUUGAUUCGUUAGCGUAACAUAAUCUAAAUUAUAUAUGUAAUUCACCAUACUUAAACUGGAUGAUAGCUGUUAUGUUGUUGUUUUCCGGAUCUGAUGAUGAUUAUUAUUAUUAUUAUUAUUAUUAUUAUUAUUAUGUUGUUGUUGUUGUAGUAUAUGAUUGCUAGCUAACUUUUGACAUUGAUUGGUUUGGAUUACUUUCCAUAGAAAUGAUGAACAUGUUUAUAAUUUUUUUUUUUCAUAAUUUUAAAUUCUGUUCUAUUUCAUUUUCAUAUUACAUUUUAACCUCUUCACUUAUAUGAAUCAACAAAUUUUUUUCCUGUGGUUCUUAGGAUUCUUACUGUAUUUUGUGUAUGUGUGUGUGAUAUGCUGUUAGAUAUAUUAUGCAGUAGCUGUACAUAAUAUGGAGCAGCCAAGAUGUAGAGAGCCAGUGCUUGUCUACAGUAGUUAUACCUCUAUAAAUAAAUGAUUAACAGUGUAUCUUGAGUACAACUUGAGAAAUGAAUGAUUUCAGUAGUGCAGUAUAUAAGGAAAAGCUCUUUUCAGGAAUACAAAACUUUAUUUGUUAAUCCUUGUUGAUAAAUAAUUAGUAAAGAGAAUUCUCUGUGAACCAAGUCACCACACUGUGUGCCAAGUCUUAGCUGGUGCUGUGUCUGGUUAUACAAAAUAUACACUACCAUCUUUAUCUCAGUUAUAGCUGAUAACAAACUAGUUCAGUUAUCAGCUAAAACUGAAACUGUUAAAUGAAAUGUAAUGUACCAUUUUCUUUUUAAACUGGUGUUUUUUAGAGAUUUUUUUCUUUCCUCUUUCUCUGAAGAAUGAUAUCUAUUUCACCAAUUAUCAUCAAACUGAUAUAUAUUUCUUUCUUAACAAAGGUACCCAUCCCACUACCAUUUUUCAUUUCUGGAGUCUUAGUCAUUCAUUUUUAGGACAUUAAGCCAAUGGGAAUUGUACCUAAACCCAUAUCGGAAACUUGUUCAUUGGAAAUAGUUGUAUAUUCAUGAACCACUGCAAUAUCAGUAACCUGUCAACAACAACAUAUUCUAGUUCACCCACCUGUUAGCUAAUUUCUUUGUUACCUUGAAAUAAAAGACCAUGUUGACUUAUAUAUGCAAUACAACAAGCCUCACUACCUUAAACUUGUUAUUGAAGAAACUCAGAUUUUCCUGCUCUACAAAUCCCAACUGAUAUCAAUUACCAUCAUGUACUUUCGACACUUUUGUAUUUUGCUUCCCUGUCACAGUUGGCAUCAUAAACUAAUGAACUAUUUGUUAGUUUCUAAUUAGAAUCUUCAGCACUUUGACCAAAGUAAAGUCUGGUGCUGGUUACAUGAUAUGAAUUUGUGAAACUUGAACAAAUUUCAUAUUCUGAGAAGUAACUGUUGACAUUUUGUACACUGGACUCUUGUUUUCUUUUUUCUCUUUUCCUUUUACAUUCUAUAGAUUUAAAAAACUUCAUAUGAUGGACUGAAAUCUUUUUUACCCACACGUUUUCAUUUUUAUCUGGUCAGAAAAUAGUGAUUACUAUAUUUAUACAACACAACAGCAAAAGCUGCAUCUAUUGUGCAUUUAUUGUAAUCUUAGUUUGAUAAACAUGAUGCACUCGUUAAAAAUACAUCACAUGGAUGAGGGAUGUCAUUUCUUGCUCAACUGUAUUUUUAUAUUUAAAAAAUUCUUUUCUUUUAAAGCUCCAUUUCAUUUGAAAGUUGAUUUUGCCAUUCAUCUGUUCACUGACAAUAAAAUAUCUCUGAUAUCAAUGAAUAUUUUCUAAUGGCUUUAUUUAGAAAUAAAGUUUUCAGUUUCAUUGUAAAAUUACAGAAAAAUAUGGGAGGUAAUAAAUUUUACGGUUUAAACAUUUAUUUUGUUAUCAUCAUAUAAAGGAAAAACUGUCAAAUAAAAAUGGGUAGUUAAAAGUGAGGAAGCAAAGUGAUUGAUAUAUUUAAUUUGAUUUAAAAAAAAUAGAGUUUGUUAUACAUAGAAAACAACGUAAUGUUAUGUAGUUUGUGUAACAUAAGUUUAAUGUUGAAAUAUUUGGGGGAGAAACACAAGAGAAAGUAGGUAAUAGUGUUAAUUGAUUGUGAAAAAUGCAGCUCUGUGCUAAUAAAAAAGUAUAUCACGGACAGAUUUGUGUUGAAAGUUCGGAGAACUUUAGGAUUGUUGGAACAGUUUAUGAUGGGGGAGCAGUGAUUGCUAAAGAAAAAAGAAUCCAUCUCCUUCCUUUUACAUAAUCUUCUAGAAUGGUCUGUCUAUGUGCCAGAAGUGGAAACUAAGAAAGAGUCUCUUUGUGACUGGAAAGAAACUGACGCUAUACCUGAGGCAAAUUUUUUCAAUUUUGAAAACUCAUCAGCAGGCAAGCAGCAAUUAAAUUCAAUGAGUUUUCCUUCUCUGUGCUCCUCAUUCAACAAGGUUUUAGCUUGCAAGUCAAUAAGCUCCAGUUGUAGUUCAGUUGGCAUGUUACCAAGAUUACUGCCAAAGGGAUUCUCAAACAAAAGAAUUUCAUUCUGUCAUGAUCUGAAAAUCUUUGAGAAAAAUGCUUAUUUAAGUCCCAAAUAAUUUUUUUCUGAAACUCGAGGUUAACAUGUUCCAUGUUUUCUGUGCAAAACUCUUGAAAACACUGAAAAUGAGAGAAGUUUCCUCCUUCAAGUUGUGCUUCAAACAAUGAUAGCUUUCUCUGAAAUGCUGUAAUAAUUCUGUAGAGAUCACAGACAAAGUUAUUCUUUCCUUGCAGUUUUAAAUUCAAUUCAUUCAUAUGAGAAGUGACAUCAACUAAAAAUGACAAUUUUGAUAAUCAUGAAGGAUCUAACAGCUGUGGAUCACCUCUAUUCUCUCUCUCUCUCUCUCUCUCUCUCUCUCUCUCUCUCUCUCUCUCUCUCUCUCUCUGAGCCAUCUCACUUCUGUGUAGUAAGAAGUGUGUUUGAGAGCAAACCUAAAACACUUUAAUACCUGUGUAGUAAUUAGAAUCCAUUUCUUCAAGGAAAGCCUGGAACUGUCGGUGAUUAAGCCCAUUAUUCCGAAUAAAGUUCACCACAGUUGUAAUCGGUUUUAGUAUGCAAGAAACAUCUGUUUUCUACAGAGUGUUUGCUGAUGUAUAAUGCAGUAUAUAAACAGAGCCUUCGGAAGCUGAAACUCCUCCAACCUGGUCUGGAUUCACCCUACCAAACCCUUCCUCACUCCUGCCAUGUUUUUUUGUUCCGUUGACUUUAACUCACCAAAGCCGAUUCCACUGAAGGUUAUAGUUUUGCAAAGUUUUCUGCACCUUUAUGAAAAUAACUUCUCUAGUUGUUGUUCCAUGUAUACUGCAAACGGAUGCCAUUUCUUCUAUAAUCUCAAAAGUUGCAAUUGACACCACGAAUGAACACAAGAAGCUGUGACAUACUAGAGAGAUGAGUGGACUCAUCCAUCGCAAGAGAAUACCACAAAAAUUUCUUAGCUUUCUCAUGUAUCUGUAACUGUAUAUUCUCUCCAAGUUCUUCUAUUCUCCGCACAACUCAACUUGCUGAAAGGAUGAUACAGUCAAACAUGUUAGCUUUUUCAGGACACAAGUCAUUUGCUGCUUCCAUCAUGCACUCUUUUAGAAAGUUUCCGUCAGUAAAUGGUUUUCCUCGCUCUGUCAACUUAUUCACUAUUUUGUAACUUACACGAGUGAUAGAUUCAUUUUCAACAAACUAUUUUGUAAAGAAAUUCCUUUGAAAUUCCAAACUACAUUUCAUAGAUUCAAAUUUCUCGGACUGCAACUUUCCAGAAUAUUUAGAAUGUGUUGAGAGAUGUUUUGCUUCGUAGUGAUGACGAAUAAUGUACUCUUUCAUAACAGCAACACUUUCGUUGCAUAUCAGGCAACUAGCCUUCUGGUCAUUUGUUUCCUCAAAGAAGUACUUUUCUCCCCAUUCUUUAUUGAAAAUGUGACAUUCAUCAUCAAUCUUUCUCUUCUUAGUAGCCAUAAUGAUGGGUGAAGAAAAAAACAAAAGCAGUCUUAGGCCUCAGCAUCAGAUAUUCUGGUUUUAAUAGUAAUCACUAAUGCCUAGCCUGAGGCACACGUGAUAUACUGUAGUAAUUAUUAUGGCACGGGAAAUAUGUAGCACGUGACGUGACUGACUCAGUAUACAUACGACAUGCAUAAGCUAAGAAGCAGUAUAAAAGCAUGUUUAUUUUUUUCAGCAUACGACAGCAGGCCCGACAAAUUGACGUUGCGGGUUGGAUCCGGCCUGCGGGCCAUAGUUUGGUGACCCAUGGUUUAGAACUGAAGGUAGAUAAAUAAAAGCUUUCUGGUUCAAUGUUGUCUACAGUAUAUCAAGUUGUACUUGGACAUAUGUCCCCCCCACAUACACACACACAUCUAUGGUAUAUAUAAGAGUGUAUCAAUAGCUUAAAGCUAGAAAUAAAUAUUACUACUGUUGUUGGUUUUUCAAGUGAAUAAAACCAUCAGACAGGUCAGUUUCAUACCAGAUCUGCUGCUUACAUUGAAGUCUUUUAUUUAGUUUUGUGUAAACAUUUUAGUUGUAUACUCAGAAGUUUUCAACUUGCUGUGCAUGGUGACUAUUUCCGAUCUAUUGAGCAAUAACUAUUUGCCUGUAGAUUUUAACUGCAUGUUCUGUAAAGGUAUUAAAGUGGUUUAGGUUUACUCUCAAACAUACUUCUUACUCUUUUUUCCAAAAUCUAUACUACUAUUACAAAACACUGAGAAAUGGUAAUUGGUGCACUUGGCACAAAACCUAAACUGUUACCUAAAAGACUGAAGGAUAUUAGAAUUGAGACUUGCAUUGUCACUCUGCAGCAAAGUGCAAUCCUGUAUUCAGCAAGAAAUCUAAGAAAGAUUCUUAAGAUUUGAGGAAACUUGUUACCAAACCUCAAAGCAAAAUCCUUGCUAACUAAUAUAGAAUGUAAUAGUUAUAAUAAUAUAAAUAAAAAGUUGCUACCAUUAUAAAUAAAACAAAAAGGAAAUCUUGUUAAGCUCAUGUUAUCCCUUCCCUAAUUUAUGUUUUGUUGGCAUAUUUAUUGGACACAAACUUAUUAUAGUUGUCUUCUACCUCCUAAAUUUCACAGUUAGUGAUGAUGGUUCCCAGACUCACCCAAAAAUAUUUCUGAUUGCAUAGUUUCCUUACACCACUUCUAGCUGUAGUGCCAUCUUGGUGUUUAAUAUCUCAAUCAUUCUGUGGCUAUUUCUAACCAGUUUAGCACUCUUUGUUUUUCUGGCUUCAAAGUUAAGUUUGUGUCUAAUGACAUGGAGUAUGGUUAUUAAUUUAUGGCAACAUAAUGUGUAGUCAUUAGUGUCAAAAGUGUUUUGGGGACUGUUCUAUAUUGACUGAAUUUGAUGAAGAUAUUGAAUUAAUACAUCCAAGAUAAAAAGCUUGAAUGAGAAAACUGAAAAUCAAAAUUGAAUGUAGUUACAAUUUCUCCUUUUUCCCAGUAUUGCUUGCCAUUUUUGUACAUUCUUACCGAUUCUAAAGAAUUUUGGCAUGUCUUUACUAGCAUGUAUUUUUUUCUUCACUGGUAACAGUUUAUCGAAUAUUGACUUCACCUUUCUGGCAAACAUUAAUUCCGCUGGUGAACUUCCUUAUGGCAUAUUUAGGUUUGGUGUUACCCUAUAUACCAUUAAGAAUUGUUGGAUUGUGACAUCAUCCGUUACUUCCUUAUUAGCGUUCUUUAAAGCUCUCUUAAAAGUUUCCACAAACCAUUCACCCUUCUACUUGAUCUAGGGUGAUACAGUGCCAUAGUUUUAUGUUCUAACAUGAACCUCUCGCAGCAUCUUUUAUACUCACAGGAUACAAACUGUUCCAUUAUCAGAGACAAUUAUAUCUGGUACACCAAAUCUUGCGAACAGCUCAUGUAAGAAGUUUAUUAUCGUAUAUGAGGUUGGUUGUUUACACCUUGCAAUCUCAGGCCAUUUUGUGUAGCUGUCACUACUAUUAAGUAAUAAUAUCCAUUUACUGGACCUGCAAAAUCGAUAUGCAAUUGGGACCUUGGCAUUUUCACUUCCAGUCAAGAUUCACAUUUUGUAGUAGGUAGUUUCGCUGCCAGCGCAUAUCCUCUGCAGCCUUUUACCAGGUUUUCAACUCUGUUGCCCAUGCUUAGCCUGUAUACAAAACUUCACAUCAGCUCUUACAUUCUAGAGAUACCUGGGUGUCCCACAUGGAGCUCUUUUAGCAUUCUCUUCUGUAAUGUCUGUGGUAUGACCACCCUUGGAGUGUACAUUAGUACACCAUCACACAUAGAGUACACACUCACAUCUUGGUGGUUCUUUGCAUCAGACCUUUAUUUUCUCUUGUCGACCACAGUUUUCUUUUGUUUCAUUAAUAAAGUUGUCAUUUUUCGCAUUUAUUUUUAUUUUUUCCCAAAGUUACUGGCAGUUCACAUAUGAUGUUCCACAUUACUUUUUUUUGUUUCUGCUUCUGCUCUUAGUGCUGCGGUUAUGGUGUCCUCCAGUGGUUCAUUAUUUCUCGGAAUUAACCUAGAGAGACUAUUGGAAUGCCCCAACUUUUUUGAAGGCAGAUAUUACAUUCUAUAAUCAUAGGUCAAUAGAAUGGUACACCACCACUGCAAUCUGUUUGCCAUGUGUGUUGGAAUUCCUUUCUUGGAUCUGUAUAUCAUUAUUAGAGGUCUAUGGUCUGUUUGGAACCAAAAACGUCUGCUGUGAAUGAACGUGUGGAACUUUUUUGCAUCAAAUAUGAUAGUCAACUCCUCUUUUUCAAUCUGGCUAUAGCUCUUUUCUGCCAGCCAUAAUAUCCUUGAUAUGUGUGCUAUAGCUUUUCUCCUGCCAUCAUCUCCUGCCAUGUGUAGCACGGCUCCUGUCCCAUACUUGCUAGUAUCUGUAACUAGUAUUAUCUCUGACUUAGGGUCGAAAUGCGAAAGAUACAAGUCUGAAGUUAACACGUCUUUUAACUUGUUAAAUGCUUUCUGGCAUUUUUCUGUCCAAACCCAUUUGGCAUUUGUUUUUAAUAAUUCAUUAAGUGAUGCCUUUAUCUUAUGCAUAUUUGGGAAUGCUUUAGCAUUGUCUUGUUCGUUGAGGUUGGCAUAUUUCAUAUUGCCAUUGCCCUUGAUGUGUCUGGUCUGCAUCCAGUUUCAUUGAUUAUUUGGCCUAGUUAUUUUAUGUUUACCAUAAAAAAUUUGCAUUUUUCUUCUGUCAGUUUUAGCCUGUAAUCACUUAUUCUCUCGAAUACUUUCUUUGUGUUCAAUAUGUUGCUCCCGAUGCGAUGGCAAAGUUGCAAUCACUUACAUUACAUCCAUUAUUUGUUGGAAUAUGGUGGGUGCCACUUCAGUAUUGGUGGUUCACAGUGACACAGCUUUGUUUUCUCACAUAUAUGCAUUUAUUCAGACAGCCAAAAAAAAAAAAAAAAAAAGAAUGUGUAUAUAUGUGUGUACAUGUAGGUGUGUAUAUAUGUAUAUGUAAACAUAGUCCUAUAUACCUGUGAACACUCCUGUAAAAUGCAUGCAUAUGCAAGGGUUUAUAUAUAUUUUGAUGGCUCCUAAAAAUAUUUUCUCAAUAAUCUAAUCUAAAUGCUGUGUUGUUCUGGGUGAGAGCCAAACAAUGCUGCUAUAUUCCACCAUCAUCUUAAUUACUUUCUCUCAACAAUACAUUAUUUCUUACAUUCUUAGAUCCUCUUUUGUUAUUAACCAUUCUUGCCACUGUUAUUAUCAUCAUCAUCAUUAUAAUCAUUAUCAUCAUCAGUGAUGUUGAUUCUGUUAUUCUUAUAAGAAUGUACAUUUUAUAGUAUUAUUUCUUUACAGUAUCGGAUUUGUCUUAAAUGAGAUCAGUGUGUGUGUGUUGUAUGCAUGUGUUGUUCACAUAUGCAAAUGCACAUAAGCAGUGUAUCGGCAGCAUGCUCACAUUUUUGUGUGUGUGUGCAUGCACACACACACACACACACACAUACACACACAUGCCCUCCCUUUUCACAAAUUAUGUAGAGAUAAUUUUGUUGUAAGUAUUCUAUUUGUCUUCUGUUGACAACAUCACAUUCAGCUUUAUCAGAGGAUGGAUUAGAUCUAGAUAUAUGUGUUGUGAUUAAAUCUAGAUGUAUAAAUUUUAAGUUGUUACUCUGUGUGUGUGUAUACAUGUAGGUAUGUAUAUAUGCACAUGCAAACAUAGUCCUCUGUGUGUGUGUGUAUCUAAAUAUAUAAAGUUCUUACUUGCUGAUAACUUGAAAUAUUACUACUCUUGCAUAACAUGUUGAAAGCAAGAUUUUUGUGAUUUGACAAAAUUAAAUAUACCCCAUAAAAUUACUGCCGACAAGUUGAUCGUCAUUAAAAGAUUACAUCAAUGUAAUAUGGAAUGUCAAAACAUUUUGAUCACUAAUAUUAUCAAAUGAUUUAAGGCUAGCAGAAUCAUUAGCACAGCAGGCAAAAUGCUUAACAGUAUUUUUACAUUCUGAGUUCAGAUUCCGCCAAGGUCAGUUUUGCCUCCCAUCCUUUUGGGGUCAAUAAAAUAAGUACCAGUUGAAUACUGGAGUUGAGGUAUUUGACUUAACCCCACCACCAAAAUUGCUGGCCUUGUAUCAAAAUUUGUAACUAAUAUUAUCAAAUGAUUUGAAAACAAUGAAAGUUAGAAACAUUUAUGAAAAUCAGGGUAGUUAAAACUAGGGUAAUUAAAGGUGCAUCUGCUACCCACCCUACCAUACCCUUUGCCCCCAGUGCCCAUAUUAAAUUUUCCAGUGUCCUUUAGGUGGUACUACUCACUUUGAGAAGCACUGUUUUAGUAAGAUAUAUAUUUAAUUUCUGUUCAAACCUUGCAUUUUAUAGCUUCUUUCAUUUCGUGUGUGUGUGUGUGUGUGUGUGUGUGUGUGUGUGUGUGUGUGAAUGAGUAUGUGUUGUUAAGAUAUUGACAGGAAGUGUAUGUGUGCAUAGUCCUUGAAAAGAACUGUCACUAAGAGACAAAAUAAUUGAGACUGAGAGUAGAGAGACGCUUAUAGCUGGACAUCUAGAUUGGUUAUUAACAACCAAGAUUAGGGGAUAGUUGAAUGGGAAUGGGUGUAAUGAAUUGUGUUCUUGCUGAUUCAUUUAUUGCUGAGGUUGUUGCACUUAUAGAAAUGUUGUAAUCAUUCAUUGCACCAAAUUAGAAACUGGUGUAAUAAAUUAAUCUAUUCAUUUGUGACAAAUUACAGUGAUCUUCCUUGACAAUUCAAGUUAUUUCAUUGUAUUUGAAGGAAUUGAAACGUAGAAGUAGAUUUGUUAAAUCUUGUAGAUCAUGCCUAGUUAUCUUUAGACAAGUAUGUAACAUCAGGUUAGGAAUAAGAGAAUUUGGUAGAAUGUUGAGUACAGUUGCUAAAGUGAGGGUUAUUGUUUCUUUUAAUUUGUGGGCAGUUUGAGGGAUAGACAAGUGUUUCUCAGACUGAAGAAUCUUGAAUGUGGUCAUAUACAAAGAUUUGAAAUGAUGAAGCUAGUCUGUUGACAAGUGAUCCAACACUUGAUAGAGACUGUUGGAAGAGGCAUCUGUUGCCUAGGAGACUAAAAACUGAUUGACUGAUUGAAUUAGUUUAUAUGAGGAAUGUGACAUGAUUAAUCAAAGUCUGUUAUUGAGAAUUGUUCACUCAGAUGGAUUAUAAAUACUCUUAUGACUGUGCACUCCAGUUUCCAUUGGAAUAUUUAUAGAUUUUCAAUGUGUAAAGCAGUAUCAGAGAGAGAUGGGGAGUGAGUGUGUGUGUGUGUGUGUAUAUAUAUCUCUCUCUCUUUUCCCGUCUGUCUUGAUAGACAAUGGGUCGUGCCAAGGGUGGGGCCUACUUUGAUGAUGAGCAGCGUCUGCUGUGACUGAACAGUCCAAUUCUAGAGUGGCAGUCCCUGGUACAGUUGCUGCACACGAACAUCGAUGGGUACGUGUGGGGUGUUGCUGCAGUUGUCCUCCAUAUAUAUCUAGAGAGAGAGAGAGAGAAAGAGAGAGAGAGAGAGAGAGAGAGAGAGGAGCAUCAGUGUGCACAUGCAUGUGUGUGUGUGUAUAUAGUUGAAACGAUUAUGAGGAAAUCUUCCAGACUGAUGUUGUGUGUUUGUUGACAAAGAAACUGAUCAUACUGACAUUACUACACUUGUUUUUGUCCAAAGUAUUUAUUACUCAUAAACCAUUGCAAAAUAUUGAUUUAGAUAAUAGAUUAUAGAAUUUAUUGUCCACAGUUACAUAUAUCAUCAAAGUUUUGUUUUAAAACUACCAAAAUGCAAUGGGAAAAUUACUUGGCUGAAAUUUUGAUCUCAUUUUUGUUACUGCAGUCCCACACUGCCUAUAAGAGAGGAAAUAAUAGCAAUAAAGAUAAUAAUAAUAAUGAUGAUUUCAAAUUUUUGCCACAAGGGCAGCUAGGGGGAGGUGGGGAUGAGUCAGUUACGUCAAACCCCAGUGUUCAACUGGUAUUUAUCUUAUCAACCCCGAAUGAAUGAAAGGCAAAGUCAAUCUUGGUGAAAUUUGAAGUCAGAACACAAUGAUGGGCAAAAUACCACUAAGCAUUUUAUCCUGCGUGCUAAUGAUUCUGCCAGCUAACCACCUUUGUAGUAAUAAUAAUGAUAAUCCUUUUUACUAUUGACACAAGGCCAGCAAGUUCGGGGGGAGAGAUUAAGUCAAUUACAUUGACUGCAGUCUAUAAGUAGUAUUUAUUUCAUUGAACCCGAAAUGAUGAAAGGCAAUGUCCAUCUUGACAGAAUUUGAAUGCCACAGUUACUGCAGUCCCACACUGCCUAUAAGAGAGGAAAUAAUAGCAAUAAAGAUAAUAAUAAUAAUGAUGAUUUCAAAUUUUUGCCACAAGGGCAGCUAGGGGGAGGUGGGAAUGAGUCAGUUACGUCAAACCCCAGUGUUCAACUGGUAUUUAUUUUAUCAACCCUGAAUGAAUGAAAGGCAAAGUCAAUCUUGGUGAAAUUUGAAGUCAGAACACAAUGAUGGGCAAAAUACCACUAAGCAUUUUAUCCUGCGUGCUAAUGAUUCUGCCAGCUAACCACCUUUGUAGUAAUAAUAAUGAUAAUCCUUUUUACUAUUGACACAAGGCCAGCAAGUUCGGGGGAGAGAUUAAGUCAAUUACAUUGACUGCAGUCUAUAAGUAGUAUUUAUUUCAUUGAACCCGAAAUGAUGAAAGGCAAUGUCCAUCUUGACAGAAUUUGAAUGCCACACUUAAUAAUAAUAUAAUAGUGAAUUUAUAACAAUCUUUAAUGAUGGAAAUCUUGGCCCAAAGAGUGAAAUGUUUUUGUUGGCUGGAAUGUGCAGGGCCUUCUGCUCUGAAUAAUCAUGCUGCCAUCUACCAUACUGCAUAAAAAAAAAAACAACCACUCCCAAUUUGCUAUUGUAUUGACUCCAAAUCUCUACACUCCAAACAUUAUCAUCAUCAUCUGGAGCCUGGUGCAGCCUUCUGGCUUCCCAGAUCCCCGGUCGAACCGUCCAACCCAUGCUAGCAUGGAGAACGGACGUUAAACGAUGAUGAUGAUGAUGAUGAUGAUCAUUAUUAUUAUUAUUAUUAUUAUUAUUAUUAUUAUUAUUAUUAUUAUUAUUGCUGCUGCAGUGAACUGGCAGAAUUGGUUUUAGCACACCAGAUGAAAUGCUUAGUGGUAUUUCACCUGUCACUACAUUCUGAGUUCUAAUUCCGCCGAGGUUGACUUUAUCUUUCAUCCUUUCAGGGUCAAUAAAAUAAGUACCAGUUGAAUACUGGGGUCGAUAUAAUUGAUUCAUCCCCUCCCCCAAAAUUGCUGCCCUUGUGGCAAAAUUUGAAAUUGUUAUUAUUAUCAUCAUCAUUAUUGGAGUGGCUGAGUUAAGGGAAGUCUUUGGGGAGGCAUCCAGUGUCUCAAAUAAGUUGACCUAUAUAUGUUGCGUUUAGAUGACCUGCUUGAGUAUGGCCAUACUUUGGUAUCCAUAGCAGUAGCUUACUUGCCAGUUACACUUGAUUUAAUCAACUAGCCCCUUUCCCUCAAAUUUCAAGCCUUGUACCUGUAUUAAAGUUGUCUUUUUUUUUUUCAAACUGUUCUCAAACAUAAAUUUCAACUUUCUUUACCAAGUUCUGUAUUUAUGUAUAUGUAUAUUUGUAUUGUUGUGUACAUGCAUGCAUACACACAAUGACACACAUACACAUAUGCACACUGUAUUGUGCGUAUAUUAUGUUGUUUGCAUAUUUGUGGUUCUGUUUUGUGUAUUGUGUUGUUAUGUGUAUAUUUAUUUGAAAGCUGUUAUUGCAUAGGAAUGAAAUUUACUUUUAACACUAGAUACAUACAUUAAGACAUUAUCCAUUUCUUUGCUCAAUGGAUUCAGAUUAACUGUUCACUGUAGUUACUUAAACAGAAAAUGUUUCUCUAAAUAUUUUGAACUUCCUCUGUAGCUUCAUAUAAAUAUUUUUCAAAUUUGCAUUUUCCCUUUUUUUUCUCCUGCUUGCUUCCCAUCAAGCAGAAAUUAUUUUCCUUUUUCCUCUAUUUUAUAAAUUUCUUCAACCUUCUGAAUAAUUUGUUUUAUUCCCCUCCCCCACCCUUCCAUUCCAAUUUUAUUUUAACCCUUUUCAUAUCAACUGACCUAAAAAUGUUUCUGGAGCUAUGACACAAAAUUACUGUUUUAAAGUGAUCUAAAUUAUAAUCUGUCAUCAGAAUUGUAUGUUAAUUUUUUCCAGAUACCAGCUUCAUAAUGAGAAAGUUAUUUUACUAAAUUCUUCAUUAUUUAAAAAAUUAUUUGAAGCAAAAGCAUUAUAUGUUGUCAGAAAUAUGGUAACAAAAGGGUUGAAUUGAUUCCAACACUUAGUUAUCCCGAAAUAUUUUCUUUGAUUUCUAGACUGAGUAUUGUUACUGCAGCUAAAAUUACCUACUUGUAAGUAAAUAUAAAUAGAUAGAGUAGUAAUUAAUUUUUAAUUAGUUAUAGCACACUCUUAGUGAAAAGUAUUUCAUCUAAGAUGAACUGAGAUGUGCCCUGGCAAGUAUGUGUCUAAUUACAUGUACACACACUUACAUGCAUGUGUGUAUAAACUAUGUGCUUGUGUGUGCGUAUAUAUAUGUAUAUAUAUAUAUAUGUAUAUAUAUAUAUAUGUAUAUAUACAUACAUACACACAUACAUGUAUAUAUGUAUGUCUCUUAUCAUCACCGUUUAACAUCCGCUUUCCAUGCUGGCAUGGGUUGGAUGGUUUGACUGAGGACUGGCAAGCUAGGAAGCUGCACCAGGCUCCAAUCUGCUCUGGCAAGGUUUCUACAGUUGGAUGCCCUUUCUAAUGCUAGGGUACUUUUUACGUGCCACUGGCAUGGGGGCCAGUCAGGCGGUACUGGCACUGACCACACUCAUUGGGCUUGCCAGGUCUUCUUAAGCACAGCAUAUCUCCAAAGGUCUCUCUCUUUGCAGCCUCAUUAAAUGCAAGUGAGCCAUCAUCCACGCGGACAUAUUUCUCUCCUAUGGCAUCAUGAUUCUCUUUGACACACUAUCUUGCAACACAAUGCACUUCAAGUCUUUGGUCCUCAUGAUGCACACAUACACACAUGUAUGUAUGCAUUGUAUAUUUAUACAUCCGCAUGCGUGCAUAUAUAUAUGUACACACACACAUCGUUGGCAAUUUUCUUCCUCUAUCUUCCCUUCUAUUGGACUUUCCUCUGUUUCCGAAGAAGAGCAUCUGCUCGAAAUGUUAAACCAUAUUCCUUUCCUUUCCUGGGCAUCUGCUAAUACUUUACAUGUUCCAUGUCCUCGCGUUGUUUUUUUUUGUGUUUGUUCUACUUUUUGGGAUUUACUAUAUAUAUGUGUGUGUGUGUGUGUGUGUGUGUGUGUGUGUGUAUAUAUUUAUAGUUUAAAUGUACAGAAAACAAAAUGCUGAGACAAGCAGAUGUUGUGAAAGAUAUUCUGUACUAUUUUUGACUCUGUGUAAUGAAAUAUUUGGUUUGAAGAAUUGAAUAUAUUUUGUCUGGAUUUCUUUGAAAUUCAAUAUAUUGCAGUAAAUUCUCUCUUGCGAAUAGUCACUAACUAACCCCAAUAGUCUAUCAGUAUCUAUCUAUCCGUUAUGUGUUAAUUACCUGUUUUUAAUGACUGUUUUUCAUGGCCACACUUUUCCACUAAUCUUACCCUCCACUUAUUAUUUCUCUCUUACAACUCAACACUGAAGUCCAAUAUGUCAUCAACAAAAAGACAUUGAGUUGGAUGAAUUAUAAGCAUGCUGGGUGAAAUACUUAGCAGCAUUUUGUUCAUCUUCAUGUUCUGAGUUCAAAUUCCCCCAAAAUGACUGGACUUGUGCCAAAAUUUGAAACCAGUAUUUCAUAGACUAGUAACAAUAUUUACAACUGGGCCACUACAUUCUUUCAGUCAACAUUGCUACCUAUAUAAAUAUGGUUUACACAUUCACCAAGAUGAGGAAGCUUCACUGCUUUUCACUUUUUCUUUUUGUCGACUUAUUUUUGUUUUUUCUUCUGUUAGGUCAAAGUGACAUAAGAAUCUAUUGUUGUGUUUUCAAGCCAUCCUUACAGACUGCUGCAUUAUUGUACUUCUAACAUAACUGAGAAAUAUUUCUUCAUUAUUGUUACAAUAUUUCAGUUGCAGUAGUAAUAUUAUCAUUGAAAUUAAUGUGGCCAGCCUCUCAUAACAAAACACAUUUUUACACUAUCUUCUUUGUUUUAUUAUUUUAUGUCAUUCAAUUUGCUCAUUUCCUUUGUCUAUCUAUCUACUUCCCCCCUUCCGUUGUAAAUGGUUUAUAAUUUAACAUCUCUUUCAUAAUAUGCAAUGCUCACUUACCAAAUUCUUGAAGACUUUUAUCAUCUACCUGAAUAAACCCAUUAUUCAAAACAGUUUUUAUGACUUUAGGGUUCUUUUUAAGGAAGGAGUUUCCCUUUCUAUUAUUUCUGAUAGCAGCAGCUAAUGAAAUAUCUCAGUUCAGUAGUUGAUUGCUAGAACCAGAAUGGUAGAACCCUUCAGUUCUACCAUCCUGGUUCUGGCCAACAUAUUUACUUCUCUUUGUCUAUUACAUCUCUAUGUUUUUGUUUUUAAUUCCAAACUCUACAGUUUUGAGUUCAGACACCAUCCAAUCAAGUUGUAUGCACGAAAAAAAAAGAAGAUAGAAAAUAUAAGCAGUAGAAAUAUCAGGUUGAGUAAAAAGUAAGCAAAUUUUGCACCAUGAAGAAUUUGUACCGGAAUUUUGCAGAGUUUUCAAAUUUUUUUCAACAUUUUUGGCAGUUGUCUGAUAAAACAGAUAUAGAGUUGCCCAAAUGCAUCAAUAAAUUAACAUUGAUAUCUUUUUCACUGUUGUUAAAAUCAUCAGAAAUGGAAAUUUCAAAGUGCAAUAUUCGAGCAAUUUUGCAAUUCAACUUUAAAAAAGGAUGUAAAGCAGCUGAAACUGCUCGCGAUAUCAACAAAACAUUUGGUGAGGAAAUGAUCAGUGAGUGGUCAGCUCAAAAAUGGUUUAAACAGUUUUGCAGUGGAGACCUGAGCCUUGAAGAUUGCGAGCAUAUUAGAUGCCUUUCUGUCAUUGAUGACGGUUAAUUAAAGACCGUCAUUGAGAAAGAUUCACGUAAAACCAUGUGAGAACUGGGAAAAGAACUUUAAGUUAGUCAGAACACUGCCUGCAGCCAUUUGUAUGUGAUUGAAAAAUCAAAAAAGCUCAACAAAUGGAUAUCACACGAUUUGAAUGAAAAUUAGAAAAUACACAGAUAUGAAAUUUUGCUCAUCACUUCUCCGUAACUAGACUGAUCCACUUCUCGACUGUAUUGUAAUUUUCGAUGAAAAGUGGAUUCUGUACAAUAAUGAAAAAUGUUCUUCACAGUGGUUGGACCAAAAUGAAGCACUGAAAACCUUCCUAAACCUGAGCUCUUCAAAAAGAAGGUUAUGGUGACUGUUUGGUGGUGUACUGCUGGACUCAUCCACUAUAACUUAAAACCCAAAAAGAAAACAUUACUGCAGAAACAUAUUACCAUGAAAUUGUCAAAAUUAAUGAAAAACUGCUACUCCUCCAUCCCAGACUGGUCAACAGAAGAGGGCCAGUCAUUCUUCACGACAAUGCCUGACCACACAUUUCACUAAUGAUGUUCCAGAAGUUGAGGGAACUUGGCUACAAAGUUCUUCCCUACCCAGCUUAUUUCCUAGACCUUUCUCCUACCGACUACCACUUUUUCAAGCACCUUGAUGGUUUCCUGUGAGAGAAGGAGUUAAAAAAUCAAACAAAUGCUGAAAGUGCAUGCAAAGAGUGCAUCAGCUCCAGAACUUCAGAUUUUUAUGUUACUGGAAUAAACAAACUUGUAACUCAUUGGUAAAAAUGUGUUGAGUGUAAGGUACUUACUUUGAUGAAUAAAAUUACUGCCUUGAAAUAUGUUGUGAUGAAUUUCAUGUUUCAAAACAUUGCUUACUUUUUACUCAGUUUGAUAGUUAUCUUGAUGCAAAUAUGUCCAUGAUGACACAAUGUUUUUAACCUUUUUGAUCCCACCUGAGACUAGCCAUGCUUCUAAGAUAUGAGUGAUUUGUUUCAGAGUGAUCUAAACUAAAGACUUCCAUAAAAAUUUCACUUCAAUUUAUGUUCCCAAAACUAACUUAACAAUGACAGUUAUGUUAAUAAAUUUUUCAUUAUUUUCAAAAUUAAUUGAAAUAAAGGCAGUGUGUUUCAACAGGACUAUGGUAAUUAAAGUGUUAAGAUAUUGGUGCAUCAUGAUUGUAUUGGGAAAUAUAUUCAAAUUCUUGGUCUGAUAUUGUUUUGUUGUUUUAAAACAAUAACCUCAUCUAUUUAGCAUUUUGUCUCUUUUUGCCAUAAAAACUAUUAUCUAGUUUCCUCUUUCUUAUAAAGAUUAUGAAAUCACUUUUUAAUCCUUCUCUGUCUUCUUUUUUUUUUUUCAGAGGCAAUUUUUUUUGCACCCUCUGCUUAGAAAUUAUAAAUAAUUGCCCUUUCCAAUGUUCUUGCUUUGUCUUAUAAACCUGCAAACGAGUGUGUGUGCCUAUUCAUCUAUUUACUCGCACACACACACACACACACAUACACAUAUGCACACUACUGUGUGAUCAAUUAUCACAACAAAUACCAUAGUUGCUUCCCAGAAGUACUGCAAAUUGUAGUAACAACAAUUACUGCUACACCACAAGUAACAACAACAGAUCUGUAGCCUCAUUAUUGCUAACAGUUUCUUUCUACACUUUUAGUCUACUCUUAUUAUUUACGCAUGUCUACACACACAGUAAAUAUUCCUAAAACAUACACACACACACUGACAUGUCAGAAGAUCCACAUUUAAGUUAUUUUCUCUUUCAAUAUCCCCCCACUCACCAUAUGCAAAACUCAUAACUUUAUCAUUAUUCAACUUCUAGAACCAAUAAGCUCAAUAAAUUUACAUAAUAUUAAUUCAUAUUUCAUGAUAUAGUAUUUAUUUAAUGUUAUAUCUAUAUAUGUAAUGUAUAUUUACAUAGUAUAUAUGUGUGUGUGUGUGUGUUUGUCUGUGUUCUGUUGAAUGUUAUUAAAUGAAAACAUGAAAUAAUGGUUAUGGUUUCUAUCAUAAAUCUAACACAGAUAUGUAUUUUUCAUAUAUUUCUACCAAAAUGUAUUCAUUAUCAAUACUUUUAGUCUCUAUACAUAUUAUAAAUCAUCAUCAUUUAACAUCUAUAGUCCAUGCUGGCAUGGGUUGAACAGUUUGACCAGAGCUGGAAAGCUGGAGAUCUGCACCAGGCUACAGUCUAAUUUGGUGUGGUUUCUACAGUUGAAUGCCCUUUCUAAUGCCAACCACUUUACAGGGGGUUUUGGGUGUUUUUACAUGGCAUGACAUGAGCGCUUUUAUGUGGCACCGUAGUACAUAUAAUAAUAAUAAUAAUAAUAAUAAUAAUAAUUAUUAUUAUUGGUAUUUCCAGAGAAAUAUAGCAGUGAUAACAAUAAUAGUAAUAAUGAUUGUUUCUAAUUUAGGCACAAGGCUAACAAUUUUGAGGGGAUGGGAUUAGUCAAUACCAUUGACACCCAUUAUUUGACUGGUUCUUUAUUUUACUGACCCUCAGUGGAUGAAAGGCAAAGUUAUCCCUGGUGGGAUUUGAACUUGGAAUAUGAAGGGCUGGAAGAAAUCCCACUAGGCAUUUUUAUGUGAAGUUUUUAUAGCUCUGUCAAUCCAAUCCAGCACAUUGUGUUAUUAUCAUGGUUGGGAAGUAUAUAAAUAGUGGAAUAUUCCGAAUGGAAGAGAGAAAACAUUUCUAUUUAGUUUUAGAAAAUGAUUUAGUUCUCUGGUUCUACAAUCAGCUUUUUGGUAUUGCUGAUUUAAUUUACCUCUUCAAAAUACAAAAAUCUGAAAAUGGAACCCUUUCAUACUAAGAAUUUUUAAAAGGAAGGAUAAAAAAAAAAAAAAGGCUUCAUGAAGUAGAAUGAAAUUUGAGUGGCUGCCUAGUAGAUCUUUAGUCAGAUAAAAUAUAGAAUAUAGUUUAUUUUUAAAUUUUGAAAUCCCUACAUUAACAAAGAAAAGCACCAGUUACAAAGACAAGUAGAUAACACGCACACAUGCGCGCGCGCACACACACACACACACACACACAUUCAGCUGAAUGGAUGUUAGAAGUGUGUACCAUGAAAUUGUUGAUGGAUCAGGUAAUGACUGAUAGAGAAGUGUGUUUGUUUUGUAAUCAUCACGAAUGAUGAUUGAUGGGUAAGAUAAAUUUGGUGAAGCAUAAUUAAAUCAGGUGACAUCAGUAUAUGUCUGGUAUAUAUUUUAUUAACUUUAGAGAAAUGAAAUUAAGUGAACCCUUUGCAGAACUGAAAAUAUGGAGAACCAAAGCAAGAUAGUAUAGCACUGCAACAUUCCUAUAACUCUGCCGAGAUUUUGCAAGCAGUUCUUUAUAUGAUAAAACUUGAAAGCCUUGAACUUGUGAGAAGUUGUUGAUUUUAUUUUGGCUGAAGUUGCAGCUUGCUAUAUGUGUGUGUGUGUGUGUGUGUGUGUGUGUGUGUGUGUGUGUGUGUGUCUGCUUGUCUGUCCUAUCAUCUUUGGGAUUGUGUUAAAUACUCCAUUACUUCAUUUAACAGAGUUCUUUGAUUCUUUUAUUGGGUCUCUCAUUCAGCAUAUGUGGUGCCUGACUCUCCUCUCAUCUGCAAUGAUUAAAACUAGAAGGUUUUAUCUCUGGUGUACACAGCAGCACUUAUACAUAGAGUGGAGUUUCAAAAUUGAAAGGGAGCAAGUGCUAGAGGUGGAGUGCUGUGUGGGGUAAUGUUUGAGUAGAUUGUGUAACCAAGUAACAGAGUGGAGAGGUGACAUGAAGAAAAUUGGCAUCAACGUGGAUCAAGUGUGAAGUAAGUCAAGUUGAGCAGAUGUAAGCAAUUUAUUGAAGAGGUGUGUGUGUGUUUUGUUUACUGUUGCUUCUUCAAUCUUCAUUCUUCCCCAAGUAGUUGGAAGGAAUCCAGUUAAAGAUAGGGAGAUGAUAUUAUAGAAGUGGGAGGGAAUAGUGAGGUGAUGCUGUCUCAAAGGGAAACUAGGCUUAUGGUCUUCUUAUGCUUUUUUUUUUCUUAAUAUUUUGUUUCUAUUUUUAUCAUUUUUGCAUUGUUUUUGUUCUCUCUAUUUGUGUACUUUGUUUUGGGUUUUGAGGACUGGAUUUAAUUACAAGUUCUUCUACUAACCUUUACCCAAAGGGUAUUUUAUAUUGGGAGAGGGAUGAAGUAGAAAGAUUCUAUAGCUAUUUGUUUGUUUAAAGUGAGAUGCACUUAUUGUUUGUUUGUGUUACAUACAUAAUAUUAUUGUUUAUUUGUUUAUUAUAUAUAUCUAGAAAUUUGUUUGGGUGGUGGAAGAGAAACAAAGUUGGGGAGGAAUACAAAUAAUGAGGGGUGAACAUAAAAAUGGUAUGUGCAAUGGUAUAUAGGACUGAAAAUUGUAAACAUUUUACCACCACUGCCAAUUUUAUCCCUAAAAUAAAGAGGUUUUAAUGCAUUUCAAGAAUAAACCCAGUCUAUUGUGGUUUUGCUUUCAGUAUCACUGCUUGGUCAUCAGUAUCGUUAGCAAAGUUUACUCUGUUGCACACUCUGGGACCAUUCACCUGGUUCUCUCUCUGUGCACAUUUUUACCACAGCCAUCAGAUCUUCAAACUAGACAUCAACCACACCAGCUUUACUAGUCUGGAAAGAUCUUCCAGGUGUGAUGGUCACUGUCUGAUUUAUUACAAAACAAAAAUUUGUUACCAGUUUUUCUCCAUCUUCACAAUUGUUUCUGACAUGGGUAGAGGGCUUGAAUAAAAUAACAGAAGGAUGCAUUACAAAAUGUAAUACCUGAUAUACAACAAGAUGGAUUGCCAUGACUAGAAGCCUUUCAUUGAAUUCUGCUUAAAGAUGAAGUAAAGUCCCUCAUCACAUGCUUUGCCAUCUUAAAAAUAGGAGGGAUACAUUGGACAAUGAUACACUAAAAGAUAGGAUGAUCACAGUUGUAAUGCCUUUUAUCUAUAGAUCUGCUUGAUCAGUGUUAUCUUAUCAACAAGAGCUAUAAGAAUAUUCACCAUUAUUAUGUAAUGUCCAAUUUUCCGUGGUUGCACAGGUAAGAUGGAAUUUGCUGAGGCAGAUUUUCUACAGCUGAAUGUGCUUCCUGUCACCAACACUCUCCUGUUUCCAAGGAAGGUAAUGUUUCCCUAUGGCUAAGCCCAGUGCUGUAGUAGAAGAUACUUGGUCAAAGUGCCAUGCAAUGAGACUGAACUUAAGAUCACAUUAUUAGGAAGGGAGUUUCUUAACCACACACUCAUGCUUGCAACUAUUAUGUUGCUUGUGUUUAUGUGUAGGUGAGCAUAGAACACCCACCCUACAAAAUGCUAUCUUUAAGAUAGUAGUGUGUGUGUGUGUGAAUGAGUGAGUGAGUGAGUGAGUGAGUGAGUGAGAGAGAGAGAGAGAGAGAGAGAGAGAGAGAGAGAGAGAGAGAUAAUGAAUGGAGGGCAGCUAUAUAACCUUACAGAUAUAAGAAUCUGAUAUUUUAUGCAGAAUUUGAUAGACAUGAGUGAUAUUUUCAAAUUUAAUUAUCUAGUCUAAUACUUACAGUGAUAGGAGGAUAUGGUAACUGUAAACCCUAUUUAAAAAUGCAUCUGUUUCAUCCAAGUGACUUUGGUGCUAAUGGGAAUUGAAAACGACUUUCAAGGAAGAAUGAAUGGGACAUCCAAUAAUCACUAGUCACCACAGGGUUCCUUUAUUUGCUGUUUUCCUUGAAUUCCAUCAUUUAAUAAAGCCAACUCAUCAGUGUUAGUUAAAUAAUUUUGAAGGAUAAUGAUAUUAAAAAGAACACCCCCCCCCAAAAAAAAAACAACAACAUUAAUUUACUGAUAUAAUUUAAAUAUAGGUCUCUGCAUGAGGGAGAGCUUAAUUGUAAUAGGAGUAAAUAACACUAAUUUAUAUGUUUGUGACAUAUUUCCAUCUUCUGUUACAAUUUAGCUUAUAUUACUUCUAUAAGUUGUUGUUAUUGAUAACAAAUCACCUCACUGAGAUAUCUCCUACCACCUAUUUCAGGUAUAAUAAACUGUUCUUAUAUCAGAGACUACUGCUUAUUUAAUAUAACUUGUGUUAUGUAUCUUCUUCUAGAUGUUCAUCAUCAAGGUAGAAAACUGGUAGAAUCGUCAGCACACUGGGCAGAAUGCUUUGUGGCAUUUUGUUCAUCUUUACAUUCUGAGUUCAAAUUCUACUGAGGUCCACUUUGCCUUUCAUCCUCUUAGGAUAGAUAAAACAAGUACCAGUCAAGCACUAGGGUUGAUGUAACUAAUUGUUGUCCAGUCUUGAUCAGGACUGGACAACCAGAGACAGUAUGAUUUAUUGUUUUUUCCCCAUCACUGCAUAUUCUGCAGUUAUUAUAUUUUUCUUCAUUAUAUAUUUUUGUGGUUUCUGGUAGGGUGGCUUUGAUUAUCUGUUGGUAUUAAAAUUUCUUUCCUGUUUAACUUAUCCUAGGAUUUGCCAUGUAAGGGCUUUUCUUGCAAUUGUUUUAUCAUGGUAUUUUGUAGUUUCAGUUUUAGCUUUGGUUUUAGUUGCUUUAUAGCUUUUGAUAUUUCUCCUUUUUCUUCAUAGUUGUAGGUAUUAUGAAAUUUCCCUUUUAUUUUUCGACUUCCUUGAAGGCAGAAAACAGUUUUCUUGUUUUGGGGAAUUUGUAUCAGCUUUCCUUGGUUCUGAGUUAGAUAUUUCUGUAGUCCUAUGGUGGAUAUUCUAUAGUAGUUUUCUAGUUGUAUAAGGCCUUCACUACCUUUAAUUUGUUGUAUAUAUAAUCUUUCUAUGUUAUAUUUUGGGUGGUGUAUUCUAAAUUCUGCCAUUGUUUUUCUUGUUUUCUUGGCUAGUUUGGUUAGUUCAUUUAAUGUCCAGUUAAGAAUACUGUAACUUAUAACUGAGUCAACUAGUGUGUCUUAUUUUUCACAUUCAGAUCUGUAUUAAUUUAACUAUUAUUCUAAUUUGUCUAUUUUUUUAAAUACAUUUUUCACUUUUGUUUGUUGCACUGUAUUUAUGCCAAGAACCUUCCUAGAUGUCCUUAAUGACACUGUUUUCUGGAGUUGCACUAAACUAGGUUUAUGCCUAUUUCCUCUAUCCAUCAGUUCACAUCUUAAGGCAUAUUUCCUAACUAGCAAAUCUACCCAUCUAUGAUGGAGGCAUAAAAUGAGGGAGAGAUGUCAUAACAGCAGUAUGUAUUGAGAGAUGUGUAAAUGGACUUAAGACACUUGUAGUGUCUUAGAGAAAUCACAUUAUUGUUGGUGAUACAGCAUUCUAUUGUAGCCAUAUGACAUGUGUUUACGACUAAGUGAUAUGUGAUGACGGUUCACUCCCAAACUGAAAUAGGCUCCCAGCCUCUGUAUCAUGAAUUGUUAUGUGGACCACUCCUAACAAAAACCAGAACUUCCUUUAACCACUACAUAAAAAUAUUAAGAAAAAAUGAUUUUAGAUAUACUUUUAUUUUAGUUGCUUACACUAUUUUAUGCUUGUUUAUACUCUUAUAUAUUCAAAGUUCACAAAUUUCCUUAUUUAAAUUAUGAAUCAUAUUCCUUUCAAUAUGAUUACAAAACUUCUUUGUGGACGAUAUUUUCUGUUUGGUUGGCACUAAUUUUUAAAUUACUGGAGUCUGUUGCUCUGCUCAUAGCGACGUAUAACUGGCUGUGUGUGAACAUCAGUGUGGGUAAAUAUACACCUACACGAUCUAAAGUCUGGCCCUGUGCCUUGUUUGCUGUGAAUGUGGGAGCAGAAUCUUUAGGGUUGCAAAAAGAUCAACCUAAGACUGACCUCUCACUCUUCUGUGUGAAUAAUGUCUGGAUGUUCUGGUAUCAUGGGUUAUUUGGAUUGACAAAACUUGAUGUAAACAACAGCCACUUCAAUUAGUAGUUUGAAUCCUGCUCGAGGCCGACACUUCAAUAACCACUAAAUAAUCACACACACUAUAUACUGACACACACUUUUUCCAUUUUAUUUUCGCUAUUAACCAUCCUCACGAACUCCUUCUUAUCUACAAUGGGGGCUACAAACUGUACAGUGAAAAUCCAGAGUUACUCUUGGUCACUGAAUUUUUAAUAAAAAUGCGAAGGUGGUUUAUCAAUUCAAAAAUCAAUAUCCACAAAAUAAUCAUACUUUCUGAUUUUUUAAUGCUAAAAACCUUCCUAACAACCGUCUUUGUAAUCCCCCAAAAUAUCAUAACCAUUGGUCCAACCAUCUGGCUGAGGAGGGAAUAUGGACAGACAGAUGGCCAUAAUGCCCAUUGUAGUAAGAUAGCAAAUUUGCUCAUCUAUGAUGGGAAAUAAAGGGAUAGUAUCGCAAAUUGAAACCCUCUAAAUUCACAAACUAUACAGGGAGAAAUCCAGAGUUAAUCCUUGUCACUGGAAUUUUGACGAAAAAAAAAAUCAAAGGUGAUUUAUUAAUAAAAAACUCAAUAUCCAUUAAAUAAUCAUACUUUUUUACAUUGUUUUCACUAAAAACUUUCCUGAUUACCUCUUUUGUAAUCCCCAAAAAUAUUGUGACCAUUGGCUCAGCCAUUUGACCUUGAAGAGGGAACAGACUGACGGACAUAACACCCAUUAUAGUAUGAUGUACCUAUAACUACAGGGAUAUAUUUUACCUGCAUUUUCUAUAGCCUCUGUUACUCAAUGGCUAGGUCCUGGUACUUUGCUAUUUUCUUUUCACCUCUCAUCAUCAUUUGGGAUUAUUCCUUUAUUCUUUUACAUGUUUCAGUCAUUUGAAUGUGGCCUUGCUAGAGCACUGCAUUAAAGGGUUAUAGUUGAAGAAAUUGACCCCAAGACUUAUUCUUUGUAAGCCUAGUACUUAUUUGUAAGCCUAGUACUUAUUCUAUCUGUCUCUUUGCUGAUCCGCUAAGUUUCGGGGGCAUAAACAUUGGUUGUCAAGUGAUGGUGGGGAGACAAACACAGACAGAAAGACAUAUGUACAUAAAUAUAUAUAUAAUAUAUAUAUAUAUAUAUAUAUAUAUAUAUAUAUAUAUAUAUACACACAUAUGUAUAUACAUGAUAGGCUUCUUUCAGUUUCCGUCUACCAAAUCCACUCUCAAGGCUUUGGUUGCCUAAGGCUAUAGUAGAAGUCACUUGCUCAAGGUGUCACAGUGAGACUGAACCUGGCGUGACCCCUUGGGCAAAUGUCUUCUACUAUGGCCUCAGGCCUACCAAAGCCUUGUGAGGUUGAUUUCAAGAAGCUGAAUUCCACAAAAGAGAUGGCAAAGAAUGAUAAUAAAUGGUGAGGGAGCCAUGCAGGGUGACAGUCUUCUAACUUAUGGAGAGUAUAAAAAAAGUAUAGCAAUGAUGUAAACUUUAUAUAUAGGCACAGGUGUGGUUGUGUGAUAAGAAGCUUGCUUCCCAAUCAUAUAGUUCCGGGUUCAGUCCCACUGCAUGGCAACUUGGGCAAGUGUCUUCUACUAUAGCCUCGGGCCAACCAAAACCUUGUGAGUAGAUUUGGUAAACAGAAACUGAAAGAAGCCUGUCAUAUAUAUAUGUAUAUAUUUGUGUGUUUGUCUCCCACACCAUCACUUGACAACUGAUGUUGGUGUGUUUAUGCCCCCGUAACUUAGUGGUUUGGCAAAAGUGGCCAAUAGAAUAAGUACUAGGCUUAUAAAGAAUAAGUCUUGGGAUUGAUUUGUUUGACUAAAAUCCCUUAAGGUGGUGCUCCAACAUGGUUACAGUCAAAUGACUGAAACAAGUAAAAAAGAAAAAAAAUAUGUGUGUUUGUGGCCUCUAAAUUCAUAAUUUUCUAAGUGUCUACAAGAAAACGUAAAAUAAAAAUUAAGUUUCUCUGUCUGCUGACUAAAAUUUGAAAACUGUAGAUUUAUCUUGUUUAUUAAAUUAAGAAUCAAAACCAGUGGUAGAAGUGACACUGAAUUACAAACAUACACAAGAAAAAUUGAAUAUAUUAAUAUGAUUGUUUGGCUUUUAUUAGAUUUACUCUAUGAGAUCUACUAAAAUAUAUGGAAUGAAAUUUUGAAAAUUUUCUGUUUAUUCUAAGAAACAGUAAACUGAUAGACUUGAUGUUUUGUUUAAUUUAAUUAGAGUCUAUUAAGUAUUUUCUUUAAAACCUCAGGUUUCAAUAAAAUGUGCUGGAGUUAGUUGAUAAAAUCAACUAUUCACCUACCUUGCAAAUGUAUGGCUUUGUGCCAACAUGAGAAAGGAUUAUUAUUACUAUUAUUAUUAUUAUCCAGGUGGCAAGCUGGCAGAAUUGUUAGCAUGCUGGAAAAACUGCUUAGUGGCAUUUCUUCUGUCUUUACAUUCUGAGUUCAAAUUCCGCCGAGGUCAACUUUGCCUUUCAUCCUUUCGAGAUCAAUAAAAUAAGUACCAGGUGAACACUGGGUCAAUGUAAUCGAUUCAUUCCCUCCCACCAAAUUGUUGCCCUUGUGGCAAAAUUUGAAACCAUUAUUAUCAUCAUUAUUAUUAUUAUUAUUAUUGUUGUUGUUAUUAUUAAAACGAUAAAUAUUAGCAUGCUGGGAAAAAUACUUAGUGGUAUUUUGUCCAUCAUUACAUUCUUAGUUCAAAUUCCACCAAGGUCCACCUUGCCUUUCAUCCUGUUGGGGGUCAAUAAAUUAAAUACCAGUGAAACACUGGGGUUGGUGUAUUUGACUAUCCCCCUCCUAGAAUUGUUAGUGCAUCAGACAAAAUACUUAGCAUCCCUUCAUCCAGCUCAUUACAUCCUGAGUUCAAAUUCCACCCAGGUUGACUUUGCCUUUCAUCCUUUUAGGAUUGAUAAAAUAAAGUACUAGUCAACAGAUUUGCCCAUCACCCUCCAAACUGCAUGCCUUGUACUAAAUUGAGAUGCCGCCGCCGAUGAUCUCUACUGAAGGCACAAAGCUUGAAAUUUAUGGGGAAGUGACUAGUUGAUUACAUUGAACCUAGUGUGUAACUGGUACUUAAUUUAUUGACCAUGAAAGAAUGAAAGGGAAAGUUGACUUUGGCGGAAUUUAAACUUAAAAAAUAAGGAUGGAUGAAAUGCUGCUAAGCAUUUUGCCUAAUGUGCUAAUGAUUCCACCAGCUCACCACCUACUACUAUUGCUGCUGCUGCUGCUGCUGCUACUACUACUACUACUACUACUACUACUACUAAUGAUCAUUGUUCUUUAUUAUUAUUAUUAUUAUUAUUAUUAUUGGUAGAAUUGUUAGAGCAUCAGAAAAAUGCUUUGCCAUAUUUGUUCUGGCCCUUUACAUUCUGAGUUUAAAUUCUGCCCAGAUCAACUUUACUUUUCAUCCUUCCAGACUUGAGGAAAUAACAUACUAGUCAAGUACUAAGGUUGUCCCUCCUCUCAAAAUUGAUAGUAUUGUACCUAAAUCAACAACCAUUGUCAUUGUCAUUAUUUAGAGCAGUGAAUUAACAAAAUAAUUAGGACAUCAACCAAAAUGUGUUUCAGCAUUUAUUCUGGCUCAUUAUAUUCCAAGUUAAAAUUCCAUUAAUGUCAACAACUUUGCCUUUUACUCUUCUGUCAGAAGGGGGGGGCAUCAAUAAAAUAAUGUACCAGUCAAGUAUGAAAAGUAGUGUAAUAAGUAGCCACCCUUUUCCAAAAUUUUGGUAUUUGUACCUAUAUGAGAAACAAUUAUUAUUAUUUUUAUUUAUGCUUUUCCUCUGGCAGAUCUUAUACUGACACCAUACCAAAAGAGCAAGCCAUAUCCAAUAGCCAAAAGUCUUUUGGGUCAUUCGUUUUCCUUUGACUUUCUAACACCCUCCUUGGAAUCCUUGCUGUUCAUAACAUGGCUGUUUUCUGCAACAGUCCUGUCUGGAUGAUAAUUCCUAGCUUCUGAAGCCAUGCAUCGAACCUUUUACCAUCUACUUCCAGUGUGCCAACCACAGUUAGUACCACUUCCAAGUGUCCGAGUCUCCAUAGUUUCCUUAUUUCUAUCUUCACCUCCUGGUAUCUAUCAAAUUUCUCACUUUCCUUCUCAUUUACCUUGUGGUCCCCCUGUGAAGCAAUAUUCAUAUUAAUUGCUUCAUUCUUUUUCUUUACUACAAUGUCAGGUUUUCUAGCCACAAUAAGAUGGUCACAUUGGAUGGUUUUUCCCACAAGAUCUUAUAUUGUUUGUUUUCAGUAACCCUAGAAAGGUGCUCAUACCAUUUCUCACUUCUGCUCAUGUCAUACUUAUAACAGAGCUUCCAGUGAACCAAUCUGGCAAUGUUGUCUUACUUUCUCUUGUAGUCUUUCUGUGCAAGCCUCUUACAUUCACUAAUAAUGUGGUGUAUUGUUUCACCUUUCUCACCGCACAACUUACUAAGUGGGGGAAGUCACUGACUUGUUAGUAUUGAACUUAAUAUAGUUUGUUCUCUGUGCCUGUGCUUAGAACAUGAAAAUAAGGGCUUUAGUUUCAACUUUCAAGUUGCUUUUCCUAGUCCAAUCCCAGAUCUUAUCUUUGUCAUCUGUUUCAGGCAUUUCCUGCAAGAAUUGGCCAUACAUUUUUUCCUUUCCAUCUAUUCAAGAUGUCAUUCUGUCUGUCUUGUUUAAAUUCCCCCUUUUCAUUUGCUUCAUCACUGCUUAGGACUUUUAUAUUUCUUACUCCUGCCAUCAAUCUCUCAUUUGAAUUCUUUACAUACCAUACCAGAUCUUUUUUCCUCAGACUUCACACACAUUUCACAGCUAACGAGACCUCUUCCUCCUCUCUGUUGUGAUAGAUUUAUAUCACUCUCCACAUCACUGUUGGGGUGUAGUGGCCCUUGUAGUAUUAUCAUUUUCCUGGCUUUUCUAUCAAGCUCCUGAAGUUCACCACUUCUCCAUACCAGUACUACACUUUAGAGUUGCAAUGGCUCAUGUGUUGACAGCUAGUAUCUUAGCUGGCAGUCACUGAGGUAUCAGCAAAUUUGCUAACAUCUGUAUGAUUUGCAACUAAUAUAUGGACAUCUCAAAAUCAAAUAGACUCCCCUCCUUAUAGUGUUUCAUCUGUGUUUGGGAAUCUGGAUAUUUUAGUAUUUCAAAUCUCAUGUUUUCCCAACUGGAUGUCCUCCCUACUGUGAACUCUUGAAAUUGAUGUGAGAGUGAUUUUCAGUUUGGUAAAUUCGAACCAAAUGCUGAGAGUAACUUUCAUCACACCAAUAAUGUAGCAAAAUUUUGGGUUUCCAUUUAUGGACUGUGUAAUCCAUUGACGACCUCCCCCUAGUAACCCUGCACUUAUGUAGAGUGGAGGAUGUAUUAAUGGUGGUGGUAGAGUGUUUGUGGGGGAUUGUAUCAUGUCUUUUUAGUUGUUCUGUUUCCAAUAUUAGUUCACUAAAGUUAUAACAUCUAAUUUGAUAGUAUGUCACUUUCAAUAGAAAAUAAUUUUCCAAAAAAAUCUAUUAAGUGAAAGAUAUUAAAAAUCAAUAUUUUUUUUCAAGCAACUGACAGCUACUUUCUAGGUCUCCUGGCUUUAGUGCAGCCUGCUGGUGUCGGUUAUGGUAACAGUAGAGUGUCCUACUUACUAUUAGGAGUUGUAACAUUUUCUGCAUCAGUCAAUUCUCCAUCCUGUAUCCAUUGCUUACCUGUUUUUUUUACUCUUUAAUUAUCUAGAUUUCUCUACUGCUAGUGUCAUCUGAUGCUGAUUGAUUUCUUUUUUUAUAAAGCCUCUCCUUAUUAUACACUCAUUUCACUCUUCCUAUUUUCCUUAUCUCUCUCUCUCUCUCUCUCUCUCUUCUAGAUAGGUUAUUCUUUCAAGUCUAUGCCAGACCUAACUUUGGUCAUUUUACUUUCAACAGAAACAGCACACACACGCACAAAGGGCUCUCAUCUCCUUGUCUUCAUCUCAUUGUCUGCUGUAUCACCUUACUUCAUCACUUCAAUAAUGAACAACUGUAAUGCGAUGCAGCGUAGCAGCUGCACUUCCGUACACUACUGAUAGGAUAUUGACUGAACUGUAGUUUCCAUCGAAUCAUUGUUUCUAUGAUACUAUCAGCAGUAGCAGCAACAGCAGAAGGAAAUACUGUUUAUGUUAUGUAAUCAGACAUGGCUGCCAUUAACUAUUACUGCCAGUUUCCUCUGUUUCUUACAUGUUGUGGCCAAUCAUGAUUUGGAUGGGGCACUUACUGUUAGUUCAAUCUAUCCCUAUUUGCCUAAUGAUGCACAGUUUGUAAUACUUUCCCAACAUAGAAUUUAAUAUUUUAUCUCUCUCUUAAAAUCAGGAUAAACAGCUUGAUUUCUUACCGUGUUUUGGUGAAACAAGUUUGCACUUCUGCUGUGGAAGGCUGUGAUAUAAACAUCUGUUGUGUAUCAUUGAUAUGGAACUGAACCUACUAUAAAAACAUCCUAUUUAGUUAGUGGUUCAGACUUGAAGCUUUAAAGAUGGUGCCCACUGAUUAUUUCAAAAAAUGUUGCCUUUUGAGACCGAUCUCGAUUUAUUUUACCAUCUCUUAAAUCUUUGGCACACAUCUGGUUAUAAAGACAUGAAAUGUGUUGUGUCUGAUCUUUUGAAAUGAAUCAAACAAUUACAUUUAGAAAUGAGAUUUUUAUUAAGAAAACCCUGUGGUAAGACUUGCCAAGAAGACAUUGAGCAAAGAAUUACUAAUUUGAAGUUGCAAUCUUGCCUUUCAAUUGUGGUCAAAAUUCCUAUGGUUAUUGUUCUUGAAACAUAUUUUAGAUUUCACUAUAAUUUUAAUAUAUAUAUAUAUAUAUAUAUAUAUAUAUAUAUAUAAAUAUAUGAGAGUAACUUUCAUCACACCAAUAAUGUAGCAAAAUUUUGGGUUUCCAUUUAUGGACUUGCCAGCUCUGUCUGGCCCCGUGUCGGUGGCACGUAAAAGCACCAUCCGUUCGUGUCCGUUGCCAGCAUCGCCUGGCCCCGUGCCGGUGACACGUAAAAGCACCAUCCGUUCGUGGCCGUUCGCCAGCUCUGUCUGGCACCUGUGCAGGUGGCACGUAAAAAACACCCACUACACUCGCGGAGUGGUUGGCGUUAGGAAGGGCAUCCAGCCGUAGAAACACUGCCAGAUCUGACUGGGCCUGACGAAGCCUUCCAGCUUCACAGACCCCAGUUGACCCGUCCAACCCAUGCUAGCAUGGAAAACGGACGCUAAACGAUGAUGAUGAUGAUGAUGAUGAUGAUAUAUAUAUAUAUAUAUAUAUAUAUAUAUAUAUAUGAGAAGACCCGGCAGGACAAGUGAGUCCACAACCCGUGGCCUUCUACAUGGGAUGGAGCCAGCCUACGUAUGCAUACCUUCCCUUCUUGGGACACAAAACUCUACUUGUGAAGACGUGUUGAGGCAAGUGAGGAUCAGAAUCGAAAUCGAUCAAUGGAAAUUGCGGAUGUGCUACCAGUGCCGGUGGCAUGUCGAAACUCUGCUUGUGAAGACCCAUUGAGGCAAGUGAGGAUCAGAAUCGAAAUCGAUCAAUGGAAAUCGAUCAAUGGAAAUUGCAGAUGUGUUACCAGUGCCGGUGGCAUGUAAGAGAACUUUCCGUUUCGCGACCGUUGCCAGCACCGCCCCGUUUCGUGUCCGUUGCCAGCCUCGCCUGGCCCUCGUGCCGGUGGCACAUAAAAAGCACCAUCCGUUCGUGGCCGUUUGCCAGCUCUGUCUGGCACCAGUGCGGGUGGCACGUAAAAAGCACCCACUACACUCACGGAGUGGUUGGCGUUAGGAAGGGCAUCCAGCCGUAGAAACACUGCCAGAUUUGACUGGGCCUGAUGAAGCCUUCUGGCUUCACAGACCCCAGUAGAACCGUCCAACCCAUGCUAGCAUGGAAAACGGACGCUAAAUGAUGAUGAUGAUGAUGAUGAUGAUAUAUAUAUAUAUAUAUAUAUAUAUAUAUAUAUAUAUAUAUAUUUCUUUCUAACAGUUUUUAGAAAUGUCUUGGAGCUUUUCAGAAAUUAUACAAUAAUAAACAAAUUUCCUUUUCAAAGCCAAUCAAGUUUUAAUUUUAUAAUCAGAAAAUGUAAUGAAAUUGGUGGAAGUUGAUUUCUUGUUUUGUUUUGUGUAGUAGUCAGAUAAUAAAAUGUAACUGUUCUAAUAACAUGUUCGAUAUUCCAAAAUAUUCUCAUACCAUACAGAUUUUUUGACAUAGUUUAAAAUUACCAAACUUUCUGGUCAUCCAUCUUCUUAAUUUUUAACUGUCUAUAUUAAUUAAUCAGAGCUAAUUUAUUUCAUGCUUAGGUUUUCCAACAACUUUCCUGCGAGGAGAUUUUGUUGAAGUGUUUCAAGCGAUUAAAAUUAUUUUAUCACACCUCUUUUUUUAUAUAUUUUAUUUUGAUUUCUUGUGUUCGUUGGGUAUUGAAUAAUUUGAAACUUUUAAAAGAUAAAUACCUUAAUUCACUUGUUAUAAUAUUUAUAGGCUCUAUCUUCAUUAAAGAAGAUAUUGAUGUGUGUGUGUGUGUGUGUGUAUCAUCAUCAUCAUCAUUGUUUAUAUAUAUAAAUUUAUAUAAAUAAGGAAGAUCGUUAUUUAAAAUACCGAUCAUAUCAGGUGGCUAGCAUGAGAAUAAUUAUUAUUAAAAUUAUAAUUAAGGGUAUCUAAAAGAUACCACCAUGCGAGAUAUAGCAGCCAAAACUUGACUCUCUCUCUCUCACUAUAUAUAUGUACACACAUGCACACACACCUAGAGGAGACUUAGAUGCAACGUGCUCUCUCUCUUUACUCUUUCACCUGUUUCAGUCAUUUGACUGUGGCCAUGCUGGAGCACCGCUUUUAGUUGAGGAAAUCGAUCCCAGGACUUAUACUUUUGUAAGCCUAGUACAUAUUCUACCGGUCUCUUUUGUCGAACCGCUAAGUAAACACACCAGCAUCGGUUGUCAAACACCCACACAUAUAUAUAUUCGACAGGCUUCUUUCAGUUUCCAUCUACCAAAUCCACUCACAAGGCUUUGGUCAGCCCGAGGCUAUAGUAGAAGACACUUUACCCAAGGUGCCAUGCAGUGGGACUGAACCCAGAACCAUGUGGUUGGUAAGCAAGCUACUUACCACACAGCCACUCCUGCAAUGAUGUAUUUUUAUAAAUUUAUUUUCACUUCAAUACAUUUUCAUGUAACCAAUAUAUUGCUGUAUAUCAGCCUUAUUUUAAACACGUUAAUGUUUUUAAUUGAUAACCUUCAUUGUUUCAACAUCACUUUCUGUUACUUUCAACUUUAAAAUUGUAAAUUUUAGGUUCAAAUUCCCUCUUCUCUUCUGUUCACAUCUUUUGUUUUUUUUAAUCUCCAUAUGCCUAUCUUAUUAUUUUAUGUACUGUCACUCUUUUAUUCAUUCACUGUUUCUUUAUUACAUUGUUUCUAUUUCUAUAAUUAUUUCUUUGAUCUCAGAUGAAUGAUUCUAAUGUUUUCUUUCUCUUUUCAGGUAAGUUCAUUUGGAUACACAUAAUCCUUUAUGUGAUAUUUACUGUAAUAAUCUGUAAGUAAAAUGAACUGACUUUACCCCUCCUCCUUUACUUGCUAAAUCAACAUUUGCCCCUCCGAUUUGUUGCCCAACUGAAGUGAUAAAAUGGUAAAAAAAAUUCUUCACAUACUUUAUUAAGGUUUCUUUAAUACCAGUUUGCAUUUGUAAAAUGUACAAGAUUACAGUAUUGACAAAUGUACAAGAUUACAGUAUUGGACAAAUGACUUGCUUAAUAUUGAGCUUCGACUAGUGGAAACAGCUUCAUGUUUAAUGAAGAAAUUGUAGAAUUUUUUUUCUGUAUGGUUGUUAAAGAUACCUUGCAUUGUAUCUACUACUACUACUACUACUGCUACUACUACUACAUUCCUCAAGAGUCACAUUGAUAUUUCACUUCAAGUUGGUUACAUCACUACUUUACAUAUAUCGUUGACUAUGUACAAGAGCUGAGAUGUACAAUAUAAUGUAUUUUGUAAGUUUGCAGAGUUCUUUUUUAAGUUUAUGACUUUCUUCAGCUUUAGAAUUACGAAGGGCUCCUUCUAGAAAUAGAAGUAUUUCGCUCUUAAUUCCCAACAUUCUUGAUAGUUCUUGUAAUUCUUUGUAGUUUUUUUAGACUUUCAUCAAGAUUCUCACUAAGGUACAUAGAUAUCUUCCAGUUGGCAGAUUUAUUUUCUCUACAUCUAUGAUAACAAGAUCGGAUAUGUUAGCCACAACUACACAUCUAUAAUAAAAAAUUUCUAGUUUGUUAACAACAUUAUUUCUACAUGUCCACGACAACAAGAUUUGGCCUGUUAGCAACCUUAUCUCUUCAUAUCCAUGACAACAAGAUUGACCUAUUCACAGCCUUAUUUCUACAUAUCUAUGACAAGAUUGACCUAUUCACAACCUUUUUUCUACAUAUCCAUGAUAGCAAAAAAUGGCCUGUUAGCAACAUUAUUUCUCCUCUAAAAGAUAAAAUUUUGACCUGUUGUUGUAGGAGGAGGGCACUGAAAAAAGUACUGGGGCGGCAUUGAUAGAAAUGGUAGUGCUAGCAUCAUCUGUGUGUGUGUGUGAAUAAAGUAUGGAACUGAAGUUCAGUUCAAAGAUUUCUUUUAAAAAUCAUUUCAACUUAUAUGGAUUUAAGUGGCAACAUGAAGAUGAAAUGUAAAAGUAUCUUCUUACUAGCCAUUGUCCAUUUUACUAGCAGUCAUAUAAUAAAGAAUAGGUUUCUCCAUUACAAUGAUUCUUUAUUAUUUUGGUUGUUGUUUCAACCCUGGCCUUAUUGAUAUUGUUCUAGCAGAUUAAUAUAUCUCCUUGUUUUAUAUUUUAUACUUUGGCUGUCAUGUGUCUUCAUAAUAUUUUUACUGCUCAAUGUAACUAUGAUUAAUAUAAUCUAACACUCAUAAUUGACAGCUCUGAUGGUUAAAUUUCUAGUAUGUUUGCUUUUGUAUUUAAUGUUAUUGUGGCUUAUAUGAACAAUCACUGGUAUUACUUUUCCUUUAAACAAUUAAUCUAUUACAUUGAUAACCUUCUUGUAAUGGAUGUGCUAACGAAAGCAAUAAGUUUUGAUAUUGGGAGAAGUUCUCUAUUACAUUUCCAUUGAUUGAUAUCUCACUAAUGACCAUAACUGACGUCCACUGAUGAAUUCAUGAAAUAUAUUGUAUACACACAACAUUGAUCACUUGGUGAAGUAGACAUCAGUCUUAAUCCAGCUUUAUAAAAUUGGUAUCAUCUUACUCUGAUCAGUGCUGUUUGGUCUACCUCUACAGAGAGAAUUAGCAGUGUGUGUGUGUAUAGACACUGCAUUUGCACUGUAUAAAUAAUACAUUACACAGAUUUGUUAUAUAAAGUAAUGGCCAUCUAACUUCAUUGAUAUUUACACUUGCGAUACAUUUUGAUAAAUGCAAAGAAACAGUUCUCUCUCUCUCUCUCACACGUACACACACACAGCUAAAAGGACAAUGUGUAUGUGUGUACACACAGAGGCUAUAGAAGAUCUGCCUCACUGAGUUUAAGCUGAGCCAUGUAAACAUGGGAAAGUGAAUGUUUAAACAAUUUAAACAUAUGGUGAGUUGAGUGGAAUGAAGUAAAAUAAUUUUGGAGGCUACUUUGGUAUGUACUGUAUGGGGUGUGUGUGUGUGUGUGUGUGUGCAAAGCAUGCAGUGAAUAUUGCUUGCAAAAUCAACAUAUUGUUGAAAAGUGGAAGAAAUGCAGGAGUCAUGGGCCAAAAUGAGAGCCAUCCAGUAAUUGAAUUUAAGGGGUUUCUCCAAGCAUUGUAGCUGUAUUCUUUUGUCUGAACAGUUGAAGCAGAGUUAUGGAUAAACCACUUGGAGGACUUGAAGGUGUGAAUUUUUGUUGCAUAUGGUGUGUUAAGGGACUUGCUUGAGAGGCUGGCAUCAGUUAUUGACAUAUCUGUUUCUUACAGGUCAGGGAUGAAGGAUAUGUGCUGCCAGAGGUAGUUUACAUAGAACUGGUUGAAGUGGCUGAGCUCUGUCUGACUAAUAGUGUGCUAAAGAAUUUAAGUUGUGAUGUGUAGUGUAGUGUGUUGAUGUAUGAUGGGUAAUCACAAUAAAGCAGUGUUUAGAUGACCUACUCGUAGCAGUAAUGGUACUGAUAUGGCAGAGGUUGAAUCUGGAAAUGAGAUAGGGUUCAAGGGUGUUUGAAGUGUUUUGGGUUAGUUUGGAAUAAAUUCAGAGAAUGAAAUUAGUUGUGGCAAAAGGUUGAGGAUGGCAAAAGAUUCAGUAACUGCAUGAAUGCCAGGAAGAGUUAUGAAAAAUGAAGUCAUUGAAGAUGAUUCCUCAAAGAGAGGUGAUUUUUGGUCUAUGGAUCAAAGAGCUAGUGGCAAAUGGGAGAGGGAGACUUUGGUCCACACUUACUCGAAAUCUGUGUUGCUGAUGUCCAGGUGAUUAGCAGGGUGAGUGGACUCUGUGUAUACACAGAGUUUGAGUAAAGAAUGUAGCUUGGCUGAUACAAGGGGUCUAUUGUUAAAGGUUGAAAAACCUGUGUCUUAAUGAAGAAUAAGGUGUCAGACGCCUGAGUGGAUUGGAGUUCAUAGAUGUUAGAAAAAAUGAAAGGAGAUUGUCUAGUGGGUUUUAGAUUUUGGUAAAUUUUAGGUUUAGGGAGGUGUAGAGUGUCUCAAUGCCUCAUGAGGCAAGACCUUGUUGAGAACCUGGUCUGACUGCUUGUUAUGUAGGAAUUCUGCUAAAAGCAUCAGUGGAUCAGAGAUGAUGAUGUUUAUAUUAGCUGCAUUAUGUGACUAUCAUUCAAACCAAAAGAAGAGGUGCAAAUUCUAGACCAUAUACAAGUGUAUAUUAGCCAAAAUGGUAAAUGGUAACCCAGAAACAAACAUGAAUACACAGACAAAUGCUACAACAGGAAUAAUUUUAGAAAUAAUUUUUCAUGUAUGUGGUGACAAUGGCAAUAAUAAUAAUAAUAAUAAUAAUAAAUAAUAAGGCAUCUGUAGGAAGCGUCCUGCAAGUAGUGUUGAGGAAGAGAAGGGAGAGAGAAGCCAACAAUAAUAGUGAGGGACUGCUAAGUCUAUCAAGUAAUCUAUAUAGAUUCUCUAGUAG
This 131436-nucleotide long non-coding RNA is filed under the name Octopus vulgaris (common octopus). Lineage: Eukaryota; Metazoa; Mollusca; Cephalopoda; Octopoda; Octopodidae. The record is from RNAcentral.